Molecule: long non-coding RNA, 125205 nt
Filed under: Marmota monax (woodchuck)
Lineage: Eukaryota; Metazoa; Chordata; Mammalia; Rodentia; Sciuridae
Source: RNAcentral
CCGCCCAGCCGCCCUCCUGCCUUGAGCCGCCCUCCUGCCUUGAGCCGCCCAGCGCCCUGUGCCCGGGCAGGUGAGGCGGCACGGGGAGGUGGCUCCGGCGGGCCCGGUGGGAGCGGGCUGGGGCGAGGGUCCGGGGUCCCCGGGGAGGGAGUUCGGGGUUCCGGGAGAGGGUCCGGGGAGGGUAUCUGGGGGUCUGGGGAGAGAGUCCGCGGACGGAGUCCUGCGAGGGGGACCGGGGCCGCCGGAGAGGCGGUCCCGGGGUCCGAGGAUCUGGGGAGACUCGGGGAGGCGGAUCGUGGUCGAAGGGGAGGAGGUCCGGGAGUCCUGGGAGGGAGUCUGGGGACAGAGUCGAGGGUCUUGGGAGAGAGCCUGGCAGGGAGGCCGGGGAGGGAGUCUGAGGGUCUGGGAAAAACUCAGGGGAGGGGGUCCGGGGGUCUGCGGAGUCUGGGGAGGGAGUUCGGGGAGGGGAAUGGGGACGCCGGGGACAGUGGCCAGGGUCUCCAGUGCAGCAUACGGGGCUUGUGGGCGGUUCCAGAGCGGCUUCGGGUGGGUCCUGACCUGUGCGUCUUGCUGGUACCCUUGUGGACCGCUCUGGGCCAGGGGCGUCCCCUUGUUCACUUGUUGGCUGCUGUCAGGUGUGGUUCCCGUGGCUCCACGGUGGACCCUGCCUUCCAGCCGCUGCUGGAGACUUUAAGCGCCUGUGCAUAUCCUCUGCCUUUUCUGGAACUUGUGCAAGGUGCCUUGUGGGUACAGGGGGCUAGGUACAUCCCAGGGAGUUCCAGGGGGCUCUGAUCUGUGCCGUCUUUGGGGACUUACCCCAGGGGCCACCUGUUAUUCUCAGAUUGGCAUCUCCUUCUCCCUUGGCCCUGGGAACUCGUACCAUUUUGUUCAGGAUGGCAGCCAGUAGCCACAUAAAGCUUUUAAAAUUGACCUUAAAGUGAAGCCACAAUGACUGGUGGCUGCUGGAUUGCAGAGUGCUGAUAGGGACACCAUGGAAAGUUCUGUAGGUUAGGGUGCUGCUCCUCACCCUGUCAGGCUCCAUUCCAGCCAUACAUGGUACCUUUUCCUUGAUUGAACCCCUUACUGUCCUUCCCUUAGGUCCCAGCCUGCAGACAGAUCCUAUCCUCUGCAGGUAUGGGCUCCUGGUCACUGGCUUAACUUCCUGCCCUGCCUCCUGGUAUUUCCCAUCUUGCUGCAUCUUUCCCAGCCCUUCUUAUUUGACCAUUGCUACCUUUCUGGUUGUUUUCUGUCUUUAGUGUCUGUGAGGCGGAGAUUGGGAUUGUUCCUUACCAUCCCUCAAUGUGGGCACAGUAGUAGGUGGAAAGAUACAAAUGAAGUUUGUUAAUAGCCUCGGGUGGUUAGACCACACUGUGAUGUGGUUCAGCCUGGUACACUGUAGGUCCUUGGUAGAGAUCCUGGGCAGCGCAUGGCGGCACACACAGGGCAGUGCAGGGUCAGGAGCCAGGCUGUGCUUACAGAUGGCUGUGGGAGGCUGGUGGAACCUAGAAGGCUUUCUGCUGGCUGGGUCUGCUCCAUCCCUCACCUCAGCUGACAUGGUCUGUGCACAUCCAGCACCCUUGGCUGCCCUGACUGCCCAGCCUCUCUUUUCUGGGCACACCUCAGGCCUGGUCCUCUGCAGGCACUGGAGUGACAACUUAGACCCGGGCAGGCAUCUAGGUGUGGGGCUCAUGGGCAGGCAGGCUUCCUCAAGUCCCUUCCAAAGCUUCUCGCUGCUGGUAGGGUAGGUCAGGAUGUGGCUUCUGCCCAGGAUUCCAGCCACAUCAUUCAGUUCUUGCUUCAUGUGUCACAGCAACUGUAGAGGUCCUUGUUUUCUGCACACUGCAUGGCUUUUCUUAUGCGUGUGGGCGUGUGUGCUGAGCUGCCACUUGGAAUGCCCUUGUACUUGCAUGUUUGUCUCAAGCACUUCCACCCUGGUUGCCUUUGUGCCCUGAGCACCCAGCCUAACAUCCAGAGCAGGGUGGGCACUGGGCAGGUUUUGAUGAAUGAGUGAGCUGUGAGAGGAGAAGGUAGGAGGAGAAGUGCAGGUAUGGAAGUUCAAGAUUUGGGAACCUCCAAGCAGGAGUUCCCAAGGGGAGAAAAGGUGCACAGACCGUGACCACAGGUGAACCUAGCCAUUCACAGCAAGACUUCAGUAUGUGGUGGUGGCCCUGGAGAGGGUCUUCCCAGGUUGUGGAGUUUAAAUCAGGCUGUGUGGCCGAGGUCUGGUUGGCAGACAGGAGGGUCAUUUUGCAGGCGUUAACAUUGAUUAUACUAUUCAUACCCACUUAGCAGUCCCCCUGGGGGAGGGCCUGCUGCCAUCCCCAUUGUAUUGAUGAAGAGUCUGGGCCAUCGGAAGAUGAACUGGCUGAAUCCCUUAACUGAAGUUCUAAGACACCGUCCACUAGACCUGGAUGUUAUGUACUGCUUCCGAGGUUGUUGGGCAUUUUAUCAUUCCAAUUUUUUUUUUUUUUUAAAUGAACAAGGUGUUCCUGUGGUUGUGGGAUUUGUUUUGGUUGUAUGAAUGGAAUUCGGCCUGUGUGGCUCAGUCCAGCUGUAAUGCAUUAUGUUCCUCAGACUCUGACUUUAGUGCAACAUCUGUAACAAUGGGCUGGUUAACAGCCGAGCGUGACCAACUUUCUGACUACUCUGUUGGCCAUCAUGCCCGAUGCCGCCUGGCUCCUGAGUAUUUGAUCGAUGUGUGGAUGGGGUACCAAGUGACCAAAAGACUAAAGGGGAGAAAGAGUGGACAGAUUGGAAGGGUGCAAGGCCAGACUCUUCUUCAGGGGUUAUUUUCAGUUGUUGCCUAUUAAUUCUGAUGUUUGGGUUUGCAGCAUCUGUAUCCUGUCCUACUGGGGUAUACUGAGGCCAGCAGGGAAGGUUUAUUAUCCCCAGAUUUUUGGUGAGAAGUUGGACUGCAGUUAUUCUCUGACUCCCUAUCUGUCACUGUGGCUCAGGACCUGUGAGACCUGGCCCUGGUGGAUAUUUGAAAUGUGUGUGGCUGGGUGGGGGGUGUCAUGGCACAGUUGACCCUGAACUUACACCAUUCUUACUCCAAUAUGCUUUGUGAAUACUGCUCAGGAGCCAUUGAGAACCUUCUAUAGGAAGAGUUGUCUUGGCCUGAGUCCUUUGGUAUAGAAGGUGUGACUUACCAAUAAGUCCAAAGUUCUGUAAGAGUUUCCUGAAGAUGGUUGAGGUGGUGCCCUUGCUGGAGGAGCUGACUUGGGCUGGGGCUUCUGAGGAGGCCUUGACUCAGGCUGCUGGGUCUGCCAUCCAGGGCUGUCCUCAGAGCCUGUUGCAGCUGUUUCUUAGGCCUUAUCCCUACUAUAGGAUUCUCCGAGUGCAGGGUGGGGUGAGGAUGACUCUGCUUGUCUUACCAGAUUGCAUUGGGUAGACUCCUUCCUGGCAUGGGUGGGCUCUAUUAGGACUUGAACCUGUUUUGUGGUCACCACAGGCAAGCAAGGAUGGUCUGCUAGGGUGGUCUCCCUACCUGGACAGGGUCAUUGGCAGGGCCCCAGCCACAGCCCUUGUGGUCAGGACCUCUAUCUGAAAAGAUGAGAGUUUUGUGUGAGGAUAGUCUCAGAUCAUUAUCUUGCAUGGGGUCAGUGGCCAGCAGGAAGGGGCUGCCUUGUAGUCUCUCCUGCUCUCACUGGGGACACUGCUGCUCACCUGACAGAGUAAGGACAUAGAGAGUUGUCAGUGAGGGGGCACAGAGAGGGCACCCACCCCGUGUGUGGAGCUGUGGGAAGAAGUGGGGGAGGGCUCUGGGUCAGACUCCACCCAGGGCCUGUGGCUGUCGCUAACAGUGUCCAGGUCUGUCUGGGCCCAGGGCUUGGCAUUGUAUGGCAGGGUUGUCGUGGUAGCAGCACCAUACCCACUUUGGUGGAUCGAUGGACUAGCUGGGGGCAGUUGAGUCCUUCUUGGGCUGGCAGCCGGGGCUGCUGGUUAUCCUGGUUGUAAGCACCAAUGACAAGGCAGGAGGCCCUGCUGGAGUCAAUCAGGGAUGUGGCAGCAGAAAAUGGGGCAGAAAAUGGCAGCAGGCUGAAGCAAGAGUCUGGGUUGUAUAGGCUUCAUUUAGGGUGGGACUGCAAGGUAGCUCCUGGGUAUGGGUGGGAUAGUAGUGUGAAUGGGGAAUUUCAGGUUCAAGUUCCUUUUUGUUCCUUUACUCUGGCCGAGGCCUGGGCUUUUAAAUGACAAAAGCAUCGAUUUUACCCCAGAUAAGACUGGUGGGGGAACUGGCCAGAGGGGAAAUGUCCUUGGACUAGUCUCCAUGUCCUUCACUGGGUCCCUGGGUUCUCAGCUAUGGGAGAGUGGCCUUCCCUGACUGGAAAUGAGUGAGCAGGGGUAGGUGGUUCUGCGGGCCCUGUGAGACCCCGGCCAGGUGUUCUGGCCCAAUAAACCUUUAUUAUUUUUUUCUGCUGGAUUGAUAGAAGAUUGUAUUGUUUUCUGCCUCUGAUUUUGUUAGCACAGAAGGACUGGGCCAGACAGACUUCAUGGAUGAGCACAGCUUUGUUCAGGGCGGAGUGACGCCUCUGAUGGACCCACUUUCUUGGUGGAAAAUGAACCACUGGCCAAAGAGGGAAUUUAGGCUUAUAUAGGUUAUACUGAGAGGUGACUCAGUUAAUGGGCUUGUCAGUUUGGGCCAGAUGGAGGGUGUGGGGUCAGUGGUCAAUAUCUGGGAAAGUUUAGGGAUAUCUCUUCCUGAGGCUUGUCUUGUCACUGGGAAAAAUUGGUGAAGGAUCAGUGUAUUGAAGGAUAUGGAGAAUAAGUUCAAGGACAUUUCCCUAAGCUUUUGUCAUUUUAAAACCCAGGCCUUGGCCAGAGUGAAUAACCCAAAAGGAACUCACUGGCACCUGACCCCCACCCAAAUGGGUCAGCUGACCCCAUACCAUAAGCCCCAGGAAAUUCCCUAUUCACACUACUGUCCUAUCCUAAUUAACCAGCCAACCCCAAUACAUUGGACCCCCUAAAGUACCCUCCUGUCUCACCCUGAACAAAGCCUGAAACCCAGACCCUUGUUUCAGCCCUCUGCCAUUUUCUGCCCAGUAGGCCAGGUGUUUGACCCGUCCUCUGCUGAAUCCUGAAUAAAGAAAACCUUGCUGAUCCACAGUCCUUCCUGAGCCCUGCUCUUGCUCCCAGUAGCUUCCAUGGGGUGGGUGACAGCAUGGCCAUCUCAGAGGCAUGGAUGCUCAGGGCCUUUUGAGAUAUCACUUGAGGGAUUUGAAGCCAGAUUUAAAGAUAGAUAGAUAGUGUAGCUAGGUAAAUUAGGUCUAAUAUUGAGUUUAAUAAAGAAAAUGGAGUCCAGUCUGAGCCUGGGAAGCCAGAACAACACCUGGGAGAUUGGAACGUUAAUGUUCCCAAGGCCCAGGUCCAUCCCAAAGAACUGUUAGUGAAGUAGCUCCCAGCAAAAUGGGGAGCCGCUAAUCAAAUCACUCCCCCAGCUCACUCCCCCCCAUUGUUUUCUACCUUCUGUCCUUCCCACCUGCAUCCCCCAUCACCUGCCAGAUAGAGGGAGACAGGCAAAAUAAAAUCAGGAAUGCAGGAAGACAAAAGAAGACCUUAGAUACGAAAGGAAGACCUUUCCUUCCCUGGAUCCCCUUCUCCCUGGGAGCUGGGGGCCUUUCUGCUGUCCUUUAAUAAAGCCUUACUUUCCACUCUACCCUGCCUCGCGUGCUUCUCUGGUGUUGUACUUCAGCCUUUGGGGAAGCAGGAGUCCUUACGGUAACAGGCCUGUCUGAUUUGGGAAGAACUCCCAAGGCAAAAAGGGACUGGGGGAGUUUAGGGAGUGCAGCCCCAGGCCCAGAGGGUCUGCCUUUCUUCACCCCCAAGGGGUGCAAGUCACUCUGCACAGUCCUCCAGAGUGCGGUCUGCUUUUCAUGGAUUGGGGUAGAACUGACCAUCGUUGGACUGUCAGUAGUUGGUACUACUGUUUACCAUCGGGUAUCUGCUGGCACCUGCUGCUGCUUUCUACAACCAGGUCGGCGGACUCCUGGGGUUGAGUAGCUUAUCCCAGGUAGGGCCAGGUCAUCACUUGAAGCCUCAGCCUACGUCCUGGGCACGUUAACCUGCUCUUGAUGGUCUAGCUCCUCUGGCCCUGUCACUCAUGGUGGGAGUCCUUGCGUGUACCGACUGCUGUGCCACCUGCCUGCCUUGUAUUCCUGUUCCUCUGCUUCUGGGAUGGCUAGGUUAGGAGAAGCUUUUCAAACUGGCAGGUGUGCUGGGAGCUGGAGACGUUGUUGGCCAUGGUGGCUAUUGUGUUGUUGAGGCCUUUGUACUGGCCUGCCUUCCCUGUCCAGGUGAUGUUCUUGAGAAUGUGGUACAGGUUUGAGGGCUUGGGGCGUCCUGGUGUGCAGGUUGGCAUUCUUGAUGGAGAGAAUGGGGCAGAACUCGGGAUUCCUUUUCCCAGGAGAUCUUGCUGUGAGGUAGGUAGAAGAAACUCAUGGUGGCUGUGGCUGGCCCCUGGCGGUGGAGGUGAUAAGUCCUUGAGUUGGGAAGCUCCAGCUCCAGGGCUGUAGGGCAGGUGCCAUACUCAGGGAAUCUGUCUGUUCAUGUCUGUUGCCUGGCCUUUCAUUGCCUGAGCCUGACCCUGGGUGUGGUCUGAGGAGUGCAGAUAGGCCUGUACCCAAGAAAUGCUGGGCUCUUAGAGUGGGAUGUGGUCUGGGGAACAUGAGGGCCAGGCGUCCCUGGGGGUCCCCAGGCAUCGAGUUCUAGUCAGGGAAUCAUGGCCACAGGGAGCACAAGGUCCUAGUCAGGGAAUCAUGGCCACAGGGAGCACAAGGAACUUGCCCUGGGCAGAGCUGGUGAGGAGGAAAAGGGGUGCAGCUCCCACCCUGUUCCACCUGACCAUCUUGGACUGCCCUCCGCCCAGAUCCACAAUCCUUUUAGGCCAUGUCUUUGGAAAGGAACAUAAUUUUAAAGCUGAAUCCCAGAACCUCUUCUCCCAACAUUAAAAAGCACACAACACAACCGCCCCUUCCUGGGCCUGGCUGCCCUUUCGGCAAAGGCUCUCAGUGGCAGUGCUAAUGAGUGGCUGGAUUCAUUUCUUGGAGUCUGGCCUCCUUCCCGUGCUUGUCACCCCCAGUGAGGGUGCUAAUGAGUGUGGCACGGGGGCAAGGCUGGGAGGAUGCUGGUUCUGUUUCUUCCUGGUACAGGAUCCAGUGAGUCUCGGUGGCAGGGGCUCCCAGCUGGUCUUCAGCCUCCAGCCUGAGCUCUUUAAUUCGCUCUUAAUGUUCUGGCUCCUCUGGCCUGGUGGUUGUCUGGCCCUGUUACUCCUGGCUGAGAGUCCUUAAGGGUGCCCUGUCCUUGCCACAUAAAGUCAGACUCUCACUUGGCAUUGCACUUUUUCCUUCCAGCCUUAGAAAUCUGUUGGACUGACUUCCCAAAGCUGCCUCCAGCCUGUCCUUGGGUGUCUGGUGGGGCUGUCCUCUACCUGGAAUGGCCCCGGCUGGUGAUCUCCCUGAGGAAGUCACCAUACUUGUUAAAGCAUGAGGAAGCCUGCCCCUGCCUGAGGGCCUGGCACCUUGACUGGCAUCUGUCUCCUCUGGGAAAGGCAAGGCAGAGAGAAGGCGCAAGGUAUCAAUAAAAUGUCUGGCCUGGCUCCUUCCGUGUGGACUCUGGGCGUUUGUUCCUGUGCUGGGUGCUGCCUGUAGGGCUGGGCAGGGUUUUUUUUUGCAUCCCCAAUAUAAGGAAGUGCACGUAGUAGGCACUCGGUAAGCACUCACUCAGGCCUGGGCACACAGCUGGAGGAGCACUGUCUUUUCAGCUUCAGCUUUUGGCCUCAGCCUCUGAGUGCCUGGGCUCUUCACCCCUCAAAAUGAUAGGGAGUGUUGAGGACCUGAUAACAGUAGGUGCUUGACGAGGGCAAUACUGCUUGCAGAGUGGUCCCCGAGGCCACACCCUUACCCCCCUUUUGCCGAAGGGAGCCUGGCUUGCAAAUCCUGCCCUGGUCUCGCCCUGUGGAGACUUGUCUCCAGGCCCGGCUUCUCUGUGCACCUUGCUGUGUGCACACAGCCCAGAUGCUGUGAAUGGAGGGGUGUCUGGCAGGGGAUGUGGCCAGGCCAUGCUGAUGGGUAGGAAGCGGUCAGUGCUGCAGUGGCCCUGAGGAAUGUCUCAUGGCUCAGAGCUUAGUGGGCUGGUGGUCCUGUUGCCACUGCUCAGAAGGAAGUGGAGUCCUUUUCUCUCUGGCCUGAGAGGUGAUGUGAUUUCCCAAGACCUUAUGUUAGGUGCAGAGGUGUGUGGUAGUGUCGGCCUGGAAUUCCAGAGACUAAUUGAGGUUAGCUUGGGCAACUUAGCAGGACCCUCUUCAAAAAUAAAAAGGGCUAGGGAUUGUUGCUCAGUGGUAGGGUGUCCCUGGGCUCAAUCUCUAGUAUUGCAAAAGAACUGAAACCCCCCAAAACAUGCAGAUAGCACUGGGAGUCAAAUCCGGUUGGGCCUUCUGGUCUACCUUGCUUUGCUCUCUGCAGGGGUCCAGGUCCUGGAUGGGAGCAUGGGGUUAGCUGCUUCUCAGGACCGUCAGGGCUCUAGUCACUUCUCUUCGAGCAGCAGCCUCUCCUGUUUACCAGAGCAACUCUGAUUUGGUCUGCUUGUCUGUGUGGUCAGGAGAUGGCUCACAUUCAUGGUCCAGGAGGGCUGCAGAGACUCUUGUAAUAGGCCUGGUGUCUUCUGAGUGCUGUUGGUAGGGUGGACUGAGAGCUGGGGACAGUGAGUGGCUGGGGCCAGAGCCGUCUGUCCCAGUGGCCUGCUGUGGGCUGCAGCCGUGUUCUGCUUCCAUUAUCCCAACAGGAUUUCUGGGUCUCUGCCCACCUGAGCCUGCUGCCUUGACACCUCACCUGUGUGUGUGGGCUGUGGAGGCUGGGGAAGGUCAGGGCCAGCAGUGUGGUCCCACUGAAGCCCAUGGGGCUGUCUUAUUUGGUGCCAGAGGCCUGAGUGUGCAGGUGAGACCAGGCAGCUGGUGGAUGUUGCUGUGAGGGGUGGCGUACAUGUGGGUGGACGGGCACAGGCCAGGUCAUGCUCACUGGCAGAUAGCCCCAGCUUUCAGUAGCCUGGAGGCAAAGGUCCAUGUCCGUUGGUAAUUUGGAAUUUGUGGCCAGAGGAGCCAAACGGCUGUACCCUCACUAGGAUGGGAAGCCCAGUGCCACCAUGCUCCCUUGACAGGAGGACUGGAAAUCGUGGGUGACUGAAUCAAGCAAUGCCCACGUGAUCCAUCUGGCCAUGUGGUGUUGUGGUUUGGACAGGCCACCCUCCUCCCUGGAUAAUCCCCCUGUGAGUCCUCUGGCACCCCCUCUGCCUCAGGAACAUUUAGACUAUGUGAGGGCUCAUGGAUCUUCUGCUGUGACCACCAGGAUGCAGGGUGGUGGAGGGGACAGAUCAGGCAAGUAUGGGUCUGCUCUUGGUUAGCUGGAACCCUGGCAGGGAGUUUGACGUUCAGGGCCAUUUUAAAAGAAAGGAAACCUUUUGUGGGCAGUUGUCGCUUCAUGCCCAGUUGUAAGGAGGCACUGCCUUCCCGAGCACCCUUGCCCAGCGUCUCCUGUAGUAGCAUCUUGGAGAACUAGCACAACAGUGUACCCAGGAGGGGUCCCUGGCUCUGUCACCAGAAGCCUCACUGGGGCGCGUGCCCUCUGGAGCCGUACCUGUUUUGUUUCCACCCACUGCUGCUUGGUGCCCAGGAGCCACUGUCCUUUCCCCACGUCUGCCACGUCGCUUCGAGUGUUGCCGGGUGGAGCCAAGCAAUGAGCCACCUCCAGAACUCACUGCUUCAUUUUCUGGAGCUGCUGCCUGGGCCGUGGUGGUUUGUAUGUUGCUGGGUCCUGUUCUGCAGCGUGGGUGGUCCACAGUUGAAAUAUGUGGCAGCCUCUUAUUUUAGUGUUUUGAAUUGUUCAGGUAAUUCAACAGUAAGAACAUGGGAAGAAGCACGCAGCGGGAAGUUCAGGUCUCCACAUCCCCACUGGUUAGGCUUGGUCUCCAUUGUGACUGUGUGGUGGCUUUCCCACACUUCCUUCCAGAGCCUCACGAUGCAGUCAGGAAAACGCUGCUGUGAAUCUUCAAGUUUCCUUCCGCCUUCCACAGGCCGUCCCCCGGUGGACUGCUGCCCCCACCUCCCACACACUCGGUCCUGCUGGGGAGAGAGUUCUUUGCAUCUGACCCAAAACUCCCUUUCCUUGUGCCGGCUCCUGUGGUCCAUGGUGUGGAUGUGCUCACACUAUGCGUCUCGCCCUCCAUGAUGGGCAUGUAGGACACGGUAGCCUUCUCUGCUCUGCUGCGCCUGUCUUGGCCCAGCACACAUGGGAGGAGCAGGUGCUGGGUCACAGGUGCGUGUCACGUAGCUCUCCAGGUGUUGAUGCUGUGCUGCACAGCCUGGCCAGUGGGUUUGCCAGGCUGGGUUCUGCGUCUUGGAGUGCACCUGCCUUUUGUUGUGAGUUGGGCAUCAUUUCAGGAGUGGAAACCAUUCAUGUUUCCCCUGUGGCCUUUCCUCCGGGGUGUGUUUGUGAAUGCUGGUGGUUGGUCUGUGCUGCAGCUUGGCCCCGGGAGGUCUGAGCUCAGCUGAUUUCCCUGCCUUGGGACACCUCCUGACCUGUUGUUUUGCCACUGCAGAAGCUUGUAAGGAGUCAGGUUGUGGGUUUUCAAGCUGAAGCUUUGGCUUUUGAGUUAUAGUUAUGGAAGGAGCUUCGAGUUUAUAAAGGAGUCUUGCAUUUUCUUCUAGUUUCUGUUGUUCCACUUUUACAGUGUCGACUGAUUUGUCUGUGUCCUGGUGUGCAGAGUGAGCUGUAGCUCUGAUUUUGACUCUUUCUGGAUGACUUCCCGGUUGUCUCCUCCAGACCACGGGUAACUCACAUCUCCUGCUGAUUCUCUCCUCCGGCAGAGUCACAUGCUGAAUUUCCAUUUCGGUUUAGGUGGGUUUCUUGCAGGCUGUUCCGUUGGCUGAUGUGCAUCCUAGCUGGUAUUGUGAUUAUUAAAGCUUUGUGCUACUUUUUUUUAAAGAGAGAGAGAGAGAGAGAGAGAGAGGUUUUUUUAAAAAUAUUUUUCAGUUUUCAGUGGACACAACAUCUUUAUUUUAUUUUUAUGUGGUGCUGAGGAUCGAACCCAGCGCCCCGUGCAUGCCAGGCGAGCACAUUACCACUUGAGCCACAUCCCCAGCCCAGCUUUGUGCUGUUUUAAUACAUCAAAGAAUUCAUUGCUUUUUAAAUUUUUUUUUUAGUUGUAAGUGGACACAAUGCUUUAUUUUUACUUAUUUAUUUUUAUGUGAUGCUGAGGAUGGAACCCAGUGCCUCACCCGCGGUAGGCGUGUGCUCUACCACUGAGCCCCAGCCCCAGCCCCCGAAUUCACUGCUUUUUUGUCAGAUUUUUUGAGCCUAUCUGGUUCAUUUAUUUUGACAUAGGAACUUUAAAUUUGCUUGUCUGUUCUUCAUGCAGGCCUUCCACUGGAAACACAGAUGCUGACACUCAUGUACACAACACACAGCACUAACCCCAAACCUGGUGGGUUUUGUCUUGGAAUUGGGUUAAACUGAUAAACUAGCGCAGGGAGAGGGUGUCCUCAUGCCAUGGAGUCUCCCUUUUCAAGCAUGCUGUAUGUCUUCUCAGUAUAGUCUCAUUUGUUCUUCAGUAGUGCUUAAAAUUCUUGUUAAAAAUACUAAUUAUUUAUUUAACUGACAAAAAAUGGCCUGUGUUCGUGGUGUGCGACCUGGGGUGUGGCGCUGCUGGGGGGUGGUGGGACUGGCGGGAUUCAGGCCUCGCCCCUCCUCUCCUCCGCAGGAGCAGGCAGCACAGCACCAUGCUGCGCGCUGGCUCUCUUGAACCUACUUGUCCCUCAGUCCUUUGUCCCUGUUGCCCUCCUCCCCAGCCGUCACCCACGCUAACAGCCCUGGGCCCUGCUUCGGAGGUGGCUUUGCGAUGCCGAGUGGGUGAGCCCCGCAGUCCUGGUUAUUCUGGUCCUGCUUGUUUCCCUUAAUGAAGGGUCUUUGAGUCUUCCCUGCUGUCACAGACCACACGACUUCCUUUCUCUCAAACCCCCCGGGGGCUUUCCUGCUCCACUCCUCAGCCGAUGGACAUUCGGGCUGCCCGUUCCUGGCUGCUGUGCACCGGGCUGCAUGACACAUUCUGACUCCGACUCUGCCACCUGCGGGGCCCCGGCGGUGUCGGGCCCCCUUUCCUGCCCCUUGGUCGGCACUUGCUCUCUUUUCUCUGAUCACGUCCUUGCUGCAGGGUGGGGUCCUAGCUCCGGGGGUCUCCCUUGCAUUUUCGGAUGGAGAGUGCGUCGUCUUUUGAGAGGCGUCUGUUGAGCUUGUUGCCAUGUCACAGUAACCUGACGUGCCUUCAUGCCGGGGUUCUUCACGAGCUUGGGCUUUCCCUCCUGUCAGAGGUGCGCUCUGCACGUCUUGUCCGCUCCGCGGGUUCUCACUGCCGUCCCCCCAUGCAGCUUCUUAGCUGGAUGUGGUCAUCUGUCUGCUUUCUCGUUUCUUGUCUGCUUCUGAGGUCCCAGCCACAGGCGGCUGCCCAGGCUGUGUCCUGAAGCAUGGCUCCCCUGUGUUUUCCUCUGGUGGCUUUGCAGCAGGUCUGCCGGUCUCAGGUCUGCCGUCCUUUUCAAGGGCACCUUCGACCUGUGCGCUCCCACCGGGAGUUCUUGGAAACUCUGUUGACAUCCCUGUCUGUAACCCGAGGCUCUGUUUCUGGGCUCUCCCUCGGUUCUUUUGGUUUCUGUGUUUCUGCUGGUACCAUGCUGUUUUGGUUAUUGUGGUUUUUGUGUGCUUUGAAUCAAAUUUUAUUUAUUCUCAGGAAUUUUGUCCUUUUGUUAUUAUUGCAAGGAGUUUCCUUUGAUUGCGUUUUCGUCUGUGUGUGUGUGCGUGUUUCUAAUUUCUGGGUGUCCCUUUGUCUAUGGCCACCCUACUGAAGUCUGUUGAUCUGGGUUGGUUAUUUGGGGUUCUCUAGGCAUCUGGUCAUGUCAGCUUCAUCCCGUGAUGGGGAGCCUUCUCCUCCCCAGCUUUACCCCCAGUUUCUUUCUCUUACCUCAUUUUGUGACCUGAGGCUUCAGCGGAGUGGUGAUUCCCAGGUUGCUCCACUGGAGAUGUCCCUGGUGUCACCUCCUAAGCAGAAGGUGACUUUGGAUUGAGGUAGGUGGUGUUUCUUAUUAUGAGAGCCCUUUUUUAAAAAAUAAAGAGUUGUUGAAUUUUGUCAGUUGCCUUUUAAAGUCAUGUUGGGAUAAUCACGCAGUCUCUCCUUGUAUGCGUGAGUAUGGUGAGUGACAGUGAUGACCUUGGUCUCCUUAAGGUGCUGCGGGAUACUCUGCUGGUGGUCAGUGUUUGUUCUUGUAUUGCUGUUGGUAAGUAAGGUUGCUCUGAAGUUUUUAUUUUUGUGUGUGACUUUUUGGUUUUGAUGUCCAUGUUAUGCUUAUUUCAUAAAAAUAAUGUAAAAUUCUUAUUUCUUUUGCCAUACUCUGGAAUGGCUCAAUAGCAUUACCUGUGAAUCUAGUGGGACGUGGGGCCUUUUUAUUUUGAGGGGGUAAGUUCUUUUAUGAUUAAAAAAAGAAAUUUCCCUUUGGAAAAGAUUCUGUUUAAAUCUUUUUUGGGGGGGAUUGGUUUUUAAGCUUACAUUUUCCUAGAAAAUUAUCACUUUCUUCCAGUUCAUCAUGUUUAUUCAUGAAAGUUUAAGUAAAAUGAUCCCCUAGGACUCCUGAUUUCUUCAGUUUCUGUGGUUAUUUCCCUCUCAUUUUCUCCCUUUUCUUGGUUGGGUUAGCUAGUAGUUCCAUUUUGUUGUGUUAAUUUUUCUUUGAAGAUUCAGUUUUUGGGGUUUUUAAAGAAUUAAUGGUCCUAUUUCUGCUGAUCUUCUUCUUUCUUUCUGGUAAUGGGGAUUGAACACAGGGAUGCUUUACUCUGAAUCACGUCCCUUGUCCUUUCUGUUUUUUACUUUGAGUCAGAGUCUUGCAAAGUUGCUGAGGCUGGCCUCACCUUGGGAACCUCUUGCCUCAGCCUCCUGAGUUGCUGGGAUCACAGAUAUAUAUCACUGUAUCCAGCUACUUUUCUACUUUUUAACUGAUUACUUUUUGUUAAUGAUUAGUCCCUCUGCUUCUCCUCAUUUUAUUCCAUCACCCUUUUUCUAAAUGCUUGGUUUGUGGUUGGUUCAUUUGUUCACUUCCUUCUAGAAAGUCUUGACCUUCAGGGUUGCUGCUGCUGUCCUGGGGGACAUCAUUUCCCUGGUGUUGUUGCUGCUCUGGGGCUCGGCAGUGAGUCUCUUUUCUUGUGGUCCAGGAGCUGUAGGAGCAAGCGCGAACAUUUGGAGUGGAGGCUUCUGACUCCUGUGUUCGUCGGCACUUUGUCGAUUCGUUGCUUGCCCUUGGGCACCGGUUCCAGCUCUGCUCUCUGCGCACAAUUGGUCCUGGGGUUUGCUCGUGGCCCGCCGUUCCAGUGCGGUGGGGGAGAAGGUGGAGUCUCUGUUCUGGCUUACAGAGUGGAUGGACAUCAAAGGCUGACCAGGCUCACAUCUCACUGUGUGACUCCAGCCUGUGGGUCUGCACUUGGCCUCGGCCCUCCUGCUCUGGUGUGGCAAAGAGCAGGGCAUCUUGCCACCUUCUUCAGGGGCUGCUGGCAGGUGGCUGCUUACCAGGCGCACAGCUGUUUGACCGUCUGUGCGCCCACUGCUCCUGCAGACGGCACUCCUGGAUCUGCCCCGCGUGGGUUCCCCUCGCCUCUCUUCCCCUUUUCACUCCUGGUUUUACGUGUCAUGUAAGCUCUGUAUUUCUUUGUGAUUCAACCUGAGAAUCUUUUUUCUUUUGCUAGUUAAACUAAUUUAUUUUUAUUGAUAGUUCGGAUGUGUUUGAUCUUAGUUCUCUUCUGCUUUGCAUGUGUGCCUGUAUUUACUUUUAAGUCUUUUAACUCGGUUUUCUAUUCUUUUUGUAUUUUUUUUUAAAGUUUAUCAGAUUUUUUUGCUAUUUGGGGGAGUCGGUGCCUUUGUCUACAUGAGAUGUUGUAGUAAUAUCUCUGGGUUGUCUUUCAGUGUCCCUCUCCCAUGGACUCUAACUCAAGACACCUGAGAGUGUGCCGUGUUCCCCCCAAAGUGUGCCGUGUUAAAUGGCAAAAUGAAGUUGCAGAUGUGCUUUUGUUUAUGAACUAUGAGGUAGACAAGUGGGCUGUCCUGGAUCACCUGGGAGGGCUCCCCAACCUGGUCCUGAACACAGAGAACUCUGUAGCAUCAGUGGGGAGAUGGGUGAGGGCCGGCAGAGUUGCAGAAGUGGGAAUGAUUUGGCCAGCCCCUGCUGGCCUCAAGAUUCAGGAGUGCAGAGGGGUCUGGAAUUGAGGCCCCGGCCCCCUGGCAUGGGCAAGGACACAGACUUCAGUCAUGCAGCCACCUGGACCUGCGUCUGCCUGAACCUCGAGGUGCUUUCCCUGCUGCAGGAGGCACAGCCCAGCCUGGAGACCCUGACCUGUAGCAACUGCCACAGAGCAGGCUCUGGAUGCUAAGUUUGGGCCAUCUGAUGUGCCAGCAGUAGGAAGCUCAUCCACUUCUCUGGGCAAUUGUACAGUUACUGUGCUUGGUGUUCUAGCUCCCAUCCCCAGCUUUAGUCACCCAUAGUCCUUUGUCUGUGUUGGCCUUUGUGCUGUGGAAUCUUCUUGUCUUCUGUUACUGGAUUGUCAGCUUUAAAUGCUGUCCUCGGCUCUGGUGCUUGCUGGCUUCCUCUCUCCCCUCUCGUCCUUGUAGCUGUCACUGCUUGGGUCAGGCUCUACCUCGGCCUGGCCUGCUGUCUCCAGAAUCCCGCCUGGCCCUGGUCAUCCAGCACUAGGUGAAUGUAUCCAGCGCCCACUGACAGCCUGUUCAGAGUGUUUUCUUGGGGGGCUGGUAGGAACUGCUGUCCCCCAGCACUGUGGGUUCAGAGGGCAGUGUGGGACAGCAUGGCUGUGGGUCAGCACUGCUGGGCUUUGACUCUUUAGCUGAUGUCACUCCCCCUUUCCUGACUUGGAAGGUUGCUUUGGAAAAACCUGAGGCCGGCUUGGUUUUUCUUCCCUGUACAAGUGAUUUGCUUUCCUUCUUUUUGCCUCACUUUUGCCCACCGUCCUAGUCUCUGUCAUUUGUGAUGCUUUUAACUGUGUUUUGAUUACGUCUUAGGAAUUCACCCAGGGGCAGGCUGCAGGAGUCUCUGUCUCCUCCUUGCUGUUGAUGGUGGACUUAAUGCACAGGAGUCCUGAUUUUGGUGAAGUCUCAUUUGUCUGCCUUUUACUUUUGUCAUUUGUUAUUGAGUGUCAUGACUAGAGACCACUGCCACUCUGUCUUGGAGUUCCCUGUUUCCCACGCGUUGCGUUCAGUUCUGGGGUGUCCUUCUUGUUCGCCUUGGUGUGGGGUUUAGGGUUGGGGUCCAGUGGUGUUCUUUUGCAUGUGGCUAGUUUACUUGGCACUACUUGUGGAAAGGACGCUCCUUUCCCUGUGAAAAGGUCUCGGCAGCUCGUCACAAUCCCUGGGCCGUAUAUGAGGGGUUGUGUCUGGCUGACUGUCCUAGUCUCUGGAUCUGCGAGUGUGUCUUUGUGCCACAGUCAGGCACACCAUUUUGAUGAUUGCAGCUUUGUACAAUGUUGAGAGCCACAGCCGAAGGGGCCCCAGCAAACUUCCAGCUGCCAGCAAACUUCCAGCUGCCGGCUGAUGAUUGGCUCACAGCGGCCCCAGCAACAUCUAGCUGAUUGGCUCCUCUGCGGUGAUGCUCAUUGGGCUGUUUCCCUGCCCUUUCAGACCACGGAGCUGCUCAUUGGGGGACUUUUUUGGCUCCGCCCACGUGACCCAGCCAAUCGGCCUCAAGAGCAGGAGGAUUGUGAGAGGUGGGGAGAAGCUUGUGUGGGAGAGAGAGGCUUGUGGGAAGCCCGUGGUGGCAGUUGAGGCUCUGAGGGUUUUUCCUGAGAGGCUGUUUUGUUUAGCGUGUGUGGUUCUAAAAAUAAAGUUAGUUUCUUUUGACAAGUGGCUCCUGAUUGUGCCCAGCCAGACUGCGGCAUUUGGUGGCCUGCACGGGGAGCGACUGAGGGUAAGUGAACUGCUCGCCCCUGAGGGCAGGGCGAGAGGAUGGGUAGCCAUUUUAAGAUUCUUCUUUUAUUUUGCUUCACUUUUGUUUUAAGUUGCCUGUCCCUGGAGAUGAGUGAGACGGAAGAAAAACCGCUCACAUCUGAGGAAAAACUAUUUACGUCUGAGGAACAGAUAGGGAGAAAGGACGGAUGCACAUGUCAGGAGGAUAGAAAGGCUAUAAUGACUUUUUGUUGUUCCCUUUUUAUUUCAUUCUGUCUCGGUUUUGUUUGGCGUCAUCUUGUUGGGUUGUAUUAUAGUAGAAAUACGGGAUCAGAAAUUAGUAAAAAACAAACUGAAAGAGUGUUAAGUAAAUUGUUAGAGGAAGGAGGCAUCUCAGUAAAAUCAAGAACAAUCAGGGCAUACGUUGAUACAAUACAAAAAUGUAGCCCAUGGCUUUUUAAGGAGGAGUUGUUAAAUAUAUCACAAUGGAACCAUCAUGGUGAAGAUUUAAAAAGAAUAGAAAAGAAAAGCCCAGGGACUCUGCCAGUUGGCACAUUGCCAUUGUGGACGUUCAUAUCUUGUUUGCUUAGUCCAAAGCCUUCAGUUCAGACAAUGGUAGAGGAAGGAGAAGACAUAAUGAUUCAAGUAAAAGAGAAGGUCUCUCAAGUUAGUCAGACAGAGGAAAAGAUUCAAGUAAAAGAGAAGGCCUCUCAAGCUAGUCAGACAGAGAAAGAAAGUGUAAAACAGAAAAAGCCAUCAGGGGGAAAGUUACAACAGGAGACUGCUACUAACACCUUUCUAUCACCAGAGGGUGUAAGUGUCCAACCAACAGCACCACCUCUACAGGAGACUGCUACUAACACCUUUCUAUCGCCAGAGGGUGUAAGUGUCCAACCAACAGCACCACCUCUACAGGAGACUGCUACUAACACCUUUNUACGCACAAAUUGCUGCAGAUGCAAUUAAGGCAUGGAAGACUUUACAAGGACAUGGAGGUUUACAAGGUCAAUUAUCUAAGGUAAUACAAGGAGCUAAUGAACCUUAUGCUGAAUUUGUAGAUAGGCUUAUUCAAACAGCUACCAGAGUUUUUGGGAAUACAGAACAAGCAAUGCCAUUACUAAAACACCUGGCUUAUGAGCAAGCGAAUCGUUGGUGCAGAGAUAUCAUUAGACCAUGGAAACAUGAAGAUUUAAACACAUAUAUUAAAUUAUGUAGAGACAUUAAUGAACAAGAGCAAGUCGUGGCAGCUGCAGUAAAACAGGCUUUAGAUGCCAGGCCAAGAACAUGCUACAAUUGUGAACAAACAGGACAUUUUAAAAGGAAUUGCCCCAUUGGAGGAGGGUUUAACAAAACUAGGUAUCAAAGGAGUAGAAUACCAGGUAUUUGCCCACGAUGCCGUAGAGGGAGACAUUGGGCUAAUGAAUGCCGUUCUCAAACCACCAUAGAGGGUACUCCAUUAUCAAAAAACGAACAAGGACCAGGUGUUUAUCCACGAUAUCGUGGAGAAAGGCAUCGGGCUCCAUUGCCAAAAAAUGGACAGGGGGGCCCAAUGCUCCGGGGCCCAAAACCACAAAUAUACGGAGCACUGGAGGAACCCAGCAACCCCAUCAGGGUAGUGCCCAGGACACAUUGUCCAUCAGAUCCCUCAUCAGACAAACCAGAGGGAGCGCAGGGUUGGACAUCUGCGCCUCCGCCAGAGCAGUACUAACUCCAGAGAUGGGAGUUCAAAUCAUUCCCACAGGGGUGAAAGGACCUCUUCCCAAAGGAACAGUAGGCUUAUUAUUGGGACGCAGCUCUUCUACUCUAAAAGGACUUAUGAUAAGUCCUGGGGUAAUUGAUCCCGAUUAUGAAGGUGAAAUAAAAAUUAUAGCCAGUUAUCCAAAGGGUAUAUCAGUAAUUUCACCAGGAGAUAGAAUAGCACAGUUACUAAUAAUACCCAGCCUACAUGAUAAAUUUUCCAGUCGUACUGUAGAAAGAGGUUCCAAGGGAUUAGGCUCCACAGGUGUAGAUUGGGCUAUGCUUUCUUUAAGUUUAGAUUCUCGCCCCAUGCUAAAACUAAAUAUUCAAGGACAUGAAUUUAAUGGGCUACUGGAUACAGGUGCAGACCUUAGCAUCAUCUCUCGUCAAGAAUGGCCAAAACAUUGGCCAUUACAACAAGCCACUCAAGUUUUGGAAUCAUGAAGAGUGUGACCUGUGACUCUAUUCUUUCUCAAGAUUGUUGUUGGCUGUUCAAGUUUAUUGUUCAUUUUGGAAUGAAUUGGUUUUUUCCUGGGUCGGCUCUUUGUGAGAGCCCCCCAGCCCCCGUCUAGGAUGGGGUGAUGGGGAUGUGAGCUGGACAGCUCUGCGAGUCCUGUGCUCUCCCUGGGGCUGCACAGAGGCAGGCUGCUUCCUGCAGACCCCUGCCGAGUCCUUCUGAUUCUGGGUGUGGCCGGUCCCCUCUCCACUGCUUGGUCUUGGUGACUUCACGGGAGGCCCACUUCCUUGCUGGUUCAGGCUGCCCAUCAUGCAGGGGGAGUGCCUUUCUGUGGGUGCUCCCUAGACCUGCUUCCCAGGCCUUGCAGCCUCGCCAUGCCCAUGCCCUUUCCCUGCCUGGCAAGGCUCUGCCUACUUGCUCACUGCCUGGGUGCCAGCCCUCACCUGAGGUAGGGGUCUGUGGAUUGCAUUUCCUGUUUUGUCUAAAUAGGAAGUUUGGCUUCUUAAACUCUUCAUUAGUUUGGGGAGCAUCCUCCUUGUUGUUUGAGUGUGAUUUCUAGAAAGAAAUAGGAAAGACAUGCCAAUAUAUAUUGCCAGGUCUGCUUGCCAUCAGGGCCCUCCCUUUGAUGACCCCCCAGAGUGUGAGCAUGCCUUCUCUGGCACUUGCAAAUGGGAGGUCUCACCCACAUCCUGUCCUCUCUGCCAGGACAGUAGAGCUGCCAACCUUGACUGACAGCACCACUCGCGGUUCCUAGGGGUUGUGGGCCAGGCCAGCAGGAGGCUCAGGGACUGCUGCUCUCAGCACCAUGGACAGUACCUGCAUGGACGCCUGCCCUGCAUCUGCAGCCUGCAUCUGUAACUGUCCUGUCCACCUGGCACCUCCUGCCUGCAGGCCUUUGGACAAGUGGCAGGAGGCACAGGGUUGCCCUGGUAUCCCAGCCACUGGUCUGGCCUGCCGCUCAGUGCCACUCAGUACCAGCUGGUGCAAAGGCAGCUGGGGAGGGGCUGAGGGCAGGAAAAGUUUUGGAGGUGAGAGGAGUUAUGGAGAGGAGAAGAGAGCCCCUAGGGCCGAGAGGAGCAGUCAUCCUUUGCAUUGAUGAAGCAGACUCAUCAGUGUCGCCCUGUGGUGGAGGAGGGGGACCCAACAGGCUUGGUUGUUGUCAGUGUGGAAGGGGACUCCAAGCCUCCAGGGGGCUGAGGCCCUGUGAGGACCUCCCAGGUACAAGGGAGGAUGUCUUGAUCCUUCCCUGGUGUGUUUAGUUUGGGGAGGUGUGUCUGUCACUGGCUCCGAGCCCCCCAGCCCAGGCAGAGUCUGCUCAAGUGUUUGCCAGUGGGUGAACUGUCAUCUGUCAUGUCUUUACACUGACCACUUCCCCAGCCUGAGGGAGACAUGUGACUCCUCAAGUUAUUUGAGAGCUUCUGAAACUCUGUGAACUCCUGGGUAUUCCAUCACUGCUCCCACCCCAUGGAGCCCUUGGGGCUCCUGGCGGAGCACCCAGAUUCUCUCCUGCUCUUGCCUCUGGCCAUGCUGUGGGCCUCCUGGGACUGCCAGGCUGGCUGCCUGUGCUGGUGGCUCCCGAGUGUGAAGCUCAGAGCUGAGUUGAAGAGCUGGCUGGCCCAGUCUGCUGAGGAGGUUCUGGCAUUGAGCCGGUGCCACUGCAGAUGGAGGGAUAUCUGCCCCACGUCUUCCAUCCUGGUCCAUCUGUCUGGUACCUGGGGGGGUGGGUCUUCCAAACCUUGUGGUGGUGAUGGAGUGCCUCUCUUGGGAGUCCUCCCCUGGACCUCUAGAGCUGCCCUGGGUAUGGUGGCUACAUGACAUCCCUUCCACUGGCUGCAAGCUCACCAGGUUGAGCUUGUGCCCAUCCUUAGUGACCUCGUGGGGAGCCAGGCUAUGAAUGCCCAGACACACUCCCGGAUUAUGUCUAUUUCAGCUUGGAGUGAUGGCUGUUCAGAGCAGGUGCCAAAGCCCGGUGGACAGGGCUAGCACAGCUUUUAGGGGAAAGAGACCUGGGUCUGGAUUCCAUCCAGGCCUUUGACCCACUGGGUAGCCUGGGGCAAGCUCUGACACCUCUGAGCCUCAUGUCUCUGGCUGGGAAGUGCUGACAGUAGAAGCUCCCUCACCGUGAGCCUGAUAGUCACAAGUGUAGAGAAUUAUUCCAUUCUCUCCUCCAGAGCUGUGCUGUGUGGUGAGGGGAGUGACUUCCCUCCAGAGCAGGAUGUGCCCAAGUGAAUCGGGGCACGCUCUGGUCUUCCCCUCGCCUUACUGUCCUCCAUCCCUGCACCCACAGCCUGCUUGGAGCCUGUGUAGAUGGGGACUCUCCUGUCUCUGCUGCUCGACUUGGGCGUCAUCCUCUUGCUCCUUUGCUUCUGCUGUCCUGGGGAGAGGGAACGUGGUGAGAUGUAGUAGCUGGGUGGUGGGCACAGCUGGGCCUGGACGCUUCCCUUCCCAGGAAGGGAGGAGGUUGGCGUAGAGGCAAUGCGUGCAGGAGGAGGGGAGACAUGCACUGUGGACAUCCUGACUGCCCUUUUGUGCUGUUAGUGAUUGCGCUUCUCCAUGGCUGAUUCUGGGCGUCAAUUUGCAAGGUGCCUGGGGGUGCCUGGCUGGCAGUCUGUCUGACGUGGAAUCCAAGUUGCUAUAACAACACUGAUUCAUGCAGUCGCAGCUCCCCUGGCUGGGACCUGCCUCUCUCUGGCUCUGAGGCAUGUACAGACACACGUGCUUGCGCGAGCACACCUACGUGGAGACCCCGAGGGCUGGCGCCGGGCAGGGCUGAGUGGGUCUGGGCACAGCCAGGCCUCCUCCACCUUGGCGCGAUGCCUCCAAGCGUGUGCCUUGGCGUGUGGGGUGUCAGGUACAGUCAGGGGAGUGGGUCGCAGCCUACUCUACGGGGGGGCAGGACUGGGCAGCUUCUGAGGGGGGUGUGGGCACGAACCAUGCUCUGUGACUCAGUGUCUCCCACGUGCAGCUUGAGCAAGGGACCCCAGAAUGCCUGCUGCUUCUGAGUCUGGUCAGGCAGGUUUUGCCUGCUCACCCACGUGGCAGGGGCCUUUCCUGGGGCCCCAGUGAGAGGGGAUGCCAGCCUCGGGCCCACCGUCCCACUGAUUGUCCCACAGGAAACUGCAGUCUGCUGUGAGCAGCUCCUGGUGCAACGGUCGCCUCCUCAUUCCAGGCUGGCCCUGGUCUCUGCUUCCUCUUUCCUCUGAGACAGGCCAGAGGUUCGUCAGUGGGGCUGGGGCUGCUCCAAGACCCCACCUGCCUCUGUCCCCAGCUCUGACUCCAGCCACCACCUGACCCUCUAAGGCAUCAAGGGACUGGCAGGUUUUUAAAGGAGGAAGCCACACUGGGUGCUGGAAGGGGUUCGUCUGGCCAUGAGCAUCCUCAGGGCUGAUGGGAGGCCCUUGAGUCAUUCAGUCCUUGCUGGGGAUUCAGUCAUUCAUCCUGGGGACCUGUGUUGAGUGGGCAGGAGCUGGUGAGAGAAGUGGGUUUGAUUUGGCCUUGGGCUGCCCGUGGCCUUCGGGGGCUGGACUGGUUCUGUGGACAUCCUCUUAGUGCCCCAGUAAUUCUGAAGACGACCUGGAGCCCUGUGGGCUGGGCCAGACCGGUGUUCCCGGCCCUGGUUGGAUUGGGUUCACAAGUCUGUAGUGCUGGGAUAUGAGGCGCAGCAGGGUCCUGUGGAAAUGCAGCUGAAGGCGAAGGGGUGUGUGCGCGCGUGUGGGUAAGGGUGGGAUGAAGAGCACUGGAAAAGCUUUAUCUCAGUUUCCAAAAAGUAGACCCUGUUGUCACAGAAAGCUCACAGCAGAGGAAGGAAGCCAGCCUUGCUUGGUGGUGAUCAUUCAGACCCUCCAGAGGUCUUUCCCGUCUUUUUUCUGCUGUGGUAUUUGAUGGAAUUGUGUCCUCACUAGGUGACUUACUUGCACCCUUGCUGUUUCACCUGAGAGUUAGGGUCAUCUGCUGGGAGGGUGGCUGGCGAGGAGAGGAUUGAGCCAGGGGUGACCAUCUGGUGGGCUGCCAAGAGAAGUGGGAUCAGCCUGGGCUGGGGGAGGUGGGGAAGAGCUUGGGGCAGUGGGUGUUUGCAGGGGUGCCCUGGGAAAGGGACACAGCCUCCUGGGGUCCUCUCUCCUACUGUUCCCAGUGCAGUUUGGCCAGCAGGAGGCUCCAUCCUGUCCAGCUCCCUAGUGCCCCUGAGAGAGUGCCAGCAGUGCCUCUCCCGCUGUGUGACCUUGUGAACCUGUGUUCUGGGCUGUCGUGUCUCCCCUGUCUGUCGCUGGCCCGAGAGCCAGGCCUGGCUUCACGGGGGAUGUUCUGUGACUUUGGGCUCCUCAGUUCUCUCUGUGCCUUAGUUUCUCACCUGUGACCUUGUGGGGGGUGGAAGUGGGUUAAUGCAUUUGAAGUGCACUGGACAGCACUUGGCACCAGGUGAGUAUGCAGCAAAGGUCUCAAAAAGUCCGUUGCUCCUCCUGCUCCUCCUCGUCAACGUUGCUGUCCUGUGACCACAGCUUCUUAGGAAUAGGUGCUGGAGGGCUCAGUUUCCGCUCUGCUGGGUGCUGUGUAGGCAGCCUGCUCAGUCUUGGGAGGGCAGGCUGGAACCUCGGGACCCUGCCUGGGGUCGAGGUACCUGGGGAGGCUCCCUUCCCAGCAGAUGGAGCUGGGAGCCCAGGAGGCCGAGCAUAGCCACUAGCCUGCCCCACGAGGGGGCACUUGGAGACUGCAGCGUCAGGAAGCCUUUUGCUUGCUUCACACUGCCCAUGGCUGGCCAGGUGCCCUCUUUUGUCUCAUAAGGUCCCUGGCCUUUGGUGCCUUCUGGCACCUCCCCAUGGGGGUAGGACUUUCAAGGGUUUUAAUCUUCAAGGGUCUCGCUCUCAUCCCUAGGGCAUAGGGACAAGUGGGCUUCCCUGUCACCUUUUGCAGAGUGCUCCUGUUGGGAGCCUUGGUGACUGUUUAGAAGCUGUGGCUCUGGUGAGCUCCCUGGGUGGUGAGCUGCGUGGGGUGAAGUCGGGUGGGGCGCUGGACACUGGGGCUGGGCCACAGGGCUGGGAGGAGGGGCUGGUUGGGGAGGGGACUGGCACCUUUUCGCCACGUUGAUGCUUCCCCAGGCUUGCUGUGUGCCACGUUCCGUCCUUGCUGCAGUGGCCCUCAGAGGCAUGGUGGCUGAGGAGUCGGAGGUUCUUGGGUGAAGCCCACUGAGCAAGGUGCCAUGGUGAGGUGGAAGGCACCUUCCUUCUACAAGGCUCUUCUUCUGCAGAGGAUGCUGCCAGCCCAGCCCGGGAGAAGCUGAUGUUAGGACCAUGGUCAGAGCGCUGCCGGGCUCUGCGAGCAUGGAUCCUGGAGCUCGACAGGCAGCCCCGGCCUUGGCUUUGGGAAGAGAAACUUGACUUACCCAGGGUCAGGAGCAGCUCACAUGUGGAUGACCAGAUGGGGCCUGCGUGGCAUCAGCUCCGGUCCUAGCUCAUGCGCUCCCCAUGGCCACCCCCAGAAGGGGGUACUUUGUUACAGAUGCAGGGAGUCAGGGGCCUUCAUUUCACCCAAGGCAACGGAGCUUGGGAGUCCAGGAUCCAGACUUCCCAGAGUGCAGGCUAUCUCUGGUGGCUUGACUUGGCAUGACCAGUCCUGGGUGCUCUAGGGCUGGUGGAGCUGACUCAGGACGGAUGGGAGCUUUUCUCCAGGUGAGGCCCCCAGUGGUGGAUCGGCCUUGUUAGCCCACUUCCUAAAUUGUGGAAAUGAACACAAUGAUCUUGAGCCAAACAGGAUGAGCUUGUUUGUCUAGGCCCGUAGGAGGGUGGCCGGGAAUGGGAACUAGAUGUGUUGGUCACUCCUGGCCAUUUGCCCUGCGGAUGCAUGCUGCCCUGGGUGGUCGCCACACUAGGGUUGGGCAUCUGGUGGCCUGUGUGCAAGGUCUGAUGAUCUGGGUCCAUCUGGGCCCUGGGACUCAGUAAGGGUCUGCCCUGGCAGAGCCUGCCCGCUCUGGCCCCCUUGUUCUAAGGAGCUGCAUCCUGUGUUCAGUUCACCUGGGAGCUCCAGCAGCUUUCUUGGUUAGGUGAUGACGCUCAUUCGGUUUUUCAUCUUUGCAGACAGUGACGGGUGUGCCUGGCAGAGACUCAGAGAGCCUCAGUGGUGGCAUCUGAGGUGCCUCUUGGGUGCAGGGUCCUGAGUGUGGGACCACAUGCAGAGCACCCACCAGCAGUCUGGUGGAGGCGAGACCAAUCCUCCCAGCCUGCCUGCAGCCGCGGCCACUUGGGGCAUGUGUCACAGCUUGAGACCUGGUUCACUUACCAAGUGUACACUUCAGUGGCUCUUGGGUGCUGAAACGGUGCUUGGCCACCACCACCUUCUGGUUCCAGAACUCUUCCAGCUCCUAAAGAGCCCAUGCCCACCGGCAGGCACUCCUGUUCCCAACUCUGCUCUGCCCAGCAACUCAGCCUCCUUUCUGGCUUUAGGGAUUUUGCUGGUUCUGAACUUCUCCCUUUGGAAGGAGUCUGACAAUGUGGUCCUCCAUGACUGGCUUCUCACACUGAGCUCCACGUGUCAGGGUCUGUGCCUGUCAUCGCGCCUCUCCGAACCUCGUGGUGGGUGUGGCAGGCACCUCCUGCCAGGCUUCUUUCUACCCAUGGCAGGUUUGCUGUGCACACAGUGAAACCCAGAUGCCGAGGGCUCAGCGAUUUGAGUUUCCACAUCUGUCUCGUGGUGUAACGUCCCCAAGUAGCCACCUAGUGCCCCGAGCCCCAGAGUAGCCCUCAUGUCCUACCCCUUCCCCGUUCUGUUUAUCUUGCAGGGUUUGGCCUGUCCUAGAAUUUCCCGCAGCUCGAGUCAUGCAGGAGUGCGUUGAUGCACGCCAUUCACACCCGUGACUCUACCACGCGUCCCUGGGCUCUUGGCUCUGCUCUCUGUUCUGAUGCUGUGCAGCGUGCGACCCUGAGUGUGGUUGUGCGGCGCACGUUGCCUUUGCGCUGGGCUGUGUGCUGCGCAGACGGGCCACCGUCCAUACUCCUGCACACAUUCUGGGUGGGUGACAGGCUGCUCUGACCAUGGGUGCAGGGCUCUUGGGGACGUGUGUUUUCUGCUCUCCUGGGGCAGGGUGGCUGCGCCAGGGCACUUGUCUCUUUAUCAGAACUGUCAGAUGGCGCUGACUGGCGGCCCCAUUGUGUACCCACAGUUAGGACAUGAGCACCUUGCAGCCCUUGUAGCCCAGCUGAGUGUGCAGCUGUGGGCUUACUGUCACUCCAGUGGUGUCCUGGGCCUGGACGUGAGCUGGGCGUGCUGCCUGGGCACCUGUGGCAGUGCGAAGUCGCCCUUGGUGUGUGUGGUGUGCACUGAUGCGCCGUUGUCGACUCCAGGUGGUUGUAGCCCAUUCUUGUUUUGUGAUGCUUCAGGCUUCUGGUGGCUUCUUCUGGAUUCCUUGUGUGAAGUCCUAGGAUGUGGGAACUGUGGUGGCCCCAUGUGCCCAGAGGCUUUCGUGGUGCUGCCUCUUCCUCUCUGUGCCCUGACUGGGUGGGCCACUGUGUGUCCUGGGGGGCGGGUUGCUGCCCCCCGGUCCCUGUGCUGGGGGUUGUCCCCUGCCAUCUGUCUUUCUUGCUUUAGUUUGUGACAUGUUUGAAUUUUUUUUUUUUAGACUAAAUCUCAGCAGUGCCUUAUAUAUUCAGGAUGUAACCUUCAUCAUUUUGUUGGAAACAUGUUUUCACUUUUGUCAUUUGCCGUUUAAUUUUGCUUAUAUUGCAUUUUGAUUGACGAAUCUUUGAAAAUGUGCUGCCAAGUCUACUUUCCCCGGUGUGCGUGUUUGCGUGCGCACGUGCUUAGCAGUACUUUGGUAUUGGUGGAUGUUUUGUGUUUGUUUUAAAACUAUUUGACCCUUCCGUCCAUCUGGAAUUUGUCUUGGUGUUGAGUGUCAGAUGAGGAGCUGGCUGGCCUUUUCCUAGUUCACUGGUUUGUCUGUGUGUCAGAUGAGGGGAUAAUGGAGGAGGUCUCUGAGGGAGAGACUGCGGGUGCUGGCCCUUCCCCCGUGGUGGACAGGCUCUGAGGUGGUGGGGAAAAUCGUCUCCCUGCAGCGCAGGGAGGGGAGGAGGGACGGCAGGGCGCCGGGCACCAGGCACCAGGUGUGUGUGGUUCUGUGCUCUGCCAGGAGCAGCCCUCUGCUUCCUAGAUGGCUCUGAGCCCAGGUCCUCAUUUUGGCCCUCCCACCAUCCAGGACCUGGUGGAUCUGCCUGCUGUGUGUCCAGCUGGGAAUAGACCUUUCUGUGGGUGUCCAGAGGUGGGUGCAGUGGGCCCGCCUUCGCACCCAGGGCCUGUGCUCCCACCAGGCUUGUUGCCUCAUGCCAGGCCCUGGAGUCCUGUGUUUGGGUGAGCCCCUUGGCUACCUGCUGCUGUUGCCCUAACCUUCUCCCGGGCGCAGGACCUGUUGUAGUCCAUGUGAGCUUUUGUAACUGGGUGGCUUAUACCUGCAGGCGUUUAUUUCUUUGGGUUCCGGAGGCUGAGUGCCUGGGGUCGGGGCCUGCAGAAUGGGGUCUGGUGAGUGGCUGCCCUGGGCUGCACAUGGCGCCUUCUUGCUGUGUCCUUCCAUGGCAGAAGCAGAGAAGCAGGCUCUCCUGGGACUCUCCCAGGGGUGCUCCUCCCACCAAAAGGGCACCUCCUGAGGCCCUGCCUCCACAUCCUGUCACCCUAGGGGUUAGGUUUUCACACAUGAGUUUGGGGACACAUAUUCAGACCACAGCAGAGCCCAGCAGGCUCCCAGGCUCCCUCUGGGGGGGAACACAGGGGCCUGAGUCUGCCGUGUGAGGCCUGCUGGGCCUGCCUGCCUUUCUCCUCCAGUGACUGCAUUAGCAACCGGCUGCUCCCGUUCUUGAGUGUGUGGACAGGCUGAAAGAGAUGGGGCCUUUCUCGAGGUCCUGCACUGGCCAAGACAGAGUAGGGGUCAGACUCGCUGUCUCUGUAGCCCAGUUCUCCCUGGCUGCUGGGCUUGGCACUGCACACGUGUGUAACAGCUUCUGUGAGCUGUCUGCCUGCGCAGCAGACUGUGCUCCCAGCCCGGAGGGUGGCUGCACUGGCGGCCAUGCCUCUUCUCCUCCCCGCCCUCUCCAUCUUGGGCUGUCCCCCAUCGUUAGCCUCCUGCCUCAGCAGAUCCCCAUCAGUCACAGCCUGGCCUGGGCUGGGCGUGAGGGACCUGUGGUGGUGGGAGGAAGCUGGCUGUUGCUCUGAGGAAGCCCUGUCUUCUGGGUCUCUGCUGUCACCACCAGGGGUCUUGGCGUGUAGGCUGGCCAGGUGGCCCAGUGUUGGUAGGGUCAGGUGUGCUUUGAGCUUUUCGUGGAAUGGCUUGAUCUGCUAAUUUAAGGGUUGGGCUUCAAGAGACCAUGCUGGUGCACUGUCAUGGAACCGGGCGGUGCCCAGAGGCUGCCCAGUGGCUGAGCCCUUGGGUCAGUUGCUGCAGGCGCACCAGGCAGAUGUCUGCAGGGUCAAUGCAGCUGAUCCUGGCCCAGGGCCUGUCCUGCCAGGGCUCACUCUUCCUCUGCCAGCCUGGCCCUCCUCUUCUAAGGGCCACAUUCUCUCUGCCCUUCCCAUGUGAUUGUGUGUUCUUCCUCUCCUUCCCUGGGCAUUGGCCACAAGGAUGCCCUGGUGGGAGGGCUACCUUGUAUUGGUGGCCAUGAGGCGUGGCCUUCCUAAAUUUAGGCGUCUUCUUUUUAGCCAGCCUGUGGCCUCCCUGGGGAAAGGGGACAGGAGCUACUGGUGUUUGGGUACGGGCCUGGCCUUGUGUCCCAUGGAUAUUGUCGCAUGUGUAUUAUUCUAGCAGCAGCAGUCUGUGUGUGUGUGUGUGUGUGCCCACAUGUACUGCGUGAGGGGUGGAGGCCUUUGGGGCACCUCCCCGAGGCACUGGUGCUUGGAGUCUUGCUCCCCUUCCUUCCUUCCCAGGGCCAGCCUGGAGGGGUGCAGCUGUUGUCUUGGAUCCUAGAAGUCGUCGAGUUACUGCUCUGUUCCUGACUGUGGCCAGGUCAGCUCCCGCCACAGCCCAGGCCUUCACCUUUGAUCUCUGGCCUCACAGGUGGCUGGAGUUCUGGGCAAGGUUUUGGUGCCAGGUCCCCUCCUUGACCUGACAUGCUUUCUCCCACCCAGCCUGCAGCCUGAUCCUGCACGGUCUGUGGGAGAUGCCUGCUGGUGGUCAUCCUAGAGAGUAGGGCCAGUGUUGCUCUGCUGAUGGGUGGUGGUCACAGGGAGAGAGCUAUACCUGGCUCCUGCUCUCAGGCCCCACCAGACCUGCCCUGGCUCUGGCCAUGAGCUGGGCAUGGGACCAGGCCUCUGUUGAGCCCAUAGGCGGGGCCCUCCCUGGAGGACAGCAGCAAGCCCUUCCUAGUUCUACCCAGGGGUUUAGUGCCUGCGUCCUGGUUUCUGGGUCAGGUGGGGGUGGGCCCGGGGAGUACAGCUUGUCAUGACCAUCGUAUUGCCUCCCUCCUAGGUGGAUGUUUUCCCAGCCACAAGGCUGGGUGAGGUCCUGCUGGGCCAGGCCGUGGCCUCACAGGGCCUGUAGGACCACCCCAGCUGGGCUUUGAAGCUGGCUGGGCCUGAGCCAGCUCCCAUGGCCCUGGCCCAGGUCUAUAUCCUGCGGCCCCUUCAAAGACCAGAUGGUCUGCUUCCCAAGGGAGCUGUGCCCAGCUCUAGGCUAGGGUCUCGUGCUUUCUUCCAGACCUGGACCUUCCUGCCCCUUCGCCUUCCUGAGGGAGAAGACCCUGUCCUGGGAGAGAGUGAUGGGGGCAGGGUGGGAAGCAGCCUGUGGAGCAGCAGAGAGGAAGGUCUCAGCACCGGAGAGGCCCAGGGGACUUGUGGAGUCCUGCACAGCAGUCUUGGGCUCUGGCAGGAGCCACCUGAGCACCCGAUGUCAGGGAGUGCAGCGUGGCUCACUGCCCCCUCCAGCUGCCCUGGGGGACUGCUGAGGAGGCUUGGCCUGGAGGAGGGGGCUGAGGUGCAGGAAGGCGGGAAGUGCCAGAGGCCACACGGCCAGGCCAGGAUGUGGCUCUCAGGAGCAGCAGCCCCUGGAUCCCCACCUCUCAUGGGAAAGAGGGCUAGGAGGUCGGAGAGCACUCCCUUCCCUGGGACCUGCAGCCUUCUGAUUGCUGGGUCCCACUCUUCCCCUCUCGCACCGCCCCUGCUGGCUGUUACAUCACCUGUCUCCAGGCCUCCUGCAGGGCUGGCGCUGAACACUGUCAUCCGCAGGUGUCCAUGGUGCCCCAGCCCUCCCCGUCCCCCUCCCGUCACUGUUCUCUUCCUCCUUCAACAAGUCCUCUGGAGGAGCCCCGGGCUCUGGGACUGUUGACUGAACCCUGCAGCGGAGGCCACAGCGAGGGGCUGGCUGUCUCUUGCCGCCUCCUGCCCAGCUCUCCAGCAACUGUGUGGUGGAGGCCUUGGUGUGUCCUCUGUGCUUCAGUCUGGACCUCUCUUCUGAGCCCUAGCCCUGAACCCUGUUGCUCUCGUCGGGUGGCUGGCCCAUAGCUUGAACUCAGCUCUGCUCUUGAGUUUCCGAGCCCUCCUCCCACAGCCUUCCCCAUCUGGGUGAGUCACCCGGACCACGGUCCCAUUCUUCUGCUUGCUUAGGCCAGGGGUCGACAUGCUUGUCCCUGCAAGGGCCAGACUCUAGCAUCUGGGGUUCCCAGGCCUCCCCUGACUCUGGCUGUGGGGUGCUGAGGAGAUGGCACUCGGCAGUGCUACGUGAGUGGGCCUGGCCCUGCUCCACUCAGACCUCAGCCCCAUGCGCCUGCCCUUGGCUCGGGGCCUCUGGGGACCACAUGGGCCUUGCCCGUGCAGCUCCAGACGGCAGCUGUGUCCACCCAGGUGCCCCACAGGGAAGCGGCUUUCCUAGCACCCACCUGGUGCCUUCGUGCCCCUCAGAUGGUGCUGCCAGUGAGUGUCUGUCUUCACCAGUAAGUGCUGCCUGAUCUUCCUGUGAUGCCAGGUCUGUUGACACGGGACAGACACAUAGUGCCACUCGCUGCAGUGUCCAGUGAGCUCCAGGAGAGUUCCAGUCACGAUUGGAGCAUUGUGCCUUUCUCCUGCCUGAUGGUCUGUCCCUGAUCCUACCCCUCAGGCGGCAGCCUGAUGUGACUUGUGCUCUGUAGGCCCUGCGUUGACGCGCUGUGUGGGGUUCGUGUCCUCUCCCCUCGAGGUCUGUAGGAGCGCCCUGUCGCCCUGGGAGGCUUCUUGGGGGAGGUCAGCUGCCUGUUGAGUGUCUGCGAGAUGAUAUUGGUUUGUGUCUUGUGUGGAGUCCUUGACUUCAUCAGAGUUGCUGGACUUUUGGGCGGGACUGUGAGUUACAGAAUAGUGACUCUUGGUGACAUUCCCUCACUCUCCUUUCAAUGCCGGGAGGGUCUUCAUGGCAGUGAUGUCCCUGUGUGGGGUGAGAGGCAGUGGUGCCCACUCAGGAUGGAGUUUGUGUGCGGCUCCUCUGGCUUUCCCAGCGCUGCUGUCUGGAGGUGCAGGGUCAGUGCUGGUCUCCCGCCCGACUUCACCCUGCUGGGGUGGGGGUGGGGGCGUGAAUUCUGGCCGGUGCCCUCUCACGCCCCCUUGAGGAGGCCAUGGUGUGUCAGCUGUAAUUCUUCUCUUCAUUCUUGGUGUCUGUGUCUUUUCCCUGCCAGGUUCCAGGGUUUUAGUUUUUCCUUUCCAGCAGGUUAAUGAUAUUCUCUUUUUCCUUUCUGUUUGGCUUGGCAUUUGUCGAUGCGGUGUCCUCCGGGCUCGGGCCUGUGGUGUGCUGCUCUCAGUCUGCCCAGGCUGUCGCCACAGUGCCGCAGACCGUGCUCCUGGCUGGGAGGCCCGGGCCAAGGGGACAGCUGGUUUGGUGUUUGCAGCAUCCCGUUUCCUGGCUCAUAGACAGUACCCUCCUGCUGUGUCCUCCACUGGGAGGCCGAGGAGCCCCUGGGGGCCUCUCUCCCCUUCACGAGAGCUUUGCCUUGUGACCUGGUCACCUCCCAGAGGCCCCUCCCUCUGCUCAGUACCAUUGCCUUGGGGGUGAAGACUUGGCACACAACUUUUGGGGGCACACGUUAAGCCUGCAGCAGAGUCCCUCGAGGAGCAGCUAUGGAGAGCUCUUUGCUGUCCUCUUGGAUGCCUCCUUGCCCUGUCUCUUCUCCUCACCUUCCGGGGCUCCAGUACGCAACAUUGGGCAUCCAUGGUGUCUAGGAGCUCCUAGGGGCUGGCUUUCCCUUUCCCGUUCACUCCCUUCUUGAUGCAUCGGUCUGGGGAUUUCUGGCCGUGGCUCUUCUGCUCACUGCACCCUGGCUGCAGGGACCCUGCUGACAAGUACCUUGAACAUGCGCUUCACUUCUGUCGCCAUGUGUAUGACUGCCAGCGUUUCCAUUUGGCACUCUGGUAGUUUCCACUUCCUGCAUGUGGGCCAUCCUUUCCACGGGCUUUGAUGUCGCAGUCAUGGUCACUGUGAAUUCCCUGGGAGUUCUGACGUUGAGGUCUGCUUCUGCUGACUCUUGGGUACUUCUCCUUGUGCUCCUGUGUGUCUCCUGUUUUGGGUUGGUUCAACUGAUUUUGACUUCAUGUGUGGGGUGUCAGGUGAGGUACCUAACAUUAUGCUCAGCAAUGGUGUGCCCUGUUUUCUGGGCCCCUUCACGGGGUGGUUCCGCUGGCCGGAUGUGGCUGGCUUUGGGCUUUGCUGCAGCCUCACCUUCCUCUGGAGUUACCUUAGGUGGGGUGGGAUGGGCCUGUGUUCGCUCCCCAACGGCACAUGCAGGGGCAGCCUCUCUCCAUCCCUGCCCCGUGUGGGGAACUGGGUGGCCUGGUGUGGGUGCUCAGUGGCCUGGCGCAGCCUUGGUCUUGGGCAGGUGUGGUCUUGUGCCUAGGGCUUUCUCAGUGGCCCUGUGCUCUUCCUUUGCCUUGACUCCCUUACUCAUCCUGCAUGGGAGCAUCUCCUGCCCCUUCCUGGUGGGCCUGGAAGGGCCGCCUCCUGCAUUUCCAGGGAUGGAGGGUGAUUUCUUUAUUCUCUAGAAUUUGUGGGUGCCUUGUUUGCCCUGGAGCUAUGGGUCAGCAGCUGCUGUCCUCGACCCCCCAGUGUUUAUCAGGGGAGAGGGCAUUCCUACAGGGCUGCUGGGCUUCCACUUUUCUUGCCCCUGCACCCUGACAUACUGCCUGGCCUGCUCCAGGCUUCCUGGUUAGCACCUGGGUCCAGAGAGGAGGUUUCCGCCCUUGGGAGAGUGCUUACCUGCUUGCGUGCCCCACGGCCCUGCCAUUUCUGGGCUGCCUGCCCUUGGGCUCUGUCUUGUCUCCCCUGUCUGUAGGUAUCAACUGACUGUUGCCCUGAGACUUCAGCUCUGAUGAGUCCAAGAAAAUGAUGAGUUUGUAGUUUUGUAGUCUUUUCUUCUGUUGUUUCAGGGCAGCUCCCUUGGAGCUUCCUGCAGGGCAGGUGGCGGCAGGGCUGUAACUGUGGGAGCUGCGUUUUCUUGUUUGAAGCAAGUUUGAACUCUUCUCAUUGUUUAAGCCCCGGUUUUACACUCUGUGAGUGAGAAUUUUGUGUCUUUUGCCCAUUUUCCUUGCAGUUUUUUGAGCUCUUUACGUGCAGCCAUGUUUUCUUACUGCUUGGCUCACAGCGUUUCGCCAGGAAUCUGGGUUCGCUUCUGUUGCGGCACGUCUUAUUCCUGGUUCUCAUGCUUCUUGCUGCUGUCUCUUUGGUGGCACUGGCUAGCCCACCAGAAGGGUGCUGAGAGGUACUAGAUGUGGUGGCUUCUCCAUCUCCUGAUCCUUGUGAAUGGCUCCGGGUGUUUUCCUACUGAAUGAGGCACCCACUCAGGACGAAUGGUAUUUCCUUCAUCAGGCAGGAGUGUUGAGUUUCGUGGAUGUGGUUGGUAGCACCCAUGGAGACCCUCAUGAGGUUUUCCUGCAGGUUCAUUGCUAAGGUGUGUUACAGUGAUGGGCAUCCUCGUGCUGAACCAGCCUUGCGUUCCUGGGAAAACUGGCAGGUGGGACUUUGACUCUUAUUUCUUAGUGUUUUAUUUAGUAUUUUUGAAUUGCUCUUUAUGACAUUGGCUUACAGUCUGCCCGCCCCCCCACUUUCUUUCUUGAACUGUUCUGUACCAGCUUUUGGAAUCAAUGUGUCAAUGUUAGGCACAUGUCUUACUGGUAUCAUAAAAAAGGAUAGGGAACUUUCCUUUUGUUGUCAGUGGACAGACUUGGCCAAAUUCUUCUGCAAAACCUUCAGGUCCUGUGGCUCUUUAGUUGGGACAGAUUUGAUAACUUGUGUUUUUUCUGUUGGAACAGUGGGCCACUUUUGGCCGACUUCUCUGACCUGUGACAGUGCCACUCACAGUCCCCUUGGAGAGAGGCCCUGUGCAGACCAGAGCCUCUGGUCCUCAGCGCUUUCUCUCGGUGGUCACUCCUCCCGUAUAGCUUGGUGUGUUGUGUAGUUGUGUUGCUCCUUUUUUUCUUGGUUAAGUUGGUUCUGGGUUGUUUUUUUGUUAGUAGCUUUUUAGAAAAUAGCAUUUUGAUUUAUUAAUUAGGUUGAUUAUUUUCCAUUUUCUACUUCAUUGGUUUUUGCUUUUAUUUGUAUUAUUUCCUUCCUUGUGGCUGUUUUGAAUUAUUAUCAUUUUUUUCUAAUCUUUUGAGCUCAGAAUUUAGUGAAUUUGUUUUUCUUUUUUCAUAGAAAUAUUUAGAGUUACAAAUUCACUCUGAUUCCUGCNUGGAGGAGCCCCGGGCUCUGGGACUGUUGACUGAACCCUGCAGCGGAGGCCACAGCGAGGGGCUGGCUGUCUCUUGCCGCCUCCUGCCCAGCUCUCCAGCAACUGUGUGGCGGAGGCCUUGGUGUGUCCUCUGUGCUUCAGUCUGGACCUCUCUUCUGAGCCCUAGCCCUGAACCCUGUUGCUCUCGUCGGGUGGCUGGACCAUAGCUUGAACUCAGCUCUGCUCUUGAGUUUCCGAGCCCUCCUCCCACAGCCUUCCCCAUCUGGGUGAGUCACCCGGACCACGGUCCCAUUCUUCUGCUUGCUUAGGCCAGGGGUCGACAUGCUUGUCCCUGCAAGGGCCAGACUCUAGCAUCUGGGGUUCCCAGGCCUCCCCUGACUCUGGCUGUGGGGUGCUGAGGAGAUGGCACUCGGCAGUGCUACGUGAGUGGGCCUGGCCCUGCUCCACUCAGACCUCAGCCCCAUGCGCCUGCCCUUGGCUCGGGGCCUCUGGGGACCACAUGGGCCUUGCCCGUGCAGCUCCAGACGGCAGCUGUGUCCACCCAGGUGCCCCACAGGGAAGCGGCUUUCCUAGCACCCACCUGGUGCCUUCGUGCCCCUCAGAUGGUGCUGCCAGUGAGUGUCUGUCUUCACCAGUAAGUGCUGCCUGAUCUUCCUGUGAUGCCAGGUCUGUUGACACGGGACAGACACAUAGUGCCACUCGCUGCAGUGUCCAGUGAGCUCCAGGAGAGUUCCAGUCACGAUUGGAGCAUUGUGCCUUUCUCCUGCCUGAUGGUCUGUCCCUGAUCCUACCCCUCAGGCGGCAGCCUGAUGUGACUUGUGCUCUGUAGGCCCUGCAUUGACGCGCUGCAUUGCUCGAGGUCUGUAGGAGCGCCCUGUCGCCCUGGGAGGCUUCUUGGGGGAGGUCAGCUGCCUGUUGAGUGUCUGCGAGAUGAUAUUGGUUUGUGUCUUGUGUGGAGUCCUUGACUUCAUCAGAGUUGCUGGACUUUUGGGCGGGACUGUGAGUUACAGAAUAGUGACUCUUGGUGACAUUCCCUCACUCUCCUUUCAAUGCCGGGAGGGUCUUCAUGGCAGUGAUGUCCCUGUGUGGGGUGAGAGGCAGUGGUGCCCACUCAGGAUGGAGUUUGUGUGCGGCUCCUCUGGCUUUCCCAGCGCUGCUGUCUGGAGGUGCAGGGUCAGUGCUGGUCUCCCGCCCGACUUCACCCUGCUGGGGUGGGGGUGGGGGCGUGAAUUCUGGCCGGUGCCCUCUCACGCCCCCUUGAGGAGGCCAUGGUGUGUCAGCUGUAAUUCUUCUCUUCAUUCUUGGUGUCUGUGUCUUUUCCCUGCCAGGUUCCAGGGUUUUAGUUUUUCCUUUCCAGCAGGUUAAUGAUAUUCUCUUUUUCCUUUCUGUUUGGCUUGGCAUUUGUCGAUGCGGUGUCCUCCGGGCUCGGGCCUGUGGUGUGCUGCUCUCAGUCUGCCCAGGCUGUCGCCACAGUGCCGCAGACCGUGCUCCUGGCUGGGAGGCCCGGGCCAAGGGGACAGCUGGUUUGGUGUUUGCAGCAUCCCGUUUCCUGGCUCAUAGACAGUACCCUCCUGCUGUGUCCUCCACUGGGAGGCCGAGGAGACCCUGGGGGCCUCUCUCCCCUUCAGGAGAGCUUUGCCUUGUGACCUGGUCACCUCCCAGAGGCCCCUCCCUCUGCUCAGUACCAUUGCCUUGGGGGUGAAGACUUGGCACACAACUUUUGGGGGACACACGUUAAGCCUGCAGCAGAGUCCCUCGAGGAGCAGCUAUGGAGAGCUCUUUGCUGUCCUCUUGGAUGCCUCCUUGCCCUGUCUCUUCUCCUCACCUUCCGGGGCUCCAGUACGCAACAUUGGGCAUCCAUGGUGUCUAGGAGCUCCUAGGGGCUGGCUUUCCCUUUCCCGUUCACUCCCUUCUUGAUGCAUCGGUCUGGGGAUUUCUGGCCGUGGCUCUUCUGCUCACUGCACCCUGGCUGCAGGGACCCUGCUGACAAGUGCCUUGAACAUGCGCUUCACUUCUGUCGCCAUGUGUAUGACUGCCAGCGUUUCCAUUUGGCACUCUGGUGGUUUCCACUUCCUGCAUGUGGGCCAUCCUUUCCACGGGCUUUGAUGUCGCAGUCAUGGUCACUGUGAAUUCCCUGGGAGUUCUGACGUUGAGGUCUGCUUCUGCUGACUCUUGGGUACUUCUCCUUGUGCUCCUGUGUGUCUCCUGUUUUGGGUUGGUUCAACUGAUUUUGACUUCAUGUGUGGGGUGUCAGGUGAGGUACCUAACAUUAUGCUCAGCAAUGGUGUGCCCUGUUUUCUGGGCCCCUUCACGGGGUGGUUCCGCUGGCCGGAUGUGGCUGGCUUUGGGCUUUGCUGCAGCUGCAACCGCCCUGAAGACGCAGCCUCACCUUCCUCUGGAGUUACCUUAGGUGGGGUGGGAUGGGCCUGUGUUCGCUCCCCAACGGCACAUGCAGGGGCAGCCUCUCUCCAUCCCUGCCCCAUGUGGGGAACUGGGUGGCCUGGUGUGGGUGCUCAGUGGCCUGGCGCAGCCUUGGUCUUGGGCAGGUGUGGUCUUGUGCCUAGGGCUUUCUCAGUGGCCCUGUGCUCUUCCUUUGCCUUGACUCCCUUACUCAUCCUGCAUGGGAGCAUCUCCUGCCCCUUCCUGGUGGGCCUGGAAGGGCCGCCUCCUGCAUUUCCAGGGAUGGAGGGUGAUUUCUUUAUUCUCUAGAAUUUGUGGGUGCCUUGUUUGCCCUGGAGCUAUGGGUCAGCAGCUGCUGUCCUCGACCCCCCAGUGUUUAUCAGGGGAGAGGGCAUUCCUACAGGGCUGCUGGGCUUCCACUCUUCUUGCCCCUGCACCCUGACAUACUGCCUGGCCUGCUCCAGGCUUCCUGGUUAGCACCUGGGUCCAGAGAGGAGGUUUCCGCCCUUGGGAGAGUGCUUACCUGCUUGCGUGCCCCACGGCCCUGCCAUUUCUGGGCUGCCUGCCCUUGGGCUCUGUCUUGUCUCCCCUGUCUGUAGGUAUCAACUGACUGUUGCCCUGAGACUUCAGCUCUGAUGAGUCCAAGAAAAUGAUGAGUUUGUAGUUUUGUAGUCUUUUCUUCUGUUGUUUCAGGGCAGCUCCCUUGGAGCUUCCUGCAGGGCAGGUGGCGGCAGGGCUGUAACUGUGGGAGCUGCGUUUUCUUGUUUGAAGCAAGUUUGAACUCUUCUCAUUGUUUAAGCCCCGGUUUUACACUCUGUGAGUGAGAAUUUUGUGUCUUUUGCCCAUUUUCCUUGCAGUUUUUUGAGCUCUUUACGUGCAGCCAUGUUUUCUUACUGCUUGGCUCACAGCGUUUCGCCAGGAAUCUGGGUUCGCUUCUGUUGCUGGGCAUGGCCUUCCUUGCCACAUCCUGACUUGGAAUCCUACCUGGGAGGCUUGCCCAUGGGCGGCUGCUCUUUUGCCUUGCUUCCUGGUUUUCUUUUCUGUGUCGAGGGCUGUGGCCACUGGAGUAUGUUAUUUUGUCCUGUGAGGCCCAGGCUGCGUUCUGUCUUUCCGCAUGGCUAACCAGAUGUCACAGCACCAUGGGUGAGAGCCCUUCACGGUGCCGCACCCACUGCAUAUGGGAUUUCCAUGUCCACGGGCUCUGUUCGUAGACCCCUCUUAUUCUGCUGCUGUUUGUGUUUUCUUGUGCAGCUUUUGAACUAUGGAGACGUUCUAGCGUUUGUAAUAAUAGUUCUAACGUGGCAUCGUCCUGUACCCGUAGGUCCCCCUUUCAAAGGUGCUGUUUGGUGGUUUUAGUCGUUAGUAGUGUUGAGUGUUCAUCGCCACCGUCGUGGGGGCGCUCUCGAGUCCCCCUAAAAAGAGCACCUUGCUGUUGGCAGUCACUUCCUGCUCCCCAGCUCCCACUCCUCGCCCUGCCGGUCUCCUUCUGUCUCUUGAAUGUGCACAUUCUGGCCAUCUCGUGUAGGGGACUCUUGUAGGUGGCCGUUUGUGCCUGGCCUCUUCCACUGUGCUGCUGUUCCCAGCCCCUGCACUGUGGCCUGUGCCAGCUUCUGCUUCUCUGGGACCUUUGAGCGUCUGCUCACUCAGUCCUCUCUUCCUGUUUGGUGCUUCCCUGUGUUUGUGUAUAUCUCUGUGUGCCGCAGUCUGGCUGGGCACAAAACAACUGAGCCGCCACACAGCCUUGUAAGUUCAAACAGCAACCUUUACAGCACUCUACACACACUUCCCGGGAACACUCCCGAACCUCCAUGCACGCGCGCGGCCUUCUCCCCGGACACACCACACACCAACUGGCAUUCCCUCCUCUGGAAAUCCCUCCUCUGGCACUUCCCCAACCAACAGGAACUCCCCAGGAAUCCCCAGGAGAACUCCAAAGUAGCUGGCGCCUGAGGUGGACAGCAGGGGUCUAAUAUGCAAUUGAAUACACAGCUUAACAUAACCAUCAUCAUCUCAAUGGCUUGCUCUCAACCACUCCCUUCUGGCAAAAAUGCCAUGUGUCAUUCCCACUCUCAGCUAUGGCUCUCAGCAUCUGUGAACUUCCGGUCACUUUCUGGCUCCAUGCAGAUGCUUGGUACUUGUUGGUAUUUAGUGGGAGGGGAGAAUCGACAGUUCAUGAAAUGGUGGUGUUUAGCCAAAACCAAGGGGUGUCUUCCUGCGGGAUGCAGUGUUUCAGGGUCCCCUUUCAGGGUUUCCUGUGUCCCUAUCCACUCUCCCCGGGCCCAAUGUCCUCUCAGGUAUUGCCCAACACCGUCCGGUCCUUUGGCUGGUUACUUGUGUGUGCAAAGGCUCCUGGUUUCUGUGUGUUAGUUUUGCACCCUGAGCUCCCAGAGCCUGCUGCUGUUUGGCCCCAGCACUGCUCUAGGGUGUGCAUUGCCGUGGGGUCUGCAGGAGGCGCGGCACGUCUUAUUCCUGGUUCUCAUGCUUCUUGCUGCUGUCUCUUUGGUGGCACUGGCUAGCCCACCAGAAGGGUGCUGAGAGGUACUAGAUGUGGUGGCUUCUCCAUCUCCUGAUCCUUGUGAAUGGCUCCGGGUGUUUUCCUACUGAAUGAGGCACCCACUCAGGACGAAUGGUAUUUCCUUCAUCAGGCAGGAGUGUUGAGUUUCGUGGAUGUGGUUGGUAGCACCCAUGGAGACCCUCAUGAGGUUUUCCUGCAGGUUCAUUGCUAAGGUGUGUUACAGUGAUGGGCAUCCUCGUGCUGAACCAGCCUUGCGUUCCUGGGAAAACUGGCAGGUGGGACUUUGACUCUUAUUUCUUAGUGUUUUAUUUAGUAUUUUUGAAUUGCUCUUUAUGACAUUGGCUUACAGUCUGCCCGCCCCCCCACUUUCUUUCUUGAACUGUUCUGUACCAGCUUUUGGAAUCAAUGUGUCAAUGUUAGGCACAUGUCUUACUGGUAUCAUAAAAAAGGAUAGGGAACUUUCCUUUUGUUGUCAGUGGACAGACUUGGCCAAAUUCUUCUGCAAAACCUUCAGGUCCUGUGGCUCUUUAGUUGGGGCAGAUUUGAUAACUUGUGUUUUUUCUGUUGGAACAGUGGGCCACUUUUGGCCGACUUCUCUGACCUGUGACAGUGCCACUCACAGUCCCCUUGGAGAGAGGCCCUGUGCAGACCAGAGCCUCUGGUCCUCAGCGCUUUCUCUCGGUGGUCACUCCUCCCGUAUAGCUUGGUGUGUUGUGUAGUUGUGUUGCUCCUUUUUUUCUUGGUUAAGUUGGCUCUGGGUUGUUUUUUUGUUAGUAGUUUUUUAGAAAAUAGCAUUUUGAUUUAUUAAUUAGGUUGAUUAUUUUCCAUUUUCUACUUCAUUGGUUUUUGCUUUUAUUUGUAUUAUUUCCUUCCUUGUGGCUGUUUUGAAUUAUUAUCAUUUUUUUCUAAUCUUUUGAGCUCAGAAUUUAGUGAAUUUGUUUUUCUUUUUUCAUAGAAAUAUUUAGAGUUACAAAUUCACUCUGAUUCCUGCUUUAAAUUUAUCUCAUUGAUUUCCCUAUGUUGUAUUUUCAUUAUUAUUUUUUGAAAAUUCCUUCAUUUUAGUUUGUAUUUUUCCUUUUCUUCCAGGAGUUAUUUAGCAGGUUGUUUUUAAGUGGAAGGGAUUUCUUGGUUUUAGAAAGCAUUUUAGAUGUCACCUGUGCUGAUGCCAUGCCACAGUCCUAAUCAGACUGGCCUUGUGACCUUGAGAUCUUGCUGCUGUUCGAAGGAUAGACCUCGUGAGUGGUCCUGUGCUGCCAAGGGGUGCCCAGGCGUGUGGCCUCUGGGACCUUGCCUCUUGGCCACCCUUCAUGCAGGACAACUCUUGGUCUGGCUAGUUUCUUGACGUGACUCCUCUGAGGGCUGCUUCCUCUUCUUCUCAGAGGUGUGUCCGCUCUUUCCCUGGGUGUGUACUUUAGGCAGAAGCAUUGUGUGGGGCUGGCUUGUCCCCUUGGGGGGGGGGUGGUAACGUGGGGUCUGCUGGGCUUCUCCUAUGUAGUUGCUUUUUCCAUUUUUUAAUUAAUAAGACACUUUGAGGCCACGUGAAUAUCCUGUCCUGUGUCCUGAUGUCCACUCUCCACUGGCUGGCUUCUGUCCGUCCGCAGGACCUUCUCAUCGUGAUGGUGGGAACCACCUUCCUUGUUGGUCGCAGCCGCCUGCACUACGAGGGAGAGCUCUCCUCUUUCCUCAUUGCUGAUGUGGGCUCGAGGGUCUUUAUUCAGCGAGUUGUACUUCUCCUUGUCACUGCCUUUUUCAUGCUCAGACUGUUCCACACAUGGCCAGGGAGGCUUUUCCAGGCUGGUGCUGUGAGUUUCUGAGAUGGCCCUGCCUUACCUGGGCACCUUCGUGUGCAUUUGUGGACCUAGGUGCUCCUGGCCUGUCUAUUACUUUUCCCCUGCGGCUCUAGAAUCCAAUACUUCUCCAAGGGGUCUUAAUUCCUUGCCAUUCUUUUUUGAUGAAGAAGAGUGUUUAGUAGCCAAGAUUUUUAUGCUGGGUAUGCUCUUUGUCAUGGGGUGCGCUGGCAUCUCUGCCCUGUCAUUGGACUAAACUAGGAAGGGGCUAGGUGCCAUUAUAGAACUACGCAAAUGUGUAUAAGCAGGUGAUACAUAAACGCGCGCACAUCUGUGUCUGUAUUUUUCUGUAUACUGAAAAUAGCAGACUCAGGGCUGGGGCUGGGGCUCAGAGGUAGAAUACUCCCCUACCAUGCGAGAGGCACUGGGUUCAAUCCUCCGCACCACAUAAAAAUAAAAUAAAGAUAUUGUAUCCACUUUAAAUAAAAAAUAAAAAGUAAAAAAAAAUAGCAGAUUCAUACGGCACCUCAAGUGCUAAUCAAGUGCCCCUGCUUGGGGAACUUGUGAAGGAAUGCUUGGCCUCGGGGUAUGGCCAGGGUGCUAUGGAGCCUUCCUCCAUCCCCUCCCUCAGAGGGGAACCCACGUAAGGACACACCUGAGACCCUGGUGCCUGGUGCAGAGGGUGUGGCAUGGAAGCUGAGUGGCAGGAGGCACUGCCGCUGGGGGUUGGCAACCCGCCCAGCUCCUGGCUGCCUCACUCUGCUCAGCACGUUCCCUCUCGUUCCCUUUUCUUGUCUUAAAAACUGCGCUUGCUUUACAUCAGGAAUUCCCAGUACGGGUGCUGUGUUCCCCAAACAGGUCUAUACAACACUGUAGUUUUGGGACCAGGUGCAGCCAGACGGGGCUCGGGCUGUGGUGAGUCAGGGCUUGCUGCCGGAUGACCCCUGCCUCCUGUGAGGUGGUGGUUUUCACUCCGAGGUCUCUGUGCGCCUUCUGGCUUCGUGUCCUGAGGACACAUUUGUGUAGCUGACGCCAUCCUGGGGAGGUAGUGGCCAGUGGAGGGAGGUGGGGGUCCAGAUGGCAUUAGUCAGCUUGAAGGCUCCUGUGUGGGCUGAUUCAGGCUGUCUGCCUGGCCCUGGGCAGGGCAGCAGCCGGGCAGCUCACCCUCCUGGAGUCGCUGCCCCCAGUGCCGCCUAACCAGGGGUAGCUGCUGAGCUCUGAGCAGUGCGGCCAGGGCUGGCGCUGGCCACGGGGCUCAGGGUGGAGCAGGUGCAGGCAGCCUCCCUACUCCCUGGCAGACACCACGGCACGGGGAGCCUCACGCCCGCAGCUUGAAGCAGCAGGUGGGAGACAGCAGCAUGGUUCCAGGUGGCGGCUGCUGCGUGGCCUCUGUCAGCCCGGUGUGCUGGCUGCUGGGACUCAGAGGCCUUCUCCCUUCCAGGUGUUAGGGGCCGUCAGUGCCUGUGGCUCCUUCUUGGGGCUGGUCUGCAUGCUCACCUCCUGGGGUCGUUCUUCUGACUCCACGUUACAGGCGAGGAAACUGAGGUUGGAGGCCACAGGGCUGGAUGAGAUGUGGCUGUCAAGGCUGAGCCGUGUGACCUGGCCCUAGGUUCUGCUCCUGUGCUGGGACUGUGUUCUCUGCCUUAGACUGAGCCCAAGACCCAGAGAGGCUGGCUGUGUGUUAGGCCGUAAGAGUGCCGGCUGCUGUAAACAGGGGCUCAUUAGGCUGAGCCAGGCCGUGGGUGAGGCCCCAGUGCUGCCUGCUGCUGCCCUCCUGUGCGGUGCCUGUUCCUGCCUGCAGGAGCUGCCCUUGAGGGACCUUGGCCGGAGGGGCCCCUGCAGAGCACACCCCUCCAGCAGCCUCCUUCAUCUUCUCUCUCUCUCUUUUUGUUUUAGUUUUUUUAGUAGUUGAUGGACCUUUAUUUAUUUGUAUGUGGUGCUGAGAAUCGAACCCAGUGCCUCACACGUGCCAGGCAGGUUCUCUACCACUGAGCCCCAGCCUCAGCCCUCAACUUCUCCUCUUCAACUUUGCUCUGGAAAGUGGUUUUCCCCACAGGCAGGCUUCGAGAGUGAGUUUUCGUGGCUCUGGUGCCGCCUGUGCCUGCCGUGUGUGUGCCAGGGCCAGGGGUUCUCAGUGCUCUGCAGUGAGGGCUGCCCUUGACCUGGACCUCACCCGCUCUCAACACCACUGUUUGUUGCUGACUCUCCUUUUCUCCGUGAGCUCUGCGCAGCUGCAGUUGGGAUGAACACGAAGGCAGCAUCCCUCCCUCUAUAUACUGGGCAGGCUGGAGCUGAGAUUCUUGAGGAGGAGUUAAAUGCCAUCCUGUGCCACCAUUUGUUCUCUGGAGAGAUGGGGAGAACACAGGUGUGAGCCCAGCCCACCUGGGGCCAGAAUCAGCCUCAGGGAUUUCGUGUCCUCAUGAUCUGCCCACCUCACCUGCACCCUGUCCAGUGCCUUGCUCAUGUGAGUGUCUUUAAUUCUUCACGGGUCUCUGACCCCACAGGAGGUCAGAGGUUGCAUCUGUAAGGGUCUGGCUCCUAGUUGAUGUAGGGCCCUGGGCUCGUCUCUUUGCCCUUUGCUCCUGGGAACACAGUAGUGCUCCCUCCUAUUACCUCUGCUACUGCAUACCCUGGCCAUAGCUCAGCCCUGAGACCACCUGAGAGCAAUGGCUUGAGUUAUCCGGGUGUCUGUCCCUUUCAGCAGUUCAUCUUUUCCUCCCCCAUGUGACAAGCGUCAUCAACUUCUGUGUCUGUCAGCUGCAGCAUGAGACCCGCUCAGGCAGGCCAGGCCUAUCCAGUUCUGCUCUGUGUCUCACGGGGCUUGGGGUCUGGGCAGCAGGGAUUGGGUUCUUGUGACAUGAGCCGACUGACCCCUUGCCUAGCUCUGGAGGGAGCACUACUGCCCAUCUGGCAGGGAAAACAGGAUUGUAGCUGCCACGUCUCCUGUGUGACCCCGUAGAAGACCUGCUCCCUAGCUGGGAGACCCCUCAGCCAUGGGGAGGCAGGGGGCAUUCUGGGGACCCUGUUCCAGGGAACGUGGUUCCUUGUCUGCUGCUAGGAAGGGUAGCCCCAGCCUAGGGGAUUCCUUGUCUGAGGGGGCCCAGUCAUCCCUCUGCCAGAGGCUGGGGUCCUUCCUGGGACGCUGUCCUGGGAGCCUGGCCAAGGGGCCUGAGCCCUGUGUGCUGGUCCAGGGGUCUGAGUGCUGGGACCCUAGCCUGCGCUGGGCUGGGAGGGCUGACUGGCAGUCUGCUGACUGGCGUCACUCUGCUCCUGGACCUGGGAGCAGGGCUGAGGGGGGCGUUCCCUGGCACCCCCACUUCCUCUGGCACCUUGUAAACAGGAUCUGUGCAGUAUGAGGACAGACAGCUCCCUUCAGGCUGGCAGAGAGCUGGGGUCCCUGGGAGGAGUCUGGCGCCAGCCUGAGGGCUUGAGGCUGGAGGAACUGGUGGCAGGCUUUGGCCGGUGAUCACGGAAGCAGCGUGGUAGGAGGCCUCCUCAGGAGCAAGUGGGCAUUUUCUCUGGCCUCUGUUCAACCUUAGUCAGGCAGCCCCGGGUUUGGGGCCAUUUUUGGGUACAACAGGCUGGCAGCUUCCGCCCACCCCUCCUGCCUGGCCCUGCUGCCAGCUUCCGCCUGCUUGGGCUGCACACGGCCUCUGUAGCCUUUGUCCAGCCCUCCCUCCCUCCCUCUCUCUUUGUCUAGCUCACCAUUGCCCACUCUGGCCGCCACGCUCUGCGGAGGAUCUCCCAGAUCCCCCAGGCCUUGCCCCACCUCUCUCCUGGCCUCCUAGCCCUUCCUCUUGCUGCCCAGCCCCGCCUUUCUGAGUGCUGGCUCUUGCUGGAUCCCUUGCUCUGUCCUGGCCCGCCGCCUCCUGGAAGCCUCUGGUGCAUCACAGUGUCCGAAACUCUUAGCACCCUGAGCCACCCGACGAGUCGGAGCAUUGUGGAAAGAGCCAUGCCAGCCAGCCUGGAGCCCCGACUGCCUGGCCCACCCAGGGCUCGUCCCCUCUUUCUGUGCCCUGCAGUGCCCCUGCCUCUUGUGCUUAGGUACAGACGCGCUUCCCUGUGCUGGUCCCGUCCUGGAGGCUCUCGAGUCCUGGGUAAAGCCUUGCUCAACCUUGCCAACGGGAGGGCACUGCCUGUCUUCCAGGUGGCUGGUGAUGUGGGCAGCGUGGUCUAGCUGGAACUGAAGCUGUGUGUUGCGGUGAGAGAGUCUGAUUGCCUUCCUGCUUGUUCAAGAGUCUGCAUUGGCAGUUGGGAGUGACCUUGGGCGGGUUGAGCCUGGUUUUCCUCUUUUUAAAAUGGGGUUAUACUUAGCGCUGCAGGGAGCCAUGAGGAUUAAAGACACUCAUGUGAGCAAGGCACCUGGGCAGGGUGCAGGGGAGGUGGGCAGCCUGGGGCCCGUCAUGUCAUCUCCUGGUGUCUCUUUGGUUGCUUUGUACAUGAGACCCCUGUGAGUGCCAAUCUCAGAGUCGUGGGGUUGCUCAGGGAUGUGAGCUGUGCCCAGUUCCUAAGGUCACAGUUUGGUCCCUGGUGAGGGCCAGGAAUCUUGUUCUUCUGCCUCUCAGUAAAGGGCCAGGGACAGAGCCUGGAGGCCACCUUGCUCUGGGCCCUGGUGUCUUGGCUUACUAGGAUUUGGCUGAUUGUCACAAGUGGAUGGAUGAGGACUGCACUGGGGCUGGGCACAGGCAGGUGUGUCUUCUGAGGGUGCCUGGCUCCUUCAGGAAGGGUGGUAGGCAGUAUCCUGCCAAGUAGAAAUGUGUGUUUUAUGGAGAAGAGAGAUGCCUGGCAUGGUGUGGGGUAAGCAUGGGACCCUGAGGUCAGGCAUGGGCAGGAAGUGGGGUGGGAGCCCCUGGCUGGCCUGUGGGGUUGAUGGGUAGAAACUGCAGGGAGGAAGUCAAGGACACAGCCUGGGUGGAGGCACUGAGGUAGGGGGACAGCCUGGGCAUGGGCGGGCAGGGUCCCCAGAUGGCAGGUCCCCAGAGCUGAGGCAUGGCCAGCUUCCUGAAGCCUGUGAGGGCACAGGUGCCUGCCUGGUGGUUUCAAAGUGCGGGGCAUUAGGUGCUGGGAUGUGCGUUGGCUGUGCUUUCUGGGCCACUCAAAACUGCUCCUAGAUCACCCUGUUGGCUCUAGGGCCUGGGGGAGGGGGACAGGUGGGAUGCUGGAGACAGGGGUGCCAAACUCCAAGUUUGGGUUGGUGGGGCUGAGUACCCCAUGUGUUCUUGUCUCUCAGAAAUGGGACAUGCACCUGCUGGAUUGCAGGUGUCCCCUGGGGCCCAGGGUGCUGGCCAGGAGGCAUUUGUGUACUCAGGCCAGCCUCCUCUGGCUGCUGUGACUCACUGUGCUUCUCCAGCAGGCUGGGCUGAGCAGACACAGAGGUGUCACACCUUCCAUCACUCAACAGAAUGGACUUGCAAGCUGGAUGAGGUGGGGCCUACCGUCGAGGCCUGCUGGAGAGCAGGCCGCCCAGGGCUUCUCUUGCACCUGGCGGGUCCUGGUGCUGGGGCUGCUCAGCCCCUUUCCAGCUACCCCUCUGCAGUUGUGCCUGGAGACCCGAGUUCUGAAUCCCUUCCCACUUCCAUCUAAGGAAUCUCCCACCUCUCUCAGACCCUCAUCAAGUUUUCUUGUGCCCCUUCUCAUGAAAUCCAGCAGACCCUCUGCCCUUGGCAGCAAAUCACGGUAACUGCACCCACCCUCAGAGGCUAUCUGGGCCUCUCGUCCCCUGCCCGCCUUGCCUGGCCCUCCUGUGUUGACCCUGCGGCAGCUUCUCUUCCAGGAUGUCUCCAUAGGAAUUCACACAGCAGACCCCGCCUCUGUCCAGCCGACCCAGGGCUUCAGUCAUUUGCCGAGCUCCUUGGGGUCCUUCUAGCAUAAACAGCUGCCCCUUCUUUUCUGGAGUGGGGAGGGCACAGCACAGCCCACCUGCUUUCUCAGCGGGCAGGAAGCCAGGGCUUGCCCUCCCUCCUCCCUCCCUGGGUUCUGCCAGCCCUUUGCUAGCUCCACUGCUCUGCCCCUCCAGAGCCCAGCCCCAGCAGCAGUCCCAUUGGUGUCCCGCCAGCAGUCCAUUCUUGGUACUGGAGCAGCAGGAGACCCACUCCCCACCAGAUCUCCUCAUGUCCGUCACUUCUGGCCACUGCUGUCUGUCAUUCUUAGGAGUGUCCAGAUGCCCUCACAGGCGAGAGUGCCCUUUGAGCUCAGAACCUCCUGAGCUGCUGGACUUCCCUGUCUGGGGCUCUAGCUCCCCAAGCUCGCGGGAGGCCCUUUUGGAGUUCUCAGGCUGUUUGGGAUGAUGCCAGGACGUGUGUUCCUGGGCCAGGCAGGCCUGCACUGCACAUAUCGUGACAGUGCCUGGAGCCCAGUGGGCAUGCAGGGCAUAUCUGUGGGAUGGUGUGCAUGGCAAAGUGAGGUGGCUCUGGGGCAUCUUCCAAGGGCUUGAGCACGGCAUUGGGUUCUGCCUGACUCCUGUCUGCUAAGGGAGCCCCCAGCAGCCCUCCACCUCAUCUCCAGGCAAAUUUGUCUGCAUGAUGUUUCACUGGAAUCUUGCAAAUGAUCUUUAGUACUCUAAAGUUAUACAUGCAUAUAGUUUAGAGAGUAAAUGCAUUCUACAAGAUUAAUUAAGAAAAACAGCAAUCCCUGGUGCUCCUCUUUUGCCCUCCCCAGAGCCGAGUACGUCUGAUUCUGAGAGUAGAUUCUUUUGAUGUUUAUCUUUUCUCUAAAUGCUGCAUUGCUACUUGAUUUUUUUAAAGCAUUUAGGCAUUAUAUUGAAUUGCAAGAUGUGGAGAUUGAAGUCUCUUUUCACACCUCUGUGUACAGUUACAGGCACGCACACCCCCUCAGGCACUCAUGCACACAUGUGUGUGUACACACGCACACACUUGCACAUGUUACACUGGUGGCAUCCAAGCACACUGUGCACAUGCCACGCCACUUCUCAUCUCCUGCCUGCCUUUCUGGUUUCCCUGGGUUCCUGAUGGCCUUGUGUGCUUGGGUCCUAGACAUAGACCCUUCCACUUCCACCCUUCCUUCUUCCACUCUGUCUCAUGUUUCUUCGUAUCAGUGGUUUGUUGUCUCAUCUUCAUGAGGAAGUCUGUCCAGAACCUUCUAUGGGGCAUGGUCAGUGGGUUGCCCACCUUGUUCAGCCGCAGUCCUGGUUCCCUUUCCUGCCUCUGGUUUAGGCAUUCCCAGCUAACCUCCUUCCUUAGAUGACCCCUGGUUUUUAUGGAGUGCAUCGUGAAGUCCUCAAGUCUCCAUGGGACUGUGGGGCCUUUGUUAUCUGGGCUUCUUCCUCGGGGGGUGGGGAACAGUGCCGUUGUGUCUGGGCACUGCAGCCAGACUGCCUGGCUCUGAAGCCUGUCUCCUCCAGUCACCAGCUGUGUGACCCUGGGCAAGUUAGCCCAUGUCUCUGGGCCUUCGUUUCCACACUCUGCAAGGCAAAGGUGACCUUGCCAUCUCACAGGGCUUGAGCCUGUGAAGGUGGUGGGCUCAGAUGAGGGCUGCUGCUGUGUGUGGGAGUGCUGUCCGUUAACAGUCAGCUUUCUAGGGUUUCUUUUCAGAAGAGUUUCUCUCUCCUUCAAGUUGGGUCCCCGUGGGUCCUCGCUGUACCCACCUAGGUCCCCCUAUGAGGCCCUGCUGUGGAGGCCUCCUCGAGGGCUGAGGUCUGCCUCACAUGACCUGAUCUAACAUGGAGCCCUGGGCUCCCUAAGCCCCUCUGGGCCAGCAGUCCUCCACAACCUCUCUCCCCUGAGCCAGUCUCUGAGCCCUAUUCCCCGCCCACAGGGCACAAGGCCUCAGGCAGGUCCCCAGGGUUCCCUGGGGCUUGCAGGGUCCCUCUGCCAACUGUAUCUCCUGCAUAGCUGGAUUUCUUUAUACCCAGCGACCAGAUCAGUAUGAGGAUGCAGCUUGCCCCAGACCCAGGUGUGUGGCCGAGCCUGCCUAGAGACUGACGUGAGCACAGGUAACUCUCACUGAGGUGCUGUGCUUUGAAAACUGUAGUCAUUUUCCAUAAAAAUAUUUAGGUUAGGAUAAUUGGUUAACCAAUGUUAUUUCAAAAUGAAUUAACAAACAACUGAAAAGUCUGUUUAAUUUCAGACGAGUAAAUAUCUGUGGAUAGACUCCACAUAAACUAAAGCUCUUUGGGCCUCAGUGAUUCUUAGCAGUGUCCUGGGGGCCUGAGACCAGGAUGCUUGGAGUCCCUGCUGCCACUGCUUUGGUGGAUGACAGUGCGACCAUGCACAGGAGCUGAUCCCAGGUGGACUCCUUGGGGAUGCAGGGGCAUGCUGGCCUUCCUCAGGUGCUGGGACUCAGGCUUGCUUCUUACCCUCUGUGCAUCUAGCUCCCUCUGCUCCAGACCCCCUCUUCCUGCAGGCCUGCAUGGUUUGUGGGUGGUCACUGUAGGGUCUCCAAACUGAGGCUGGCCAGACUGCAGGUGUGACAAGUGACAAGCUGGAUCUGGAGGGCUGGGGUGUCCUUGGGGGAUGCACGCACAGGGACCACCUUAGGGUCUGGGAGCCUGGAGGCGCUGCUCUGGCCGCGUCCAGCCAGAGACCAUCUCAUGGCCCCUGGUCAUGGCUUGGUUUGGAGGCAGGGUGCCAAGCCGCUGGGUGGCUGGCGUCACUGUGGAGUUGAGAGCUGGGUGCCCUGAGCAUGUCACGUGUGCCACUGCUCCUAACAAACCUGGGGAGUAGGUACUUUCACUGCCCUAAUUUUAGAGAGGAAGAAACUGAGGCCCAGAGGGAUCAGUGGCUUAUGGAGAGUGACACAGGUUAACAAAUGGCUGGUCAGAUCCCCUCUGCAGCCUGACCCCUGCUUUGCCAUCCACUAGGGGCCGCUCAGGCAGAUGGUGCUGGAGGCAGAGAUGCUGCCGGCAGCUUCAGCUCCUGGGCAGCACCAGUCCAUGCGGGCAAGCCAGGGGAAAGCCAGCCACCCCGAAACUUGGUGGAGUGGGAACAGGGGAGCAGGGCUCCCGUGGGACUUCUGCAGGGAGAGCUCGGGCGUGACUUCCUCAGGGCCGUGUUUCUGUGGAGUAAGUGGCUGCUAUAAGGGGCUUGGUGGAGCCACUCCCUGGAGGCUGCCAUGAAUCCAAGGGUUCAGCUGGAAAAAGACACAGAGGACCCAUGAAGCCCCUCUCCACCUUGGAUCUGGAUUUAACCCCUUCUCUUUUUCUUCUUUCCCUCCCCAGUUUUUGUGUUUCUUCCAGCUCUUGAGGACGCUGCCUGCCCUUUCUGCUAUAAGAAGAUGUCGUAUGGGUCCAUCACCAGCGGAGGUGGCCUGGGGACCCGUGGACCUUUCAGGGGAUCCUCAAGGCAAGGCUGUCAGCCUCCAGGUAAAGACACACAGCUGGCACCUAGGAUGGGUGGGCAUGGUGACAAUGGGCAGGUCUUCUCCAUGUCAUGUUCCCUGAGGAGUGUGGCCCAUGACCAGAGACUGCUGUGGCUGCUGAGCUCCAGAUGCAGGGAGUGUACAGACUGAGGGGCUGUCCUGUGUGGGGGCAGACUGUGGGGUCAGCAUUCCUGUGGGGUGAGGAGCUGGCGCUCAGUGCUGAACUGUCGAUGAUGCCUGGGUGUCUGGUCGUGGCUGAGCGCAUGAAUGAUGACAUCCAGCCUUCUUGAUGCUGCCGCGGAGCAGGUGACCAUUUGUGUAGCAUGUGGAGAAGAAAACUGAGCCCUCACUUGGGGGAUGACAGCUCCCUGGGGCUGUGCAGCUGGCGUAGGGCAGGACUGAGAUCUACCCUGACACUUCUGAGUGCCAGAGCCCUGCCUGUGUGCGUCACUGAGCUCUAGGCCCCGUCCCCUGCACCUGGCCCUGCCUUGGGCCUCAUGGCCACCUCCCUGUUCAGCCCCCUGUAGAGCUGGUGUUGGACAGGGGCUGUUGCCAGUUUUACACAUGUGGGUGUGACCUGUAAGGCACCCCUGGCUCCCUUGUUAGGCACGCCCUGGCUGCCAGGCUCAUGCGGCUGCAGUCUCUGGUGCAGGGCAACCUCAUGAGCUGCCAUCUCGAGGUGGGGAAAGACAUGGAAUUUGGGGUGCCUGAGCUCUCUGCUCACCUCCCCCGGCUCUGGGCCAGGGUUAGGGUUCAGCCUAGCGGCUACUGCAAGCCUACAUGUGUUGGGCCUGACUCCACUGAGCUUCGGGUGGGGGCUUCUCUGUGGGUUGGGGGACUCUCUUCCCUGUGGCCCUCCAGGCUCCUGGCCAGUGCUCAGUUCCUCAGGCUGCCUGUUCAGAGGAGGAGGCCAGGCAUGGGCCACCACUGGGCUUGUCAUUGACGUUUAGCUCUGCGUCUCUAGCAAAGAGUGGGGCUGGUGUCUUUCUCACUUGUGGUGGGAAGUGGAUGGUACAGGAAGGGUGAGGGUCCCAGACCUCAUCAGAAGUGGCCACCUCCCUCUUCCUCAUGGGGCCACUGCCAUACAGGACCUCCCCUUCCUCUUCCCAGAGAACAGCAGCUGCCCAGGCUCCUCCACCCUCAGCCUCCUCUUCUCCACUGCCGGGUGUUGUGUGCCAGGCUGUGUUCUAGGAGCUGGAGGCAUGGGGUAGAGGAAGCAGGUGAGCCCCAUGCCCUAGGGUCACAUUCUGCCUGGGAGAGUUUCUGAGAUCACCUCACGUGGGCACCGUGAACUGUGUGAAGAGCAAGACUGGGCUGGCUAGCCAGGGCUGCUUGAGCCGAGGAGGUGAGGGAGCCUUGGAGGUGAGGGAGCCUUGGAAUGGGGACAGUCUGUGAGCCAUCAACUGGAGCCUGGGAGGGGUGGCAGUGAGAGACGUGGGCGGAAGGGCAGCAGGACAGUGUCCAGUCACAUGCCUCCUUCCACGGGGCUGGGGCAGCCCUCAGGGUCCUCGGCAGGGUGCAGGGCGAGCGCCUUUCUGAGCCCUCGGUCUGCAUGUGUUCUCAGGGCCCUGUGUGCGGUGCAUGCUCGUGGUUCAGGUGCAGAAUUCAUCGAUCCUGGGCUUCAGAUCCGCACAUGCCCUUUCAGCCCGCCUCCCUCCCUCCGGGCCCGAGGCCUGUGCGUGUUGCUCUGUUUCCUUAGUGCUGGUUUCGAAGUGGCUUUGGGCCUUAUCGAGUGGGAUUCGUGUAGUUCUGGGACUUACUUCUCCUCUGCAUUUUGUUCCUGAGGCCAAAGGCACGGCCAGGUCUCCUUGGGCUCAUUCUCCCGGUGCUCUGCAUGCAGCUCUGCAGUGCACUGUGGCAUCUCUGCCAGCUCCAUGUCUGAGGGACGCCCAGGUUGCUUCCCUUUCCAUGCCAGCACAGACAGUGGCCAGAGUCUUCAGGGUGGAACGAGGGUGGCAGUCCUGCGGGGUCCCUGUGCGCCUGCUCUUCUCGUGCCGCCCACCCUCUUCCUCCGGCCCCACUCCAUGUCUUUGUCAGCACCAAAUGGUGUUGGACAGGGCUGUUGCCAGGCUGUUGCCAGUUCACACAUGUGGGUGUGAGGCGGUCUGUCUGGCCUCAGUCUGUUUUCCUAGCUCAGGUGGGUGACCUUUCAUGUUUACUGGGCCCUGAGGUCUUUCCUGUAGCUCAUUGCUCUUGUUUUUAUCUUGGAUUUGUCUUGUUUUUCUACAUUUCCUCUGUGUUGGGGACGGAAACCCUCAAUGACGUGCUGUGGACACCCCCGUGGGUCGUGCCUGCUGUGGGCAGGAAUUCCCACUCCUCUCGCCCGCACCACUCUCCUGUCAGUUGGUUUAAUGAUGUGCCUUUGUGUUCUCCAGGAAAGUGACCUCGUUGAUGGCGUGAGGUCGUGUGAGCAGGGAGAGGGACUCUAACGUUUUUUCCACGAUUUGAGCAGCAAAUGGUCCAGACCGUGUAUUCUGCCUUUUUCUGCAGACCUGCAGCACUGGCCAAGGAGAGCCAGUGUCCCUUGGGGCCUCUCGGUCAGUUUUCUAUUCUGGUGUUAAAUGCGUCUUGAUUUUUGCAGCUUUCUCGUAAUUCUCUGUUUUCCAGGGCAGGUUGCCCUUCUCAUUGCAGUAUAGAAAUGCCUUAUGUAUUUUGGGCUUUCUGUUAUUGAACAUGAAGUUGAGAAUCAGUGUGUCACAUUCCUGGGUUUGGCUGGCUGGCUCUGGGUCCGCCUGCCCAGGCACGAGCCUUCACGGGGACCUCCUACCCUGAGCCCACGGCAUGUCGUCUUUGGAUGUGUGGUCUUCUUUCACGUCUUUUGAUAGAGCCUUGUCAUUUUCUCCAUGAAGAUUUACAUAUCUUAAAUUUGUUUCAACAGAAGAAGAACAACAAAAACAUGCUGCUAUUUGGCUGCUAUUUUCGGUGGUACUCUUCAGAGUAUGACACUUCUCCAAAUGUUUGUUGCUGGUGUACAUAUACAGUUGUUAUUUUAAAAAGCAGCGUCCAGAGAUUUUAUUUAAUUUAAAUGUUUUGCUCUUUUAACUUUUUAAACAUGGAUACUUUCAAACAUACAAAAGUAGACAUGGUGAUGUGUCUACCCCCAGGGCAGCCUUCUGUGUUCUCUGUUGCUACCCCCCACUCCUGCCCGGCUGAGCUUGUCUGAACCUUCCCAAACCCUGACGAGUCAGGCUUCUGGUCACCUGGCCUGAACAUCUAGUUGUCUCCAGUGACAGGGUUCCAGCGCUGCAGCAUGUCUCAGCCUCGAUGCUGGGUCACUGAGUUCUCCCGUGGCUGUUCUUGUGACACUUCUGUGUACCUUCUGAGCCCAUGAUCGCCUGGGUGCCUCCAUCUCGAUUUCUUUUGCCUCGAGGUCUGUUUGCUGGAGGGAGCAGGCUUCUGUGGAGUGUGGCCGACCUCUGCCCACUGUUUUGCACGCAGCUUCUGCUAAACUCCUCUCCCUAAUGGCCGUGACUUGUCCGCGGCAUCUCCUCAGUUUCCUGUAAGAUGACGUCGUUGUCUCUUCCUGUCCCUGGCUUCAUCCUGUUUGUUUUCUUCCCUUCCUGAGUUAGCUGGAGCCUCUCUCCGAGGAUUGAUGGAAUUGGUGACUGUAGAUGGUGCCCUGACUUACGAAGGGUCCUGCCCCCAUGAGCCAUCAUGAGCGUGAAUAUGCUGGUGUUCCUCCCUGGCGUGCCCAGUCUCCCUGAGGUGCUCAGGACCCUGCAGUACCUACAGCUGGGAGCAGAUGGCCUCACACCAAGGCUGUCUUAAUGAAGUGUUGACUCCUGACGCACGGAGACUGGCGUCUGCAGACACCAGGUGCAGGACCUCAAGGCAUGGUGUCCAGAAGGCUGUGGCAGCACAGCAAUCUGUAAAGUUGUAGUAGCUUCCUUGGUGAUCGUGGGAUUGCCUGGAUCUGCCCAGAAUUGCAGGGGAGGGUCCCCUGUGUGUCACCAGCCCAGGAAAAGGUCACAGUCCAGACCUUGAUUUCUAGUAACUGCUUUCCCACUCACAGUGAAAAGUCCGGCCGAACCGUCCCGAGUCACGACCCUCAUGUAUUCCUGUGAAUUUGUGGGCACAUAGGACUGUGUGUUUCUGGGAUUUUGCUGGGAGACUGGUUUUGUUUGUAGGAGUUCUGACUUCCUGUUAAGUUCCCUUAUAGUAAAAAUCUGUUCAGGUUUUUGUUUCUCCUUGGGUCAUUUUUUUAAGUGGCAUUUUCUGGAAAAGCAUCUGCUUCAUCCAGAUGUUCCCGUGUAUUGAGGUGGAAGGAAUGUGCACAGAGCUUGUCCUGGCCAGGUGCCACGUGGGCAGCACCCUGGGUGGGCUGGAGCGCAGACUCCAAAUAGCCUGCUCUGGGCCCAGCACCAUCUGAAGGUAGCAGGCGAGUUGGCCCCUGCGCUGGGCCACCUGGGGUCCAGGUUGAGUGAGUUGCUUCCUGUGUAGCCAGGGCCUCAGGAGGCAUGCAGUGGCCAGUCGCCCUUGUUUGACUCAGGUUGUCAGUGUCCGAGUGAUGUCCCCUUCACUCCUGACAGUGUGUUCGCCUUCCCGUUUUCCUCUUUGAAAUAGGUGUACAGAUCUCUCUGUGAUGUGACUUCUUCAGAAAGACUUCAUCUUUCUGCUACUUGUUAGCUUCAAAUUUUAAUUAAUUUCUGCUUGUAUUUUCUUUAUUUUCCUCCCCUUUUCUCGAAUUGAUGCUAUUUUAUUUUUUCUGACUUGCAGAUUGGAUAUUCUUCUUGUUCAUAGGCAAUACUCAGCUUUUAUUCUUUCCUAAUAAAAGUAUUUAAAAUAAAUAAAUUUCCAAAGAGGUACACUUAGUUGAAUACCACACAUUUAAAAACAGAGUAUUUAAAAAAUUUUUUAGGGCUGGGGAUGUGGCUCAAGCGGUAGCGCGCUUGCGUGGCAUGCGUGCGGCCCGGGUUCGAUCCUCAGCACCACAUACAAACAAAGAUGUUGUGUCCACCGAGAACUAAAAUAAAUGUUAAAAUUCUCUCUCUCUCUCUCUCUCUCUCUAAAAAAAAAAAAAUUUUUUAGUUCUAAAUAUUUUCUAAUUUCAAUUAGGAUUUCUUUGACCCAGGGAUUAUUUACAAAUAUUACUAAUUUCUAAGCAUAUGUAUUUUUUUUCAUGUCUUUUAAAAGUGAUUUCUAGUGUAAUUUCAUUUCCAUCAGAAAAAGGCUGGUGUUGUCUUGACAUGUUGACUUCACACUGGGGCUUUGUCAGGGUGCUGGUGGGGUCUUAGCUCACUCUUUGGUGCAGUCCCCUCUACCAUGGUUGGUCUGUGAAGGCUUCGGUGGGGCUGGCUGAAGAGGCCCAGUUACUUCCAGGCAGGACAGCGGGGAGACAGACAGCUGNGCAGGACAGUGUCCAGUCACAUGCCUCCUUCCACGGGGCUGGGGCAGCCCUCAGGGUCCUCGGCAGGGUGCAGGGCGAGCGCCUUUCUGAGCCCUCGGUCUGCAUGUGUUCUCAGGGCCCUGCGUGCGGUGCACGCUCGUGGUUCAGGUGCAGAAUUCAUCGAUCCUGGGCUUCAGAUCCGCACAUGCCCUUUCAGCCCGCCUCCCUCCCUCCGGGCCCGAGGCCUGUGCGUGUUGCUCUGUUUCCUUAGUGCUGGUUUCGAAGUGGCUUUGGGCCUUAUCGAGUGGGAUUCGUGUAGUUCUGGGACUUACUUCUCCUCUGCAUUUUGUUCCUGAGGCCAAAGGCACGGCCAGGUCUCCUUGGGCUCAUUCUCCCGGUGCUCUGCAUGCAGCUCUGCAGUGCACUGUGGCAUCUCUGCCAGCUCCAUGUCUGAGGGACGCCCAGGUUGCUUCCCUUUCCAUGCCAGCACAGACAGUGGCCAGAGUCUUCAGGGUGGAACGAGGGUGGCAGUCCUGCGGGGUCCCUGUGCGCCUGCUCUUCUCGUGCCGCCCACCCUCUUCCUCCGGCCCCACUCCAUGUCUUUGUCAGCACCAAAUGGUGUUGGACAGGGCUGUUGCCAGGCUGUUGCCAGUUCACACAUGUGGGUGUGAGGCGGUCUGUCUGGCCUCAGUCUGUUUUCCUAGCUCAGGUGGGUGACCUUUCAUGUUUACUGGGCCCUGAGGUCUUUCCUGUAGCUCAUUGCUCUUGUUUUUAUCUUGGAUUUGUCUUGUUUUUCUACAUUUCCUCUGUGUUGGGGACGGAAACCCUCAAUGACGUGCUGUGGACACCCCCGUGGGUCGUGCCUGCUGUGGGCAGGAAUUCCCACUCCUCUCGCCCGCACCACUCUCCUGUCAGUUGGUUUAAUGAUGUGCCUUUGUGUUCUCCAGGAAAGUGACCUCGUUGAUGGCGUGAGGUCGUGUGAGCAGGGAGAGGGACUCUAACGUUUUUUCCACGAUUUGAGCAGCAAAUGGUCCAGACCGUGUAUUCUGCCUUUUUCUGCAGACCUGCAGUACUGGCCAAGGAGAGCCAGUGUCCCUUGGGGCCUCUCGGUCAGUUUUCUAUUCUGGUGUUAAAUGCGUCUUGAUUUUUGCAGCUUUCUCGUAAUUCUCUGUUUUCCAGGGCAGGUUAGGUUGCCCUUCUCAUUGCAGUAUAGAAAUGCCUUAUGUAUUUUGGGCUUUCUGUUAUUGAACAUGAAGUUGAGAAUCAGUGUGUCACAUUCCUGGGUUUGGCUGGCUGGCUCUGGGUCCGCCUGCCCAGGCACGAGCCUUCACGGGGACCUCCUACCCUGAGCCCACGGCAUGUCGUCUUUGGAUGUGUGGUCUUCUUUCACGUCUUUUGAUAGAGCCUUGUCAUUUUCUCCAUGAAGAUUUACAUAUCUUAAAUUUGUUUCAACAGAAGAAGAACAACAAAAACAUGCUGCUAUUUGGCUGCUAUUUUCGGUGGUACUCUUCAGAGUAUGACACUUCUCCAAAUGUUUGUUGCUGGUGUACAUAUACAGUUGUUAUUUUAAAAAGCAGCGUCCAGAGAUUUUAUUUAAUUUAAAUGUUUUGCUCUUUUAACUUUUUAAACAUGGAUACUUUCAAACAUACAAAAGUAGACAUGGUGAUGUGUCUACCCCCAGGGCAGCCUUCUGUGUUCUCUGUUGCUACCCCCCCACUCCUGCCCGGCUGAGCUUGUCUGGUCACCUGGCCUGAACAUCUAGUUGUCUCCAGUGACAGGGUUCCAGCGCUGCAGCGUGUCUCAGCCUCGAUGCUGGGUCACUGAGUUCUCCCGUGGCUGUUCUUGUGACACUUCUGUGUACCUUCUGAGCCCAUGAUUGCCUGGGUGCCUCCAUCUCGAUUUCUUUUGCCUCGAGGUCUGUUUGCUGGAGGGAGCAGGCUUCUGUGGAGUGUGGCCGACCUCUGCCCACUGUUUUGCACGCAGCUUCUGCUAAACUCCUCUCCCUAAUGGCCGUGACUUGUCCGUGGCAUCUCCUCAGUUUCCUGUAAGAUGACGUCGUUGUCUCUUCCUGUCCCUGGCUUCAUCCUGUUUGUUUUCUUCCCUUCCUGAGUUAGCUGGAGCCUCUCUCCGAGGAUUGAUGGAAUUGGUGACUGUAGAUGGUGCCCUGACUUACGAAGGGUCCUGCCCCCAUGAGCCAUCAUGAGCGUGAAUAUGCUGGUGUUCCUCCCUGGCGUGCCCAGUCUCCCUGAGGUGCUCAGGACCCUGCAGUACCUACAGCUGGGAGCAGAUGGCCUCACACCAAGGCUGUCUUAAUGAAGUGUUGACUCCUGACGCACGGAGACUGGCGUCUGCAGACACCAGGUGCAGGACCUCAAGGCAUGGUGUCCAGAAGGCUGUGGCAGCACAGCAAUCUGUAAAGUUGUAGUAGCUUCCUUGGUGAUCGUGGGAUUGCCUGGAUCUGCCCAGAAUUGCAGGGGAGGGUCCCCUGUGUGUCACCAGCCCAGGAAAAGGUCACAGUCCAGACCUUGAUUUCUAGUAACUGCUUUCCCACUCACAGUGAAAAGUCCGGCCGAACCGUCCCGAGUCACGACCCUCAUGUAUUCCUGUGAAUUUGUGGGCACAUAGGACUGUGUAUUUCUGGGAUUUUGCUGGGAGACUGGUUUUGUUUGUAGGAGUUCUGACUUCCUGUUAAGUUCCCUUAUAGUAAAAAUCUGUUCAGGUUUUUGUUUCUCCUUGGGUCAUUUUUUUAAGUGGCAUUUUCUGGAAAAGCAUCUGCUUCAUCCAGAUGUUCCCGUGUAUUGAGGUGGAAGGAAUGUGCACAGAGCUUGUCCUGGCCAGGUGCCACGUGGGCAGCACCCUGGGUGGGCUGGAGCGCAGACUCCAAAUAGCCUGCUCUGGGCCCAGCACCAUCUGAAGGUAGCAGGCGAGUUGGCCCCUGCGCUGGGCCACCUGGGGUCCAGGUUGAGUGAGUUGCUUCCUGUGUAGCCAGGGCCUCAGGAGGCAUGCAGUGGCCAGUCGCCCUUGUUUGACUCAGGUUGUCAGUGUCCGAGUGAUGUCCCCUUCACUCCUGACAGUGUGUUCGCCUUCCCGUUUUCCUCUUUGAAAUAGGUGUACAGAUCUCUGUGAUGUGACUUCUUCAGAAAGACUUCAUCUUUCUGCUACUUGUUAGCUUCAAAUUUUAAUUAAUUUCUGCUUGUAUUUUCUUUAUUUUCCUCCCCUUUUCUCGAAUUGAUGCCAUUUUAUUUUUUCUGACUUGCAGAUUGGAUAUUCUUCUUGUUCAUAGGCAAUACUCAGCUUUUAUUCUUUCCUAAUAAAAGUAUUUAAAAUAAAUAAAUUUCCAAAGAGGUACACUUAGUUGAAUACCACACAUUUAAAAACAGAGUAUUUAAAAAAUUUUUUAGUUCUAAAUAUUUUCUAAUUUCAAUUAGGAUUUCUUUGACCCAGGGAUUAUUUACAAAUAUUACUAAUUUCUAAGCAUAUGUAUUUUUUUUCAUGUCUUUUAAAAGUGAUUUCUAGUGUAAUUUCAUUUCCAUCAGAAAAAGGCUGGUGUUGUCUUGACAUGUUGACUUUUCACACUGGGGCUUUGUCAGGGUGCUGGUGGGGUCUUAGCUCACUCUUUGGUGCAGUCCCCUCUACCGUGGUUGGUCUGUGAAGGCUUCGGUGGGGCUGGCUGGAGAGGCCCAGUCACUUCCAGGCAGGACAGCGGGGAGACAGACAGCUGUGGAGGGACAUGCCUGCAGGGUGAGGACAGCUACAUUUACCCAGUCUCUGCUGGGCACCGAGGUCCUGUUUCCCCAUCCGUAAUUAUGCAGCUUUAGGGCUUGUUCUCCAUUGAACUGUCUGGUCCCAGAGCAGCCAGCUUGGGGCGCCCGGAAUGUUCCCUCUCUCAGCCUCUUUUUGGAUUCCGUCUUAGGGAAAAGUCAGUGAGGCAGGCAGAGGUGCUCACCAUAGCAUGGUUUCACAGUGCCAACUCAGAAAGACUGUACGUACCAGUGCAGGGGUGCGGUCCACUAAGUGGCAGUCCAUAAUGCAGUCUGACACCUCACGAAAACCUUAGUGUAGUGGGGCACUGGCACAACCGAUGUGACCCAGCCACUUGGGAGUGAAGGCAAGAGGGUUGUGAGUUCAAAAUUAAAAGUAAAAAGAGGCUGGGGAUGUAGCUUAGUUGCAGAGGGUUCAAUUCUUAGUACCCCCCUCCCCCGCAAAAAAUUAAAAUAAACCACAGUGUUGAAGGACCUUGAGUGAUUUGCUAUGUGUUACAAUUAGUGACAAAUGUGGUAAAUAAAAGAAGCAAAGCCAUAUACAGUAUUUUAACAGGUUAACAUUUAUCUGGGGAUAUCUUUUUUUUUUUUUUUUUAAUUUAUAGUUGUAGAUGGACAGCAUGCCUUUAAUUGUUUUAGCUUUUUAUGCGGUUCUAAGGGUUGAACCCAGUGCCUCACACAUGCUAGGCAAGUGCUCUGUUACUGAGCUACAGUCCUAGCCCCAUCUGGGGAUAUCUUGGUUGCAAAUAAUUUAUUUUUAAAUUCAUAAUUGUCUGCAUUUUUAAAAAAGUAUUUAUCUUUAUUUAUUUUUGUGUGGUGCUGAGGAUUGAACCUAGUGUCUCACAUGUGCAAGGUGGGCACUGUACCACUGAGCUACAGCCCCAGCCCUAAUUGUCUGCAUGUAAUUUGUAUUAUUCUACUCUAAAACAAUAAAUGUCCCAGGCUUGUCCACCCCCAAGUUCAAGGUGUGUGUGAUUCAGGUGAUCACACUGGACCAGCCCUUGUAGGGGUGUUUGGGGGAUCCCUGUGAGAUAAUGGGCCCUGCAGCCUGGCUGGGGUGGCCGGGUGCCGGCGUGGUGAGAUGCGUGAUGGUGGGGGCGCAGGCAGGGCAGUGUGGGUCCCCACUGCUGAGCAAAUGGUGGUCCCAGUCACUGAGCGUCUGUACCUCCUCUGGGCAGUGACUGCUGGGUGGAGACUGUGUCUUCUGCAGGGAGAGCGUGGGAAGGGGGCCCUGCAGGUUCUCAGACACUAGGCGUAGGUCCGGGCAUCACCCCCGUCUGUGAUUGGCCAGGGCUGCGUCUGUGGCCUUUCUCCCCAGGUGUCCAGAGCAUUUGCUCUUACUCUGUCUCUGAAGAUCACCUGGUGCGGUUCUUUGUCCUGUGGGAGCCUCCACCCCUAGAGCAGCUAGAUUGCAUCCUUCCCUCUCUCCUCCCUGACUUAGCUGUUUCUCUGCUGUGGCUAAAGGAUCUGACCAGAACAACUGUAGAGGCUCACAGAGGUCUUAGUCCAUAGAAGGCUGGCUCCAUUCCUCAGGGCUUGAGGGGAGGCGGAACAGCAUGGUGGAAGAGUUGGCAGAAGGAAGCAGCUCACAUGUUGAUCAGGAAGCAGAGAGAGUUUCUAUCCCCCAGAUACAAAAUAUAUACCCCAAGGCCAAGUCCCACCUCCUCCACCCAUUCCCUACCACUCCAGUUACCACUCAGAUAAUCCUCAUUAAGGGAUUAAUUCACUGAUUGGGUCAAGACUCGCAAUCCAAUCAUUUCUCCUCUGAACCUUCUUGCAUUGUCUCACACAUAAGCUUUUGGGGUACACUUCACAUCCAAACCAUAAUACUGCCCUCCUGGCUGGUCUCCUCGUCCCAAGGCAGAACUGGAGUAUGUGUGGCCAUUUCUGGACAGUGAGCCAGGAGGCCUGGGUCCCCUCGCAGAGUCUGUAAGACCAGGGUAGCUUGGGGCAGUGCAGCCCUCAGGCAGGUGUACGGUGGAGGAGGCACAGGGAAGGUGGCCUCUGCAGAAGGGCCUGGGUGGACUUUCCUCCUGCCAGAGAGGCCUCUUCUUGGUGCUUCUAGGGAACUGGCCAGGGGGACAGGGCAGAGCUGUUGGUCUUGCAUGCUUCUCUUGAGGGGGCUUAGGUACCUUAAAAAAGUCUGCCCCGAAAGUCUUCCAGCAUUGGGGGCUGUGCCCCUGCCUGUGGGAAGCCCACCCUUGCUCCUACGGAGCUGAGUAUUUUCUUGGCAGCAGACCGGGCCCUUGCCUCCAGGAAGCCACAGCUUGGAGACAAAGCUCACGGGUAGGGAAAGACAGGGAGGCUCUGGUGCUGCUUGCUGGCCUGGCCGGGGCCCCGGUGGGCUGGGGCGGGAGGGCUGUGGCACACUGGGUGGCAGGGGAGCGUACUGCAAAUCAGGCUUUCUCUCCUGCUGCUGCCAUGCUCCAGCGUGGGCAUGGAGGCCAAGGCCAGUGCCCACUGGGCUCAUGAGGCUGUGCUUUGGCAGGCGGCCAGGUGUAGAUGGCACUCUGGCCUUUUGCUGGCAAGGGCUGUUCUCAGGCAGGGGUUGUCCUAGGGGUAGCCCCAGCGGGAUGGACAGGGCCCAGGGGUGGCUGUCCCUGCCUUUCUGCCAUGGUGGUGAAGAAGAAGGGAAGACAGGCAGGCCAGUGGAAGCUAGGGGGUCUUGAACCCAGGACUCUGGGUGCCCAGCAGGGAGGUAGUCAGGAGCAGGCAGCUGUGUCCUGAAGCAGCAACCACAGAGGAGGCGCCCUGGGAGCUCUGCCGAGCUGCCACCCCCGCCAGGUCCAGGGGCCUAAACACCCGCUUUGGUGCCUUUCCAGGACUAGGCGCUGCCUCCAAGGGCCGCCGGACCCUGGAGCCCGCCUCGCCCCCUGCCUCUGGCCCGAGGAAGGACCCUGCUCUGGGGCCCCCUGGCCGGAGGGCGGGACCGAGUGCCAGCCGGGCCAAGAAGAGGAAGCCCAACUUCUGCCUGCAGGAGACGGAGGUGCUGGUGUCCAAGGUCAGCAAGCACCACCAGCUGCUGUUUGGCACGGGGCUGAUGAAGGCCGAGGCCACCCGUAGGUACCGUGUGUGGAGCCGCAUCCUGCAGGCCGUGAAUGCCCUGGGCUACUGCCGCCGUGACGUCGUUGACCUGAAGCACAAGUGGCGGGACCUGCGUGCUGUUGUGCGGCGCAAGCUGGGCGACCUCCAGAAGGCCACCCCUGAUCCUGGCCUGGGCUCCGGCAAGCCACAGGCCUUGGCCCUCACACCUGUGGAGCAGGCAGUGGCCAAGACCUUCUCCUGCCCAGCCCUGCCUGCCGAGGGCAUUGGCCUCGAGCUGCCCAAAGGUGAGUUCCUGGGCCAGCUCGCCCUCCAGACCUGUGCGGUGGCCAGAGGGAGGGUGGCUGCACCUUGGCCGCAUUGCUACACCUUCCUCCACAGUGGUCUCCUCCCUGUCCAUGUCUUCCUCUGUCCCACUGUUGUCAUUCAGAAUGUCCUCGUUCAUUGUUCGUUGCCCCACUCCCUCGUUCACUUAUGCCUGUUCAUGAUGUUCAGACAUCUUUAAUGUGCCAAGGUGCUCAGAAGUGGGUGGUGACUGCCCACCUAGCUCUUGCCAGGGCCCGCCUUGCCCUGUCCUGGAGCCACGCGGAGCACAGGGACAAGUGAGCCUACUUCUCUUCUCCCAGUCAUUUAGGCAGUCUCUUCAAUGUGAUGGGAGUAAGAGAUGUUGGGAUCGUAACCACUGCUGAGUUACAGGAAUUUCAAAGCUGGAUAUUUUGCUGCUUUUUCCUGUCCUAUUCAUUUAAAAAAAAAAAAAUGCUCACUGUGACUUGCUAAGUUGGUUCAAUGACCUGGUUUCAGAGCUGUAAUGUGAGAUAAUGCUGCUGUGUGAUGGUAUUUAUUUUUUUAUCUAGUUAUUAUCAUGGAUUAUACCCAGGGGCACUUAACCACUGAACCACAUCCCCACCCCAUUUUGUUUUUUUAUUUAUAAGUUGCUUAGGGUCUUGCUAAGUUUCUGAGGCUGGCCUUGAACUUGAAAUCCUUCUGCUUAUUUAUUUUUAAGAGGGGGCCUGUUGCUGUGUUUGACAGGUUGGCUCUGAAUACCUGGGCUCAAGCCGAUUUCCAGUCUCAGCCUCCAAGUGGCUGGGAUGCAGGAGGGUGCCACCGUACCCUACGCUAUGUCCCUGCCCGUCAGAGACCUCAGUCCUGGUGGAUUCAGCCUCCUGCAUUAUGGUGGGCAGGUUGAGACCUGGGGGAAGGGUUUGCCUAGGGCCUUUCUUGGAGCACCCAGAGGGUGUAACUCUGGGGGCAAAUGACAGGUUGGGGAGGUCAAGAGAGGUCAGUUAGGCCUGAAGUCCAGGAGCUCUGAGUGGGGCCCAGAUAUGUGCAGGUGUGGGUGACUCCUAGGCCAUGGCAGCAGCUGCUGUACUAGGCCAGGAAGGAGUUGUGGGCCCUGCAGAGGAUCCCAGUUGUGGAGGGUCGAGGCCCUGUUCUGCAGGGCCUGCAGUGUGAUAUCGGGUUACAAUGUCUCCAGAGCUCAGGGCUGUGGCUGGAUGACCAUGACGGUCCCUAGUGUGUGUGCUCAGAUCUGCUCUGCCGCCCAGGGGCGUGUGCAGUGAAGACGAGGUGCCCCGUGCCGAUGCCUGUGGCAGAGCUGGCAGCCUGCACAGUGUCUGAACAGGUGCUCCAGGCCCCUGGCCUGAGGGUGGGCCUUGGAGAGCUUUGAAACCAGGUCCUUAAAACAGGUAGAGAACUUAAGACUUGUGAAGAUGGUGCCAUCUGACUAGCAGCUGGCAUGUGUACUGUCCCCUUCUCCGAUACCACCCUGUGCUGGACAGUCUUCUGGCUGCUGUUCCUUGUUUUCUGCAGGACGUGGUGUCCUGGAAGCUGUAGGACCUGCCCGUGUGCUGUCAGGUGGUGGGGGCCCUGGGAUCUCUGAGGGCAAGGUCUGGAAAGGUCCCUGGGUCCAGACUGUGGGGCCCUCACUUGCUUCCUGCAGAGGUGAGGUUGAGGGGCUGCCUGAGGCCACACAGCCAGGGUCUUGCUAAGUUGAGCUGGUGCUGGGCCUUUGGCAGGCACCACAGUCUCUUAUUUUAUUAUUUUAUUUCUUAAAUGAAAUAAUAGUCACACAUCAGAAUUCACCAUUUCACCCUUCUUACGGUGUGUAGUUCAGUGGUUUUCAGCAUAUUCUUGCCGUCAUGCGUCUGUCACCUCCAUGUAACUCUAGAGCAGAUCUUGUCACUUGCAGGCAGCCCGUGCUCUCUAGCAUCCGCUUCCUGCCCCUGGCCUUGCAUGAUCUGGCUCUUCUGUGGUGGCACCUCCCAUGCACCUUCAUGUUGCUGGUGACUCUUCCAGCCUCAACCUUCUCUUCUGGAGAGUGGGAUUGAGUGCUCCGCAGUCGGUGCUGUUGGCGUUUUGGGACAGUCUUCACAGGGCGGUGCUUCUACUUAGACGGGGAUUGACACCUAGGAGUUGAAUUGCGGCUUUGACCACCAGCACACUGUUUUUCCCAGUGCUUGUACCUGAGCAGUGGGAGCGAGCGCACUUGCUCUCCACCCUUGCCAGAGCUGGCGUCGUGGGACUUCGGGGGUCCAGGCACCGUGGGUGGUGAGGACUGGUGUCUGGUUGGUUGAGGUUGGGUUUGCCUUUCCCUGGUGUGGAGCGUCCUGCUGUGUGUACUGGCUAUUUGUAGUGUCUAUUUGAACCCAUCGCAGUGUGAUAUCGGGUUACAGUGUCACUGAGCUCAUUAUUCUGAACAUUAUGUUAUCUUGUCACGUGUCUGAAUUUGAAUAUUUUCUUCAGACUGUGGCUUGUCUUUGUUUUUGCAGGUGAAAAGUCUCACUGUUUGAGCAGUUUCUCCCUCUGUGCCUUUGUUUGUGUCCUGCCUCAUAAGUCUUUGCCCACUCCCAGGCUGUGAGAAGUCCCUGCUGCUCUAAGUGUAGAAGUUCUGGGCCUCAGGCUUCUGCACUUGAACCUGUGACGCACACUGAGUCAGCGUUGUGCGUGAUGGGUUUGGGUCAGUUGGGUUUUAGGUGCUGGGCUGCUUUGCUGUCUCUGUCUCAGGCAGAUGGCCGUUCACUUGGCUGCCCACUUGCUUCCGUCUAUCUGAAUGUCUGUUGGAGUAAGUUGUAGGUUAAUCCCGUGAGACUGCCAGAGACCCCAAGUCUCCUCUCUGCUGGUCUGCAGUGGCGCUCCCCUCCUCUCCUGGGGGCUGGCUGCUCUGCAUUGGCUCUUUUGUCCUUGGUUAGUCUGGUUUAAGUUUGUGGUCUUAGAAUUAGUCUGAUGUAAAUGUACUGAUUUUAUUCAUCAUUUGAGAGAACCUGAUUAUAUUGAUUUUCUCUAAUGUCUAUUGAAUUAUGUUUGAUCAUCUUUGUUUUUUGUUCCUUUUGUUUAUUUAGGUUCAUUUUGCUUUUGUUAGAUAAUCGACUUAGGCCCAUUCUUAUUUUCUAAUAUGUUUGUUGCUAUAAACUUUCUUUUUUGCAUUGCUUUACUUAUAUAAAUAUGUCACACUUUCAUUUCAUUCAUUUAAAAUAUUUUCUGGUUUCCCCUGUGAUUUAUUCUACGUGGCGUUCAUUUAGAUGUGUGCUGUUUAAUGUGAAGUAAUGAUGUAUGCUGGCAGAUUUCUUUUUGCUGCUGAUCUCUAGUUAAUUCUGUUGUGUUCAGAGAAUGUAUUUUUCAUGAUGUCCACUCUCACAGAUAUGUCUGUGGCCUUGCUGUCUGUGUGUCCACCUCGGCGCGUCCUCCAGGUGCGCUGACUUGUGCAACAGGGCACCCCCCAUGUGCGCUCAGGUUGCACUCAGAGGCGUGUUCUCCUCACCUGAGUCCUUGCCCAUUUUUUGUCCACAACUGUUGACUGGGGGUGCAGGGUUGGGGGUCGACUCGGGACUCCGCUGUGGGUUGAGGUUCCUUCUUGCAGUUGUCAGUUUGUGCACCUGUGUUUCUGGGGCUGGGGGAUGCGGGUUCCCGUGUGUUUGGGUCUGUUUUGUCUCUUCUCCAGGUUGCAGGUGUCCUGCCUUUGGCUCUACCUGGGAGGAGUGCAGCUGCUCUGGCUCCAUGCGAGAGCUUUCGAAGACGUGAUCUUGCGUAUCAACAGCAGGGCUUUGGAGUAGUUGUACAGUGGAGUCUUCCCUUCCUCUGAUUGGACAGUCUCUGUUUUCUGAUUGCAGUGGUUGAGAUGUGCUGUCCGCCAGAGCCUCUGGAGAUAGCGGGAGUGUUGUGCUGUGUGCACACGUGGCUGUGGCGGCCGAGGAACUGGAUUUAUAAUGGUAUUCAAUCGCAGUAUAGUUCAUGCCAGCUCUCUGCCCCGGCUGGCGGCUCGGGCCUGGCCGGGCACGUUGGCUCCUUUAUCUUUAGUGUGAUGCUGUGUGUUUCUGUUUGAAUCUGCCGCCUUGGUGUUUGCCCCCUGCAUUGCCCUUCUGUCUCUCUCCCCUGCCCCUGUCCUGGAGUAGUGAGUGCUGCUCAGGGUUGGUGUCACUUCUCUGACCCACUGCAGCUUCCCCUGCCUCCCUGUGCUCUGCAGUCUGGAGUGGCUUCAGUCUGGGGGGUCUGGGCUGGCCCCCUUUUCUCCAUCAGCCCUAAACUGUCCUCUGCCCCGAAUGAGAGCGGCUUAGGUGGGAAUUGUGUGGCUCCUUUGUCACAUCAGAGAGUGGCCACCUAUGGCUGUGUGACCUGGGAGGGCAAGGGGCAGAGAGGAGGACUGCCCUUCCACACUUUGUGUGCUGAGGAGGUCACUCCACAGCACAUCCUCUCUUAGUGAAUGCUGACAUGCGUGUGUUGGGUGAAGGGCAUCUGUGCUGUUGAGGCAGAGACCCACAGGAGAUGGGGCACGUGUCGCUCCUGUACCGCAGUCCAGCCAGGCCAGGUGGGCAGUGUGCGCCCUCUCCCCAAGGGUGCUGUCCUUCAUCUGCGUGGUCACAGCAGAGUUGCACCCCACGGCAUCCCAGCCAGGACAGGAGGACUGAGUGAGAGGCAGCCGUCGGGUGGCUGUUUCUUUUAAGCGUGUGAGAGGGAGCUCGCACACUUCACUUCUCAAAUUCUGGGGUGGUGGGUCAUGGGGAGCGAGAGUCAACCUCUUUGAUUGCAAGGGAGGCUGGGAAAUGCCCACAGCUAUGUGGCUACAUGCCCAGGAUUUCAGAGCGAUGGCCCACAGUGCCCUAGCUUGCAUGGCCAGGCGGUCUCUGCCAGUGUUCCCUGUGGUGUUGCUCUUGUCUGCUGAGAUGGGGACUCUGCACAGGUGUCCUCCCCAGAUUUUGGUGGAGGGCAAAGAGCCAAUCCUGGGAUGGACGCUGUAGCUGUCUUUGCUCUGUGUCUGGGCCUUCGGGCCUCCAUCUUCAUCAUCAACACACAUCUCUCCCCUCCUGUGAUGACUGCACCCCGGGGUGCCAGCUGGCAACCCUGCCUUGGCUCUGCAGUCCGGCCCUCCUGUUUUCCCUGUGAUCUCAUUCUCCGGGUCCCCCAGCAGGGUCAGAAGUAACCCAGUGCUUCUGCUGUGUGCCCAGAUGCCUGUGCUCCCCCUGGGGGCAGGGCCUCCUGGGCUGCCCACACCUGUGUUCUGCAUCAGGCCUUGGCAGCUUGGACCCUGGACCAGAGCUGGGUUGCACACCUCUCCCAUGCCAGCCAGGACACACUGGACGGGUCCACGACCUCCAGCUUGCUGGGCCACCAGGGCUCUGCAGUGACCGGGCGGCUGCACAGAACUUAGAGAGCCCCAAGAGCCGUGUGCUCCUGGGUGUAGCCAGGCUGGCCCCUGGGCUCUCAGCUCAGCUUUCUGGAUGCAGGCCACCCCCCAUCCCCCAGCCCUGGGCUCAGUGUCCUUCCACCACAUGGACACCUCUGAUAACGAGGCAGAUGGUGUCUGCCCUCGGUGCCAAGCUCUGCCCUAUGAAGGCCGGCCUCUGGCCCUUGUGGGGAGUGCUGAUCCAGCCCUGUGGCUAUGGAGCCUUGUUGCUGUCUCCCUGGUUGCCUAGAGGCAGCAUCUGCAGCCCGCCCAGCCACUGCAUGCAGGGCUGUGUGCCUGGAAGAUGUGUUCCUGUGGGAGCGGCAGUGCCAGCACCAGGUACUGUGUCGGCCAGGGCCGAGCUAGUGAGCCACAACACUUGCUGGAAGAGGCUGUCCCAGCCAUGGCCUUCAGAAAAAGAAAAGGGUGGGGAUGGAUGCUGCCCUGUAGCCUGGGGAGGGUCUGUCCCCUCCGGCAUAAACUGCCAUGUCACCUAAACUUGGGUCUUGUGGAGAGCAAGGGUGCUUGGAGCCAAAGAGCUCCUUGGUUUCUUUUUGCAGACAAUAAAAAAUGGGAGUGGCUGUUGUCUGCGCUUUCGCUCCAUGUCUUUGUGUAGGAAAACUGUCAUGAUCCCCCGUCCACAGCUGAGAACUUGAGGCUGUGAGAGCCCCCGUGACAGGUCCCAGAACCCAAGCCUGUGGAUGGCAGGCUGGGUUUGGGAGGAGAUCUCAGGCUUGGAGGGGCCUCCCCAAGGGGGUGUGUGUGGCAGUGGCGUGUGGUGGAGUCCUGCCUCCUAGAGCACUGCCAUGGGCUGUGGGGCUGCCCCUGCACGCCUCACCACACCACACUCACAGCCACUGAGGGCUUGUCUUGGAGGCCAGGAGGCAGCUUCUACUGCCCCAGUGAUCUUGCUACAGUUCUGCCCCAAGUGCCCUGCCUUGGCAGAUGGGGACCGUGAGUGUUUCCUCUCCAUGUUUCCUUACUGGUCAGCGGUCACUCCUCCUACUGCACUCUUCAGCUGCCCUCUGUUCUGCCUCGGCUGCCACCUGCACAUGUUGGUGCCAUGUCGGCCACAGGGGUGGCCAGGACUGACCAAGCUGGGUGGGAGGGAGCUGGAGCCGCAGUGAGCCAAUACAGAGGAGUGAGGCUUCCUUGAGGCAGCAGAGGCAGGCAGUCAUGAGCGGAAGGGGGCAGGCGUCUCUGGAUGAGGGGGCUCAGGAGGACUUGUGAGGGUAAGGGCACAAGGAACUGUCCUCAACCGGGAGGUGCUAGUGAGAACUGGCCCAUCUGGAAGGCAGGUCUUGUCAGGCUUCUCAGGCUCCCUGUCCUCCAUAGUAAGUCCUCAUCUCCUGGAGGCUGACCACAGCACAGGGCCUGGAGCUGACUUUGACCACCAGGAGAAGGCACGGUCAGCCUUGACCAGAAGGGCUGUGUGGACUUUGGCCUGGGCCAAAGUGAAGGUGGGCUUUGAGGAGACCCAGGCAGAGUGGCACAGCCCAGGGAUACAUCGGAAGGAAAUGUCAGGGCUACCAGGUAAUCUCCCUGGCUUUGUGGUGUGGAAGGGUUGCUACCUCUCCCACCCUGCUGGGGAGGAAACUGGGCUGGGGCACUGGACCCCUGCUAGGACUGCCACCUGGGACUACUGGCUCAGCUGGGGAACAGCCCCCCUCGCCCUUCGGUCCUGCUGUGGCUCUUCCUGUGUCUGACUCUACUUCUGAUGCAGGUUGGACCUGGUGGCCAGCAUGGCCACUCUAGUCGUAAGAGACAUUUAUCCAUCGCCUGCAAAGACCUGUCCAGGCCUGCAGGUGUGCAGCAUGAGUGCUGUGGGUGUACGGCACUGGGUCUGCUGGCAGACAGGGUGGGAGGCGGCCUGGAGGGCUCCCAGAUCAGGGAUAGUGGGGUGGCCAUGGUGAAUCGUGCGUCCCUGCUCUGAUCCCUGGUGUUUUAGUCAGUUUUUUUUUUUCUGCUGUGACUAACAGAUCUGAUCUGAACAAUUAUAGAGGAGGAAAUGAUUCCAUGAUCUCAGAGGUCACAGUCCAUGGACAGCUGGCUCCAUUCCUUGGGGCUUGAGGUGAGGCAGAACAUCACAGUGCAAGAAUAUGGCAGAGGGAAGCAGCUCACAUGAUUAUCAGGAAGCAAAGAGAGAUUCCACUCACCAGAUAACAAAAUAUAUACCAAAAGCCAUGCCCCAAUGCCCACCUCCUCCAGCCAUACCCUGGCUGCCUUCAGUCACCCUCAAUUCAUCCCCUCCAGGGGAUUAAGUCACUGAUUGGUUUAAGGCUCUCAUAACCCAAUUAUUUGUCCUCUAAACCUUCUUGCAUUUUCUCAAGGGUACCCCACUGGUCACUUCUCAAGAGAAUUUUUGGUUUUACCUCCUUGAAUCUGAGAAGUGUAUGGUCUUGUCAGCUCCUGAGAUGCCCUGAGGCCAUCUUUCUCCUUGUCUCUGGGCAAAGUCUUUCGCAUUUCUUUAGUGGUAGUAAUGUUUUUAAAAACUGCAACUUACUUAGUCCCAGUUUUACCCUCACCUUCAAGUUUUUUUCAAGUGUCCUAAUUAUCACAAUAAUUUGGCUAAAAGCCUCCAACAAUAUCUUAUGCUGAAUGCUAUGUGUUCUCUAGAAAUUUCCUCUGCCGGAUUAAAAAGUCCACUGUUUUUAAAAUCAGUCUCACAGAAUGUCUCAAGACACAGGCAAUAUGCAGACAACUUCCCAGCCAGAACGUGACAUAAGUAGUGUCCUUCUUUUCCUCGAAACCUCUUUGAGUCCUAUCUUCAUUAUCCAUGGUACUCCUGCUGUUCUGGUCUUCUGAGCUCCCCCCACAAUUGGCCAUUAAGUUCCACUUACCACUUCUAAACCAUUUCCAGCUUGUACUGCUAAGCAUCUCAAAAUUCCUCCCACCAAUUCCAGAAAGCUCCAAAAGUUUCUGAACCAUACAGUCAGGUUAGUCACAGCAUCAAUUUCUGUUCUACUCAGCUUUUUCACUGCUGUGAUUAACAGAUCUGACCAGAACUAUUAUAGAAGAGGGAAGGUUUAUUUGGGGGGCUCAUUCAGAGGUCUCAGUCCAUGGAUAGCGGGCUUUAUUCCUUGGGCUUGAGGUGAGGCAGAACAUCAUGGUGGAGGAAUAUGACAGAGGGAAGCAGCUCACAUGAUGAUCAGGAAGCAAAGAGAGAAGUCUUCACUUGCCAGGUACCAAAUAUAUACCCCAACGCCACACCCCAAUGUCCACCUCCUCUAGCCACGUCCCACCUGCUUUCAGUUACCAAUCAAUUAAUCCCCACCAGGGGAUUAAUUUACUGAUCCGUUAAGGCUCUCAUAACCUAAUUAUGUAUCCUCUAAACUUUCUUGCGUUUUCUCACACAUGAACUUUUGAGGGACGUCUCACAUCCGAACCAUAACACCAGAGGUUCCUUAGCAGUGAACAGUGCCCGGCAGUGUUGCCUCAUGAGUUGGCUGAGGGGUGGCAGUGAGGAGGAUGCCUGAUCGCUGGGGUCCUGCCUCCUCCCAGGACGGGUGCUCUUUGUACAGCAGCUCUGGCCACCCCUCCUCCUCCAGCCCUGAAUUGAAUCCUGCAGAAUGGACAGCCACCUUGGGCCUUGGAGCCUGCCCACGUGACUAUGGUAGUUCAUGCACAAUACUUUGGCUGAAAGCCUCCAACAGGUAAUUUGGAAGGGGCAAGGGCAGCCCCCAGGACUGGAUGGUUGACAUUUUCCUUCCCGAGGUCAGACCCCCUUUCUGGUGGUGUGACCUUGGGUGGGUGGUGUGGCCUUGGGUGGGUCUCCUGCUUCUGCCCUGGGUCUCUUUAUCUGUAAGUGGGGAGAGUGGCACUCUGGUUGUUGGGCUCCUUCUGUGUGCUUCUGCUGGAGAGUGGUGGUCCCUCCUCCACCAUGGGCACAGCUCAUCCUGUCCUGUCCCUUUCUUUGCUGCCCUGGCUGUGUCCAUCGUGAGCCUGGGCUUGGUGAAGGCAUCGCGGGGCUCCAGCGCCUUGCAGGUGCAGCAGUGGUGUGUGCAGGGUUGUCAGACGCUGUUUCUCAGGCCAGCGACAUGAGUGGAGCAGCCUCGCUGUGCUUCCAGGCUGUGCUGAGUACAGCAGCUGGACCUGGGGGCUUGGCAGGGGAGGGACGUGGCAGGCCUGUGAGCCUAGGAGCUGGUGCCUCAGCAGGGUGUGCUCAUUCUAGAGAGGCAGGGCCGACCCUGCCGUGGUCCAGCCAGCCCUGUGACUCUGUGGAGUGGGCUUGGGCCUGUGGCCUAGGGAGAAACCUCGUCAAGCCCAGGAGGGGGUACUUUGUUCUAGGCUCGUAGGCUGGCUCAGAGAGCGCAGACCUUUGGGUGUUCCCUGUGCUAACCAGCUGCUCAUUGCUGUAACCAAGAACAGCUAUCAAGGACAACUUAGAGGAGGAAAAGUUUACUUUGGCUCUGGGUUUCCGAAGUCAGCCAACUGCAUUGCUCUGGCCUGAGGUGAGGCAGGACAUUAUGGCAGAAGGGAGUGUCAAAGGGAAGCUGCUCAGCUCUUGGUGGCUGGGAAGCAGAAACAGAAGAGGAGCCAGGAGGAUAAGAUAUAUCCCUCUAGGGCACAUCCUCUUCCAGGCACACCCCACCUGCCUGUGGUCAACGCCCAGUAAUCCAUUCACAUUAUUAGUCCACUAAGUUACAGCGCUAAUUUAAUCUCACCAUUUUACUUCCUGAAUUAAUACAGGAGCUUGGGGGGGGGGGACAUCUCACAUGCAAACCAUAGCAUUCCACCCUGGCCCCCCAAAGCUCAUGUCCAUCUCACAGUGCAAAGUACACUUAGUCCAUCUCCAAGAGUCCCCAUAGUUUAUAUUUCCAGCAAAAGUCCAAGGUCUCCUCUGAGACUCAAGGUAAACUCUUGCUUGUGAGCCAGUGUAAAAAUCAAAAGCAAAUUAUAUAUAUCCAAUAUACAUUGGCCUAGGAUAAAUAUUCCAGUUCCAAAAGGAAGGCUCAGAGGCCUACAAAGAAGGCUGGGACCAAAAGAAGAUCGAAACCCAGUUAGGCAAAAAAGUGCUGUAGCUUCCUGUCUGACUUCUGGAGCACCCAGUGGUGAGAUCUCCUCUCCGCAGGGUUAGGCAGCCGCCUCCGUGGCCUUUCUUACCCACGUGGCUUCUCUAGGCCUGUUCUGACCACAGCCAGAGCCUUCCUUGGCAGGUGUUGCAUGUUAUUGGAUCUCCUGGGGGUAUCCUGGGGGUCUCCUGGGGGUAUCCUGGGGGUCUCCUGGGGCGUCUCCUGGGGGGGUCUCCUGGGGAUCUCCUGGGGGUCUCCACUACAGUUUGUGCUUCAUUGUCCUGGCUUUGCACAUGGUCCUCUCAGGGCCAGCGGCAGGGAUUCUGACCCUGCUGCCCUUGUCCUCUCAGGCUUUCCUUUGAAGUCCAGGGGAAGCCUCUGGGCCUCCACCUCCAGCAUUGUGCAUUGCUGCAGAACCAGCUCCACAUGGAUGAUGCCAAAGUCUGCUGCCAGGUUAAGCAGUAGCUGGGUUCCCUUGGACCAUGGCUACAGUGUCCUGGGAGUGCCUGGGCAGCCAAACCCCGUGAAAUGAAUCCUGGGGAAACAGCUUUCUAGGUCCCCUGUGAAAGCAGGGUGCCUUUGUGAUCUCUUUCACUUCUGCACCCUUGAACCUGCCAUGGGCGUGGUGUUCUAGUUCCUGAGAUGGCCUCACAGCAUUGUCCUAUUGUCUCUAGGCAAAGUACUUAGUUUCUCUUUAGUGGCAGUCAUCUCUUCAACACCCACAUCUUCCUGAGCCCUAAUAUUACGUGUUCCUUUGGCCAAACUGCAAGUUUUUCAGAUCUUUUCUUUCUGCCUUGUGUUCUUGAUUCUUCUAGUAAACCUGGCUAAAAGCUGCUGGCAACAUCCGAGCCACUGCCUCAAAGCUGUGGUUUUAAUUUUAAUGCUGCCUAAGUUUCCUUCCACCAGAUUAGUGAGUCCACCAACUGUAAGUUCAGCCUUACACAAACUCUCAGGACAGAAUGGAGACAACUUUUUUUGCCAGAAUGUAACAUGAACAUCUCUAGUCCAGUUCCCAAUGGAAUCCUCAUUCCCCUCUGCAACUCCAUGAGCGUAGUUCUUACUGUCUGCGUUCCUAUUGGGGUUCUGGUCCUCUGGGCUCCCACCAGAAGCACUUUAAGCUCUGCUCACAACAUUCAGAGCUUUCUCCAGCCUGCAUCUCUAAUCUUUUCCAAACUCCUCCUAUGAACAAGUUCCAAAGGCUUCUGAACCAUAUGGUCAUGUUAGUCACUGCAGUGACCCUACUCCUGGUACCAGUUUCUGUGUUAGUCAGCUUUCCAUUGCUGUGAACAGAAUACAAGGACAGUUUAGAGGAGGAGAAGUUUAUUUGGCUUACAGUUUCAGAGGUUCCCAUGGCUAGCCAAGUCCAUCGCUCGGAUCCCCAGGUGAGGUGGGGAGCAUCAUGGUGAAGUGCACUGUGGAGGGAAAUUGCUCACAUCAUGGUCGCUGAAGGAAGGAGUAGUCAGAGGACAAGAUAUGAUCCCCAAGGAUACACCCCCUGGUGGCCUACUUUUCCCAGCCAUGCCCCAUUAUUAAUCCAUCAAGUGAAUUAAUCCGCUGAUGGGGUUAUCGCUCUUAUGAUUCAUUAUUUCCCCUGCUAUGUCAACACAGGAGCUUGAGUGGAUACCUCAUAGUUGAACCACAGCAACCCAUUGGCAUCCUGGUGUCUCCUGCCCCACAUGCCCUGGCAGACCUCGCUCCGUGUCCUUCAGUCUUAAGUGUUUUAUCUUGGAGACUUGUGAGCGCAGAGAAGGUGGAAAGGGUUGCAGUGUGACCAUGGGUGCACCACUGCCUAGAUCCCACCUGCUGCCAUCCCAGCUGGCCCUCCUCGUGCCUCUGAGCCCUUUGGAGCAGCUGAAGCCCUCGGGUCUCCUUUCACUUCCUGGUUACUGCCUCUCCUUUCCUUUUGAGGUGAACUUUAAGUGCGUGAACUGCAGGCAACCAAAUGGUACUAUUCUGGGCCUUUUGGCAGAUGCCUGCACUGUGUUGCCCACAGCCCUGUCCAGGCACGGGGCCUCCCCUAUUCAGCAAGUCCCUGGUGCCCUGCCCCAGCCCAGCCCAGCGUAGCCCCAGCCACCAUAGACUGCUUUUCUCUGUUGGAGAUCUGACCGUGCACUCUGACGCCUGGCACAGUGUCACGCCCAGGGCGCCCCCGCAGGCAGGGCACACGUGCCUGCCAGUCUCCUGCAUCCCCUGCACUUGCACCUUCCAGGGUGGGCUCUUAGGAAUAGCUGCCACGGACUCUCUUACCCAGGGUUCCUGCGGCCUCGGCUUUGUUUCUCUGUGUAGGUGUCCAGAGUGUGAUGGCUGGCCGCAGGGCAGCAGGUGUCCUGGUGUCUGUGGCCGAGACCUUCGUUGCAUGGCUGCACAUUGCACAGUCACCCAGCAGUGCGCAUCUGGACACUGUCUUCCCCAGCACUUGGAGUUUCCCCACGUCGAUUUCUGUGGUUUUGUUACAUUGAGAUAAAAGUGCUUAGCACAAAGCCUAUGAUGGACUCUUAAAGUAUGCUAGUCACGGACCCUUGGUGCGGUCACAGGGUUGUGUGGCCAUCUCCACCUUCCCACUGCAGAGCGUGUCCAUCCACCGGGGCAGCUGGGCCUGUGCUAGCGUCACCGCCCCCUCCCAGACUGCUGGCAGCCGCCGUCUCCAUCUCUGUGGGCUGCCACCUCUGCAUGUGUGGUGUGAAUGGGAUCACACAUUUGGUGGCAUCUGUCCCCAGCCUGGUGUUUGGAGGACUCGUUCCUCUUACUGCUGAGCAGUGGAGCAGUACUCUGCAGUGUAGCUAGGCCCCGUCUUUGUCCUUGCUGGUGGCCUGACGGCAUGCGGGAAGUCUCCUCCUUCCCACCUAGCAGCGCUGCUCUGAGCCUUCUUGUGUGAGUCUUGUGUGAAUGGGAGUCCUUAUGUGCGUGCCCAGGAGGCUACUGCUGGGGUGCGGAGCCUCCACGUCCCCUCUCCUUGAGGAGCCGCCUCUCCCCCCAGCUUGGGUCCUGGGAGGGCAGGGGUGGUAUUUGUCCUGACCCUUUGCCUGUGGAAGCAGAGCUGGAAGGCAGGAGGGGUGGCGUGCAGGGCAGCUGGGCCUCUGGCUCCCUCCUCUGGGAACCACCUGGAGAGGCUGGAGGGGCCGGUCAUACAGGCAGCAUGGUCAUCUUGUGCCUCCUCUUCUCCUGUCUUCCUCUAGCCACACAGGUUGUUCCUCGUGACCUCCAGGAGCUGAGCCAGGAGACCUCAGCCAGUGUCUUCCAAAUCCACUCCAAUGGUAUGCCAUCUGCCUGCCCCCUCUCUCCUGGCUGCUCUGGGUCACUGAGGUGACAUCGGAGGCUAGCUGGUACCUGACCUUGCCCUGCCCCUACUGUCCUGCCUUCCACAGUCCCAGGUUCUUGGGGGCAGCUGGGGGCUGCUUGCAUGUCCAGUCAGCUCUUCUCCUCCUCGAUCCUGUCCCACCCUGGCUCUCCUCACUGGCUCUGUGGCUGUAGGGAUCCCUGGGAGGAAGGAGUGAACCCCGAUGGCAGGGCUGGUGGAACAGAGAUCACUGAGGCUAGGAUGGGGAGCAAGAGCCACACCCCAGACAUCCCUGGGAGAGGGACAGGCCUUCCCCAGGCCCAGGUGGGCUUGCUCUGGGUGGACUGUACCUGGGCCUGGGCCUGCUCCGGCACAAUAGGGGAGAAGGUCCUGUGGGGGUUGGGUAGGCCUCUGCUAGGAGGGGUGGACCCAGCCUGUAGGAGGCUGCUGUGCCCUGGUGUCAGGUCACAUAGUGGUCUGGCUGUCUCUGAUGCAGGGCCCAGUUUCCACUAUGGCCACGCAGAGGGCAAUGGGUUGGGGAGGGUCCUUCUAAUCCUUGUGCUUUUCCCAUCUUUUGUUGGACAGUGACCUCCUUGGAGAGGAGCCUCCGGUCCUUGGGGACACCGAGUGACACACAGGAGCUUCGGGAUAGCCUGUGAGUGGCAACUGCCAUCCCUGCGCCUGUGCAUGGUGCCGCACACAUGCAGCUUCACCCUAAACUGCCUCUCCUGAGACGUGAGCACCCUCCCCCGGUGGGCGUCUAGGUGGAGUGGACGCUGCUGAGACACACACCUGUGCUCAGGUGGUGUGCGUGCCAGCUCGCACACGCUCCGUGUCACCAGCAUGCUCCAGGGGGUCUUUGCAGUGCCCCAGGCUCACUGACAGGCCUGCACAUAUGUGCACACCUGUGGACACACAGGCUGGGCUGGAGUGGGGACCCCUGGUUUUGAUUCUGCACCUGUGGGAGUCCCACUGGGCUUCCAUAGAGAGUCACUGUCAGCCUCCCCUGGGCAGGACUGGGCUGGGAUGAGGUCUGAGCCCCAGAAGAGAGGCACGGGUGGUGCUGUCUGCUAAGCCAGGACCUGGUGGGCUGGGAGGAGAAGGGCAGGCUCCUUCCACCUGGGCUGCUGGGCAGGUUUGUGGGCUUGCAGGGCUCUGGGGACCUGCAGGCUGGAGCCCUGCUCUCCAGGCAGCAUGAGCAGUGCCAUCCCAGCUAGUCUGGACCUGUCCUGGUUCUGGCCUGCAGGGAUGCGGAGUGCUUCAUCCCCGGUCAGCAGAGCUGCUCUCUGGACCUACCACAAUGAGGGCCUGCUGUGUCUCCUGCACAGAGCUGUGGGUGAGGGCGUGGGACAUCCCCGUCCUCACUCCAGGGAGUGGCCGUGCGUGCAGGUGCCCUGUGUUCCUGGCACCAGCGGACCUUGGCAGACAUCGCCUGCUAUCCGUUUUUGAUCUUGGUAAAAAUGAAGUCCUUGUUUCUGGUUGUGAGAGAGGCUUUGGAUGCCCAUUCCAGGAAGCGUGGACCUUCAGAGUAUCUGAGGAGCCACUGUGACACGUGGUGCCUCUGGCGCCUUUCCUCAUAUCCUCAGGCCAACACCAGAGUUGGGUUUAAGUAGCGAGUGUUCUGGAAGCAGCGUUUUGCACUUGGGGUGAGUGGUGUGCCUGCAUCUCAUCAGGGACUUUGAAGAUGUGCUCGUGGUGGGGGCUGUGGAUGCUGUUGGAUGCGUGUGACUCGUAAUGUGGCCGGUUACUAGGAACAAUUCCCAGUGACAUCAUUGUGUUUAACCCUGUGUCACUGCCUGUCUCCUGAGUAUCCCUGGGACCAGAAGGUGGGAGUGUCCAGGUGGCCUUCACUUACGUAUCUUGGGCUACCUGCCUGGUUAGUGAAGACAUUAUCCCCAAACGUGGGCCUUGGAGAGGAGAGGGCUGUCCACGGAGUGGGCAGGUGGCCUGACGCAGGGCCUGGCCCGCAGUGACCUCAGCUCCAGCAGCAGCACCCACCUUGGCUCUGGGGCCAGAAGCGUACCUUGGUGUCUCUGCUCCUCUGCCACAGACCUGUCCACCUGCCUUCCAGAGCCCCCAUGACCUGACUGCUCUGUGCCUGUCGUGGGCACAGCACUGGCUGUGGGCUGCCUUCCUCCCUGUCUGCUGACCUUGCCCUGACCCCCUGCCCAUCCUGGUUGGUGGACCUUGGGUGAUUCUGCUCAUAAAGUCCACCAGGGGGCUUCCUGGUUCACAGAAGGGUGGAGGGGACUUGUGGGCCAGCACCCUCCUGGUGUGUGGCAGAGGGUCCUGCUUCCAGGCUUUCCAGCUCCUUUCUGUGGGCCAGCUUCCCCGAUUUCCACACGAGUUCACAGUGGUGUCUUCCACUCACCCCUGUUCUGUCGUGUGCAGUCAGGGUAGCCGAGGUGGGGGUGACCUCCAGGGGCCUCUAGUCCGUGGCUCAGUGGGCAGUGAUAGGGUCCUGGCAGGCUGGGCUCCCAGCUCUGUGUGAGCAGCACUGUCCCACCAGGGUGUGCAUGUCCGAUGGGCAUCAGAAGGGAUCCACAUACCCCAGUGCCAGGGCCUGUGCACGGCGACUCUCGGAGGGGCUCAGUCUUAACAGCCCCAUACGUGGCAGCCCAAGCUCAGACAGGCAGGACACAGAGCUGCGUGGGUGUCUUGUCCCUGGCCCCCUGUGACUGAGCACUCCUGCACACGCACCUGCAGGACUCGGGACUUGCUCGAGAGCCAGGAGGGGAGGCUCACUCCGGCUCAGGCUGCCCUGUGCCCCGAGAAGGAUUCUGUAGUGGGAUUUAGCCCAAUUGCUCCUGUUCCCUGUGGUCAUGGGCACAGGAGCAACUGGGCCAACCGUCGGCCUUCCCUCUAGAGUUGACCUGGGGCCCGAGACUCGCUCAGAACAGGGUUGGCUGUCCAGACCUAAGCCCCCUCAUGGCUCGUGGGGAAACGGAGACAGGGGAGGGCCUUGCCUGGGAGCAGAGUGAGCAAGGGUUGUGUCUGACUGUCCUCGGGCUUGCUUGCUGCCAGGGAGGCUUGNGGUGGGUCAGGGUCUGGCAUGAGCAGUGGGGAGGCCUUUGUCUGGGCCGCACUGGGACUGUUUAUAGCCCUGGGGUGGGUGGGGUGUGUGCAGGGGUGGUUAGAUCAUUUGUAGGUUCCUUUAUGCCCAGGACUGGCACCUGGGAUGUCUCAGGUCUCAGCUCUGCUGGGACUGUCCCCUGGAGCAGCUGCCUGGUCUCCCUAGGCAGUGGGGCUCCCUGCCGGCAUGGUGGCCGAAUGGCCACCUCCUCUCCUGCUAGCCCAGGCCUCCUGCGAACACUCCAGCAAAAAAGGCAGAUGUCUCGUCCUUCAUAGUCCCUCUUAGAAGUUGCCAGGGGUCAGUCCUGUUCUUUGUUGGUCAAAGCCUGCCUGGGUUUUAAGAGAAGGAUGAGAACUCUACUUCUUGGGGAGAGGCAAGCCAAAGAUUUUGCAGCCAUUUCUCACACCACCACAGGCCCUGAAGCAGCGUCAACCAGGGUGAGUUUGAGGAGCCAGAGGAGGCCACUGCCACUCUGUGAGGGCCCUGCUGGGAGACUGGCAGGGAGAAGGUGUUAGGCUUGGGCCAGACCAUAUUGAUGGCAUGGAAGACCAAGUCAGAGCUGUGCAGGGCUUUUGGAGAAAUGGCCCUCUUGUUUGCCUCCCCCGAUCUGGGAAAUGACCCAGAACAUGCAGCGGAGCUGGCUGGAGGGGGUCUGGGCCUCUCUUGCCCCAUAUCAGGCUCACAGCCCCCAUAAAAAUUCCUAGGUGAGGGAAUGACCUCAGGUUUUACCAAGUCUCUAUGGUGAAUGGAUGGCCAGCUGGGUGUGAGGAGCUGACCUCAUGGCCUGGCCUGUCUGAUAGGGACCCUCUCCCUGGGCGCUGGGGAUGAGAAUUUCAGGUGGCUGAGGAGCAGGGACCUGAGUAGAGGGAGCUGUGGGUGGACAGAGGCCAAGGUGGGGCUGGAGCAUCCCUGCUCCCUCACUUCACAGGUGAGACCGAACCUGGCACCUCUGGGCACCCCACAGGAAGGUGGCCUGAGGUGCAGCUGUGAAGAGCCUCAAGGCAGUGCCUGCAGGGGCGGCGGCCAGCCAGGGGAGGGUGGUGAGGGAGCUGCCCCCUGCUUGCCCCUGGCAGGCUAGAGUUCUGGGCUCUCCACCUCCUGACGCCGCUUCUCACUGCCCUCCAGAUUUGGUCCUCCUGGUAGGAAUGAGGUGGCAUCUCCUUGUCCCUGAUGAGUGCUUUCCUGAUGGCACACGACGUCCAGCUCCUCUUUUGUGCUGUUGGCCAUAUGUGUCUUUCUGGAGGAAUGUCUGUCAGGUUCCUGGCCCACGCUUUCACGGGGUUGACGUUCUCCCUCGGAGGUCUCCUCUGCCGGGCGGCCCCGCCCUCCUGAGCUGCUGCUUUGCUGGUGGAUGCUCUGCCCUGGGCCCCAGCCGGCUUGCCUUUCUCUGGCCCCUUUUCCCCCUCCCUUCCUCCUGUCUUGCCUGCCUCACAGCUUGGAAUCCCUCUUGGGUACUCAGAUUCUACUGGUGGCCCUCCAACGGCACCCUCUUGUCUCCUGGCUGGCCUGUCCACCGGGACCUCUCAGUCAGAGGCCUCCAUUCUCACAGGCCAUCAACUGGUCCAUCCUCUCUCCUCUUGAGAAAUCCUGCCUGACCACUUCUCACCCCCUACGAUGUGACCAUCUGGUCCAACCACUGUACCCCUUCCCCGCCCCCACCUGUCCUCCCACCUCUCAUCUUGUGCUAAUGGUUGAUUCUAUGCAGAGGUCAAGGUGGUCUUUAAAAACAUGAGUCAGACCAUAGCAAUGUGUGCUCAGAGCCUGGGGUCUAGGGGCAGGGGGUGCUGGGGGCUGCUCCCAGCGUCCAGCCCCCAGCCUCAGGCUCAGACAUCAUGCCUACCCUGCCCUCUGCCCUCCAUGGCUCCUGCAGGUCAUGCUUCUUGACCAUUCCAUGGCUGGGUGUCACCCACAGCAUGGGCUGUGUCUGCUCCUGUGGCUGAGCUUCAGGCCACUGUUCCCAGCAGCAGUGCCUGGGCAGGUCAGCCUCCAUGGAGAGGGUGGGGCUGGGAGAGGAGCCCAGCCCUUCCCACAGCCCUGCAGCCUGUAGCCAGGGGAGCCUGCCGGAGCUCUGCAGACGCUAGGAGCCAGGGCACGGAAGGAAGGCCCUGCCUGACCUCUGGGCUCUGGGGAGGAGGAGCUGUGCCUUGGAGCCGCAGUGGGACGUGAGGAGCCCAGCCCAAGGCGUGGUAUAGCCACCUGCCCAGAGCUGGGGCUGGCUGCAAGGUCAGCAGCUGCCCCCCUAAAGCUCCUGCAGGGCUCCAGCAGGUCCCAGCUAGCAGACAUGGCUUGUCCCUGGUGGCUGACUGGUGGAGUGUCCUUGGCCAGGUGUGGUGACCUGUCUGUAUUUGAGGUCUCUCUUCUGUGACACGAGUACUCAGGUCUAGUGCCCAAAACACCAUGCAGGGCUCAGCAGGAAUGGUUUCCUGGCCUCCUUUCUCCCUCCCUAUCCUACCCCUUAGUGCCACAGUCCCUGCCCGCCUGUGUCCUGAUGUCCUGCCUGGACAGUUGGGAGUUCCCUGCUGCAGAGUGACUGUGUGGGGAAGCUCGUCUUGUGACGAGGAGGGCUGCCAGGACAAGUCCAAACGCAGUGAGCCUGAGAACGGCAGGUGGCCUUGGGGUCCUCCAGAUGUCUUGGGGGCAGCAGGCUGCCGUGUCCCAGAAGCCUCCCACAGCCAUGGUGCACUUUCAGAUUCUCCUAAACGCGCCUCAUUUAUUGAGGGAUUGUAAUGAGUCUUCUGUAUUUUUAUAAACAAAGUAAAUUUGCAUAUAGUCCAGCAUGCAAUUAAAAACCAGUAAAUAAACCAGUGAAAUCAAGCCUCUCAUCCUGGGUGAUUGAUGGUUGGUGUCAUCUUUGGGCUCUCGUUUGUGGCCCCCUGUCACGUCCCUGUGUAUCUUGCGCUUGCCCAAAGCUGCGUGCCCCAGGGCUCAGGUAUUGGUGUGGCUGUCUGCCGCCACACCCUCCUUUCCACUGUGUGCCCUUACUCUGCCCGCAGUGCCUCGACGUGGCCUGGCAAGACAGGGCAGGGGCAGGAGUGGGUUAAUGCUCACUCACUCUUGAGUGCCUAUUGCACGUCCCCAAGGGCCUGGGCCUGUUAUGGCCCCAUGGCAGGUAGAGACGAGGGGCACAGUCCAGGACUGGCCUCUGGUCACACAUUGAGUGGAUUCAAAUGGUGUUUGGUGUGGACCCAUGUACAUUCCUGGGAAGAGCCCCGCUCGGGCAUGAGGCCCUGCCUGUGUGUGUCCUGGAUGCGCCUGGUUGCCGUGGCCGUGGUCACCAGGUGCACUGGUGUGUGUUUGCAUUUCCUGGAAGGUCUGUGUCCACUGCAGGAGCGCAGGCCUACAGGGCCAGUCAGAGGGUUUUCAUCCUGCUCCUCCCUCUAGGGGCUGUUGGGACUGUAUGACUUCUUUCCUGGGUGUUAGUGGGGUUUUCCUGGGGUUUCUUUGUUGCAAGUUGAAAAACUAGGAACCCAGCUUGCUUUUCAGGGUGGGCCUGACGGAGCUGCAUGGCCAGGCCAUCCUGCUGUCUUUUAGGGGUCAGUCGGUUUUUUGGCUGUGUGUGUCAUCGUGUGUUCGUGCUGCUGCUUCCUUGGGCCUCAGUGUCCACUCACCGCCGUCUCCUCGCACGUAGCGUGGUUGGGCCUCACUGCCCGAGAGCCCUGCAGUGCCUGGUCCUGCCCUGCUCCUGCUCUUAGUGCUGUGCGGCCACUGUGCUCACUGCUGCUCUUGCUUUCGGCUGUUGGCCACCUCCCGAGGGUUCAGGUCACAGAGUUUCUGUUAAGCCUUGGUGUUGGUCACCUCCAGAGAUACCUUGUUUUGUGUGGGCCCAUCUUCUGUGGCUCCCUGCUGGCCAUUACUGAAGGCAGGUGUGAGGGCGCAGUGGUGGUGCACCCUCUCUGGUCUUGUCUGUUGGAGAAAGUGGCCUCUGCAUUUUCAUUUUGAAAUACGUUUUGUUCUGGGUAUUGAGUUCUGGGUUCCCGGUUUUUCUCUGACCCCUUUAGAAAUGUCUCCUGUUCCCUCUGGGAGCUUGUGGUUUCUGAUGGGAAGUCAGCUGGCUCUUUCUCAGUGCUUCUAGGUAAGUGACGUGUCCUUUUCUCUGGCGGCCUCAAUACUUUCCGUCCUUGAUUCUGAACCAUUGGGACAUGGUGCACAUGAGUGUCGUACCAUUCUUAUUGGUGGGUAAGGAUCUGCUUAGGGUCCUGUAAGAUGCUUGAAUCUGGGUUGGAUCUCAUCUGUGUCUUUUCAGGUUUUCCCUCCCUCUGCUUUCCCUGAGGGCCGUGCCAGCUGUGAGCGUGCUGGCCCAUUUGCUGUUGUCCCACAGUGCUCGUGCUCUUGUCCCUUCUCCUGUUUCCUGCUGUGUCUGACUUUCAGUGGGCCCUCUGCCUGGCUGCCGCCCGGUCCUCUCUCGCUCUUUCUUCUGGGCUUUCUCUGUGCUCUCCUUAGUCUGCUGUGCUGCCUGUCUUGGUUCUGUGGGUUUGUGCUCUUGCUUGCAUCUGGAGGGUCUAGUCACUCUCCUUCCAGCGCCUUCCGAGCGCUCCCUCCUCUCCGGAUCACUGAUCACACCCUGCUUCCCGUGGCUGCUGUCCCUGGGUCACAGGCUUCAGUCUCCCCCUUUCUCCCUUGCUCUCCCCGGAUACCAGCUGGGACAGUGUCUGUUGCUGCUUUCUAAGUGAUGCUCUUUUCUCUUGCAGCAUCUACUCUCAUUAAGCCCUUCUAGAGAAUUUUUAUUUUAGGAAUUUAUCAUAUGUUUCAUCCCUCAAAGUUGCCCUUGGCUCCUUUGUACAUCUUCCGUUUUGCCCUUGCUGUGCCCACGUGUGUGGUGGGCGCUUUGCCCUGCCAGCCGUGUUGUGAUCGCUGACAGCCUCGCUGCGGGGCCGCCUCUGUUGCUGCCUGUUUCGCUGCGUGCUGUCACCCUGCUUCCGGCCAGCUCUGUUCCCUGGUCUGCGCCUCGUGAAGCCGUGGCUCCCAGUGGCUGUGCUGUGCUGUCUCCCGGAGAGUGUUAGGUUGUCCCGUGGGGGCAGAUGUGGUGAGCAGUGUCCUUUGUUGCCCUGGCCGCCUUCUGUGGCCCACUGUGCCCUGCAGCACCCUCUCCAUGUGGGCGACGCCGCGCUUCCCAUGGCCUGUGUGUGCACUGAGGGCGGCUCAGGCCUUCAGUGGUCUCCAAGCACCAGGCCGCUGCCCUCAUGCCUCACAGGAGCUCUUGCUGGCGGUCACUGCUUCUGUCCUCAGCCUCCACGACUGAGGGCGGUCAGGUGUGGUGGUGGCUCUCAUCAGGUGGGGGGAAGUGCGGGGCGCGUUCCCCUGGUGGGGCUGCGGCUGCUCUUGCAUCCCGCAGGUCCGUCAGCCCCAGGAGAGGACUGUGGCUCUUAGAACCGCCCAGGACUUCUUAUGGGGAUUCUGAGGACCUCCUCUCACACAGGAGCCCCCUGGCCUUGCCUGGAGCUCUCCAGGGAUGCUGUGCCUCUUCUGCAGGGCACUGGCCCUGUCCUACCUGUCCCACUCAGCCUCUCCUGGGUCUGGGGCCAGUGGCAGGCAGGGGUCCAUGAGCCCCCCUUGCCCCUCGUCUUCUGUGGGCCUCCCAGUGCCACGGUGUGCCGGCCCUGGGUGUGCCGUCUGUGUGCAUCUCCACCAGGCAGGUACAGGGUGCUUGCCUCACUUGGAGGAGGCUGUGGGCUCCUUCCCACCUGUGACCACUGGCCUGAUUUCCAUGCUGUGAGUAGCUUUGCCUCUUCUGAGCUCAAUGCAUGGAACCGUGAAGUCCGUGGCCUCCUGGGCCUGGGUCGUCUCCUGUGUGGGGUUUCUGAGGUUGCGUCACGUGGCCACGUGUGGUAAGAGCCGACUCUCAUUGCUGAGUGGUGCUCUUGUGUGGCUGACUCAUACUCUGCUUGUCUCGCCCUCAGGGCCCGCGGGGCCUCUCCAGCCAGCGCGUGUCUCCAGGUCUGUGUGCCUGGUCCUCCCGGGCGAGAUGCUGGGAGUGGAGCAUGCCCAAGCUGGAGAGGCGCCAAGGAGCUCCCCAAGGCCCUGCCACCUUCCCUCCUGCCCAGCAGACCAGUGCAGCCGGGGCGUCUGCCCUUCAUGGCCUUGGCCUUUCUGCCUGGGGCCUAGGCCGUGGGGCUGUAAGUGCCACUUGACUGUGGCCUCAGUGUACAUCUCUUUGGAGGAGGGCUGUGGGGCGUCUUCCCCGCACAGUCCCUUCUCUGUCUUCCCUCGGGGCGUCUCUUCACAUGGUGCCUCUGAUUCCCGGGGCUGUUUGUCCCGAGCAUUGGACUCGAGCGUCCGUGCCGCCCUCUGCGCAGCCCGGGUCGGUGCCAGUGUACAGAGUCUUUUCCUUGCAUCGUGGCGGCCUCUUCAUUUUAAGAGUCUCUUAAGAAGAGCAGGAACUUUCAGCGUUAGGCAGAUCAGGAAUGCUUCACCAUAGCUAUGUCCUGAAUGUGGUGUGUCCCCUGAGGUGGCAGUUGGACCCAGGGUCUUGUUCACGGCCCUCAAAGGUGGGCACUCUGCUGACUGUGUGUCAGAGAUGGGCUCUUGAGAGGCGAUGGGGCCAGGUCCCUGGGGUGGAGCUGCGACUGGAUCCUAGCAGCUUUGUGAGCAGAGAUCGCGCACUGAGGGGCACCUGCCACCCCAACAUGGUACGACUUGGGGCCCAGCGGUGGUCCCAUGAGAGCCUGUGCUGCACGGCCUGGGACUGCAGAGCCGCCAGUCAAGCACAGCGCCCACCGUGGGGAGCCACGCAGAGCCUGCGGACACCUGCAGGGUGUCCACGGUGCUCAUGGCUCCCGCCCAUAGCUAGGCUUGUGGUGCAUUUGGAGUUCACUCCUGCAUGUGCCCUCAGGAAGGGUUGAGGGUCACUUUUUAAAAAUACUUUUAGCACCAUUUGUCGAGACAGCCAUCUUUGCCCAUUGGCUGCAUGGGUGCCUUUCUGAACACCGUGUGCCCACGUUCCUGGAUUUCUCUGUACUGCUGUGCUGUGUCCCCGGCCAGUGCUGGGUCCCCAGGCUGCAAUCCUGCUCAGGCCAGGCAGGCUGGUGCCCUCCAGCUUGCUCCUCUGUGCAGUGCUGUGGACCCUCAGGUCCUUGGUGUGUCAGUGAACAUCUCAGAAUCACCUUGUCGAUUUUUGUUUUAAAAUCCUGCUGUAGUUUCAACUCAGUUGCGUGGCGUCUGCAGACCUCUGUAAGAAUGGCCCUCUUAAGGGCGCCCUGUGUGCCCGGAGUGCGCCUUUCUGUUGACUUGUCUCGGCAGUGCCUCGGGGCUUUCCAGGGGUGGGUCUUGUGUUUAUCAUUGUUCUGUUGGAAGUGGCUCAGGGACCUUGAGGCUGAACACUGCUUUUGGUGGCUUUGUCCACAUUCCACUGUCCACUCUUGGCCACGGCUGUUUUUUGUGCACUGCUGGUGUCCUGUGGGGCCUCAGGUUCAUUAUUGGUUCCAGGAGCUUUUCCCUAGACCCCUCGGGAUUUCCUGUGUGCAGGGACAUGGAUGUCCUGGCCUCCCAAGAGAGCAAUGUGGGGUCUCUUGCUCUAGUUUCCUUAGACUCUCAGUCGUGAGUGACGGAUUGCAUCAAGGCUGGCUCCUCCUAACUUAGUGAGCCGUCUCCUUUCUAACCGGUUGGUCCAAGUCACAGUUACGGGCCUGACCUUUCCUUUUGUACUAAGGAUUGACCCCCAGGGCAGUUCACCACUGAGCUACAUCCCCAGUCCUUUUUGUUUUGAGACAGGUCUCACUAAGUAGCUGAGGCUGGCCUCCAACCUGUGUGCCACCUGUGUCAGCCUCCUGAGCUGCUGGAAUCACUUGUGUGGCCUUGUGCCCGGCUCAUACCCUGACUUUGAAGUGUCAGGCCACCUCUGAACCCUCGGUCAGCGCCCCCUCGGCAGGGCCCCGUCUCCUUUCUGUGCUGUCUGUCCGAGGUCUGUCCUGGGCUCUGCGGUGGCGCCUGCUGUCUCUCUUCUCAGGGUCUGUGCUCGGCUUUGGCGUGGUGGGGGCUGCUCCUGCAGUCUGCCCCCGGGUCGCUUGUUCCCUGGUGGUAGAGCCGUCUCACCUGGGUCUGGUGGUGUUUCAGUUGCAGUUUCAGUCUCGCCACCGCCGGUGUCCUCAGGCCUGUCUGUUGAGUGGUGUUGGUCCUUCUUGUCUCCACGGCGUGUCCCUUCACGUUGGGUCUGCGGUCACGUCCCUUUUCAUUCUCCAUGUGGCUCGUUUGUGACUGUUCCUGACGUUUCCAGCUACAGUUGUGCAACCUUGACCUUCAGAGAGAGCUCUUUGGCCCCAUUGGCCGUGUCCACCUGGGUCUGCCCGUGACCGUGUGGUCACACCCUCCUCUCUGUGUGUAGGUAGGUAGCGGGCUCCCCAGGGCUCCGGGGCUACAGCUUCUCCUCUCGCUCCUGACGCCGACUCUGAGCGCCUGGGAGGAGCCUGCUCUGCUGCAGCCAUAGCUCUGCGCCUCCUCUGACUGCUCUCUGCGUCGCUGGGGGCAGGGUGGCCGGCGCUGUAACUGCAGUCGGUCUCUGACUCCAGAAGCUGGUCUCGGGGGCCUGCAGCUGGCGCCUUUCCUCUGCGGGGCGCCCCCUCUGGCCCCUUCACUGCUGGCUGAGCACCUGCUGUGCCUGCGGCCUUGGGUGGCCGGGUUGGGUAAGGGAGACUGGUGAGGGGACAGAGAGGAGAUGCCCGUGGAGGAGGACCUACAGGACCCGGCCCAGAACCAGCUGCCCUUGCUCUAGUGCUGAUGACUCCAUGAAGAUGUGGCGGCCACCAUUUUUGGGAUGGAGUCUGAGGAGAGGAGCGUCAGUGCCGGGCAGAGGCAGGUGUGGGUAGUCACAGCCUGGCCUCCCGGGGAGCCAGCCCUGGGCUGUGCCGAGUGUCUUGCCCACUGCCCUGCAGCCACAGUGCCAGUUCACAGCCCGGGUCGUUGCCUCAGCUGUCCAGGGGCUGCAGGGUCACGGCGAGCAAAGCACCGAUGUGGGGAUUGUCCGGAUGGGCAUCAGCAGUGGUGGGGCGGGAGGGCCCGUGAAGGGCGGGAUAGGAGGGCCAGGGGAGGCUGGAGCACUGUGCAGGGACUUGGGCUUUGUGAGAGUGACACGUGGAAUGGCUGGCCAGUGUGAGGGCUGGGACAUGACCUGCUUUUAGCACCUCUGCUUCAGGGACUGUGCCAGGGUGGAGUAGGACGCUGUGGCCGUGAGGGGCAAGAGGCCUUCAGGAACCCAGGGGCGCAGAGUGUCUGACCCUGCGCAGAGCAGCCCAAGGCGAGGCAGCGCUGCACUCCCAGGACCCGCAGUGGUCAGGGCAGAGCAGGUCUCAGGCUCUCAAAGGCCACCCACUGGUGCUGGCACCUGACCAGGUGACACCCAGCAGGCAGUGCACCGUCCGCACCACAGGUCACGGCCACCUGUUGAGGGGUUCACUGCCCCAGCUGUCUCUGACUGCCGAGCGGGUCUUGGCUGUGCAGUUGCCCCCGCAUGCCAGACUGGGAAAUGGAGGAUGGGGACAGGGGAGCCGAGAGUUUUGCUGAAGAGACAGGAAGGCUGGGGGUACAGGGGUGGAGAUGGGGAAGUCAGGAGGUCCCGGGCAGGCCGAAUGUGAGAGCAGUGGGAGGCCCAGGCGGAUGGACCGAGGGUCAUUAGGGAGGACAGUCUGGAGAUCAGGUCCAGGUGGGGGCAGGACCAUGGGACGAGGACGCUCAGGUGGGUCUCAGGCUGUGGGACUGGCAAGCUCGCUGAAGAGGUCCUUGUGGGGAGUGGCAGUGAGGUGGUGGUCCAGGGUGGAGUGUCAGGCUCUGUCACGUGGCCGUCGGCACAGUGAGUGGGCAGCCUCUAGAAGGAGGUGGACCAGGAGGCAAGACCUAGCUGGGUAGCAGCCAUGCCAGAGUCAUUGGGGCCGGAAGGCCCCCGUCCCUGCUGCUGUCACCAGCCUUUCCCGGCUCCUCCUCAGCCCGCCCUAGCUCUCUCCUGCACAGACUGCCACGCCCUGCCACUGAAGGGCUGCGGAGGGGAGGCACAGCUGGGGCAGUGAACCCCUCAACAGGUGGCCGUGACCUGUGGUGCGGACAGUGCACUGCCUGCUGGGUGUCACCUGGUCAGGUGCCAGCACCAGUGGGUGGCCUUUGAGAGCCUGAGACCUGCACUGCCCUGACCACUGCGGGUCCUGGGAGUGCAGCGCUGCCUCGCCUUGGGCUGCUCUGCGCAGGGUCAGGAGGGCUCUCUGGGUUCUGCCAGGCCAGGGUCCCGCCUCUCUUGGGUGUGACUUGGAUGUGUAUACCCAGGUGUCACUCCACUGGGGAGGGUCAGCGCCUGCAAAGAGCACUGGUCUCAUUUGCUGCUGGGGCCACAUUCAAAGCUGCAGCUGGACUGUGGCCAGGGUUGUCUAGGCCCUCUCAUGCCACUGCUCUGGGGGUGGCAACAGGCUCACCCUGGGCCCCAGAGCCACGCUCUGCUCAGCAUCGAGGGCCCGUUGCCGGGAGCUUGGCCGGGCCUCCUCACUGGUGCCCAGCUGCCCGUGGCGGGCUGGACGGCUCUGAGCCGCGAGUCUAUGUUUGGGGUGGUCCUGGAGGUGGCCUCUGCCUCCCACGCAGCUCACCUUGCUGUUUCUCCCCUGUCUGCCUGUCUGCCUGCUGUCCCUGCCCCUCCCGCCCUCUGCCUGCCUCUGCCUGUCCUGCCCCCUCUGGCCCUGCCUGCUGCUUCUCUCCCUUCUCUCUGCUCCUCUCCAUUUGCUCGCUGGGCUCUGCCUGUCCCUCUGCCAUGCCUUGCUCUCCCUUCUGCCUGCUGUGUCCCCUUCUCCCCGCCCCUUCCCUGCCCCAGGCACGCGAUGCAGCAGGAGACCAACAGAGCCGUGGCGGCCAGUGCUGGUGCCUUGAAGCAGACGUCAGAGCUCCUGCGGGGCUCCUGUCUGGUAUGUUUCCCUGAGGGCUGGGCCAGACCAGGGAGGCCCUGAGGGAGGGGAUGUGGCCCUGGAGGGGUUCGGGGAUCCGUGUGCACAGAUGGAUACUCAGGCUGCCCUGGGUUCGGCCACAUGUGGCUCAGGGGCCAGAACUGGGUGUGUGGGCCCUUUGAGCAGCAGGGGCCAGGGGUGGCUGCUGCGACUGCUCUCCUGGCACCUGCCUUGUGGUUGUGGUGAGGGUGUCCGAGUCUUGGCUGGGCCUUCCUGAAUGGAGACUGACGACCCCAGGGUCAGUGUCACUGUCUUUGCCCCCUCCACUGCCCCUGCCUUCCUGUCCCCGUCUCUGCCUCCCGGCUCCCUGGGAGCUCCCUGCCCCUUGCCAGUGUUCAUCAUUGGGUUUCUGUGUGCGCCUGUCCUGUCAGUCAUUACCCUGCCCCUCACCAGCCACAUGAGGUUUGUCACCACACCUAUUGCCACACCAGGGUCCCAGGAAUGUCUGCCACCACAUAGCUCCACCCCCACCCUCCUCUCACCUGUGCCAGGAAGCACACUGUGUUACCCACACCCCACCCAAGUGUCCAGAGAUCAGAGGAUGCUGCUCUCAGAGGGUCAGAGGCCAUUGGGCCUCGGCGACUGCCGCCUGCCCGGCCUGUGCAGGGCGUCCUCAUACCCAGCCUCUGAGGUAUGCCCAUCUCAGUGCUUCCCGCUGCCAGGACACUGCCUAGGUGCGAGGGCUGAGUGGCCUGCAAAGCCUGGUCCUGAGGACAGCAGAACCCUGCUGAGCUCUGCGUGGACACAUAUGGCGUGGCACCUGCCUGCAGGAGGUGCUGCUCAACAGGGGGGUGGGACUUGGAGGCCCCCGCCCCCCGCCUGGGCAUACCUCGAGGGAGCCCGAGGGCAGCAGGCCUGAGGUUGGCAACCAUAAGGUGGAUCAGUGGCUUCCAGGACUGGGGGUGCAGCGGAACCUACUGCAUUCGGGCACCAGGGAACUUUGGGUGAUAGAGUAUUUUAAAAGCUGGGUGGUGAUAGCUGUGCCACUGCAGAGUGCGGCUCUGCAUGCUAGGGUGGGGCCAUGGGAUCAGUCAAGCUUCCUAAAACUAAGAUGUGGCCAGCUUUCCAGUGACUGGGCACACAGACUCUCCCAGAGGUGCUCUGGUGGCCGGUAGCUGAUCUCACAGGACUUGCUAAUCAGUGCAGUUCUUCAGGGGAGACGCGACUCUCUUUGGUUCUGAAUCUUGGGCAGGAGUCAUAGCUGCUCACAGAGUCAUAGCAGCCUGACCACUAGUGUAUCCCAGGCCUUCUGCUCAGCCGCCUGGGCUGGGCCUGGCACCUGCAGCAGCACCCUUGGUUCUGCGACCUGUGUCCUCCUGUCCAUGCAUGCCUUCCUUCUUCAGACAUGCUGGCCUCUCACAUGGCGCCUGUUCUCCAGGUCAUAGGCACGCCGUGCAGCAGGAGCACCACAGUCCCCGCCCAUCUUCUGGUGCGGCCAGCUGACCUGCUCGCUAGAGCCGACACUUGCCCAGUGCCUGCUUUGUCUCCGCCUGGUGGGGUGGGCACACUUAGGGAAGAGGUAUCUCCUACACUGUGGGACAUGAUUGAGGUGGCGACCCCCCCAUGCCCUGGUCCUUGGAGGUUUUCCACAAGCCAGGACUUGUAAGUCUGUCGCUCUUCCCGGGGCCCUGGCAGCACUGGCCAGUAUCUUGCUCUCUUUCUACAGGAGGAACGACCUGCCCAAGAUGCCUUGGCUAGGGAGGAGCCCAGUAGAUGUGAACUCUGGCCCAGGUGGGCCCAGCCGGCCCCUGUCCUCUACCAGGGCGACACAGAGCCUGAGCCCCGCGUGUCUGGCAUAGUUAGCCAACACGGUCAUCCAGCAGGGUCCUUGGGCAUGGGUGUAGGACACCCCCUGGUUACCAAAGUCCGUGUUCAGCCAAGUUCCUUGCAUAGAGUGGUGUAUCAUGUGUAGGUGACUUGUGCACGCCCUCCCGUGUACUUCAGGUCACCUGAGCUCCUGGGGUGCCAGCAUGGUGCAGAGACUGUGGCCAGUGGUAGGCGCACUGAUGGGGGUGAUGGCGAGAGCAGGGGUGAUCUGAGCCAGGCACGGUAGUCUGAGUCCUCUGUGCUGUUGGUGGACCCCGGUGUGGCAGUGUUCUAAAUGACAGCCUACUGGGUGUCCGUCUGCCCUACUCCACCUGAAACCCCACAGACUUGCUUGUGAAAUUGGGGCGAGGAGGCACAAAUGGGCUGGGAGCCUUCCUUGGUGGCUCCCAUAGUGCCGUGGGAGGACUCUGGACCACGCAGUGUCCACUGGCCCUGGGCAAGUGCAGGACGCGACAGGGCCUCACAGGAGGAGGUCUCACCACAUGCCGUGGCCUGAAGGAGGGGGCACUGCUGUGGGCCCGUGGUGUUGGCAGGCAUGGGGAGCAGCUGCCCAAUGUGCUGGGGAUGCUGGGUGGAGGGAGGUCUCGGUUACAGCAGAUGGGCCUGAGGGUUCAGUUGCCCAUGUGGGCAGGGGUUGAGGACUGGGCUUCUCCUUGCUCUAACAAGAGUCUGUGGGGAAGCACCCGCCGUGUGGCUCUCGGUGCCUCCCUCACCCGGCCCGAGCUUUAGGGAAUGAGAUGGUUUGGGUCACCGUAGCCACCUCCACUGCCGAGGGAGGGACCCUGGCAACCUGGCUGCCUUCUGUGUGGUGCUCACUGCUCCCUCGCAAGGUGGGUGUGGAGCCCCUUGUUUUGGGGGCUCCAUGGCCUGGUAGCUCUAGGAAGCAUGCCAGGUCCCCUUUCUCCUUCCUGAGCUGGUCUGCUGAGUAGGGCACAGGGGGACAUCAGUGCAGCCUCCCAGAGGUGCAUGCUGGGGUGGGUGCCAGGCGGGCUCUCUGGAGGAAGGCUCGCGCAGCAAACAGACACCAUGGGCAGCAGCAGGGCCAGUGCUGUGCUCUCCCAGGCUACUUGCUCUGUCCUGGGGUUCAAGUGUGGUAUCCAUGACCUGAGGCCACCCACCCAGGACAUCGAAACAGGCUCCACCAACUGCUGAGUGGGGCGUGUGGGCCCAGAGUUGGAAAGCCUGUCCCUCAAGCGCGGGCCACAGCUCAUCUGCCAACACUAGCACCUCUCGCCAUGGGUGUUAGUGGCAGUGGGUGGCGGUGUGUGGUGGCUGUGGACAGCCAGGUCUGCUGGGACCACACUGAAGUACCCAGGCUGGGCAGGGCACUAGAGCUGCUGUGGUUUCCUUGGUGCCAGUUCCACAGGGCUGGAGGCGGGAGGGGAGGCCCUAUCAGGCAGUGGGGUCCGUGGCCAACCUGAGCAGGGACACUUGACUCCAGGCCUGGCCUGUCCAGCCCCUCACCUGAUGAACGCUUCUGGAGCACCAGCUCAGUGGCGGUUCACGUCUUGGUGGCGGUGUGUGGUGCUGAACAGCAGGGGAGCAGGCUGAGGGGCGGUGUGGCGGGGGAGGGGGACAGCAGUAGGACAAGGCAUGGGUCCCUGGGACCCGGCUCCAGUACCUGACGCCUGGACUGGCCCAGUCAGGACUCGGGUCCUGGUCUCCUGGGCUGUGGGGCGACCACAGUGCUUGGGUUAUGAGGGGCCAAGCCACACACUGGGCCACCGUAGCUCCGGGCUCCUGACUGUGCUGGUCGCGCUCCGUGGGUCCUAUGGUGCUGGUGUCACUGGGACUCUGGCUGAUGACGACAGUGGCCAUGAGCCACUUCCUCAGGGUGGGGAUGUGACAAUGCAUGGAGAAGCUGGGCUGUGGCCCUGCUGGGCAGAGAGGGGCACAGAGAGCACCAUGACAGUAAGCCUGCCCUCUGUCUGCAGCAGGAGCGCCUUCAGCUGGACCGGCUGAAGAUCCAGCUAGCAGAUGCCAUUCAGCGGUACGGAGUGGUCCAAAAGGUGAGGUGCCGCUGGCGGGGUGCAGGCCAGUGGGGGCUGUGGGCCCUGGAGCAUACCUCAGGUGGCUGUCUCUGGGUGGCGUGGGGUGGCCUUCCUCCUCCAGAAGUGCUGCCCCAAGGGGAACUUACAACAGCCUCCUGGGGACAGGCAGGGCAGGCCUCACCCCAUUUUGACAGACAGGGAAACGAGGCCCUCUGAGGCUGUCCAGCCAGUCCUGCGAGCCUGCCCAGGGCCUGGCUCCCCCCGGUGUGCUUGGCUCUCAGGGCCUGUGGUUUAUCUGACCCUUCUCUUUCCACCUUUAACAUUCUUCGUUUCUUUCUUCUUUUGUACUUUUUCCAACAGAAAAUUGCAGAAAAGUCCAGAGCACUGCUUCCCACAGCUCAGAGGGGCAUCAAACAGGUGGGUGCCACGUGGGUACUGUGGUCAGGCAGUGGCUGUGGGGUCAGUACCGACUCCGUUGCCGUCUGUGCUCCAGGAGAGGGUGGGAAGCUGGGGACAGGCCCAUUCAAGGGUCUGCCUCAGUGUCCAGCUUGUAGAGCUCCGGCAUUCUGACCUUUGGGCUCUGGCAUGGUGCCGACCCUAGGAAGCUCCCAAGUGACUGCUGAUGGUUGCGUGUGGCAUCACACUUUCUUAUUUUCUAUAACAAAAUACUUGAGACCGAGUGCUUUAUAAAGAAAAGGUUUAUUGAGCUCCCAGUUUGGAGGCUGCAAGUGCAAGUGGCCCCAUCAGCUUGGCCUCUACUGAGGGUCCCCUGGCAGUUGGCAUCCCAGUGGCAGGAGUCUUGUGGUGCGCGGAAAGCCAGAGUGCGACGUGGUCAGGUGCACUUUCACAACCCUCACCCUGCAGGGCUAAGCGGGCUCCCCUGGCACCACUGCACCUGAUCACCUCAUAAGGUCCUUCCACCUUCCUGUCACCGCACAGGGGACCAGGAUCUCACACCCUCCAACCUUAGCAUAGGCACACUGCCUGUGAGAGCCAUGUAAAGCCAGGAUAUACACACACCCCGACUCAGAGACGUGCCACACACAGACCAGCCGGGACACGAGAGACAGAUUCCAUUGACCAUGCUGGGCAGGGUGGCCUGGAGCCUCAGCAGCCUCACUGGGCCAGGAGGACAGGUUCCAGAGCUCAGACUUCCUCAGCCAGGGCUUGAGGAGCGUCCUCCAGGAGAAAGACAGCCCCACCCCACCCCACCCGUGCAGCCCCCUCAGGGCUCUGCUGAUCUGCAUGCUGUGUGGGCCUGCUGUGCCAGGCCAGGGAGCAGGACAGAGGCCGUCAGCAGAAGAGCCAGCGGGACCUCGGCACUCAGAGUACUGAGGCAGAUGUGGUAUAAGGCCCAUGGAGGAAGGGCUAUUGUGGGCACCACCGGCCAGUUGAGAGCCCUGAGCAUCAGAGGCACCAGGAGGAGGCCAAUCCCAGUAAGCCCUGAAACUGUGCCCGCUGGCUGCCCAAGGAUGGUCGUGUUCCUUCUGGAAGACAAGUCCAUGGUCUGAUGUCUCUGGUUGCUCAUUUAUGGCAUCUAGGAUUUUAACCAAAAUUGCUGGGCAUGCCCGGUACUGGGAGAAUAAAUAGUGACCAAUCUUCAGGGAAUGUGGAUUGAAAUGAUUGGAUGUGAACUUAAUGAAGCUGUGCAAAUGUGGAAGGAGUUAGAUGAGGUGGUGGGACUUUCCUAGAGAACUUGAAUCUGCACAUGGAGAAGUCCAGCGUUGAAUACACCAAGACUAAAAUGAAGACCUCAGGAGAUUGGCCAGCUCUCAGGUUAGAAGAAGGCAGGAUUGAUGAACUGGAAGGCGGUGACACAGGUAAGGGGUGAGAAGGUGUCCAGUGCCACGGCCAUGCCCAGCAACUUGGGAGGCUGAGGAGGAGAAUGCCAAGUUCAAGCCCAGUCUAAGCGACUUGGUGAGGCCCUGUCUCAAAAUGAAAAAUAAAGAACAAGGGCUGGGGUGUAGCUUGGUGGCACAACGUCCCCAAAAAGAUCCACAGAAGAAUGUAGUAGUUGGAGGCCUAGAUGAACAGAGGGAAAGAAUGGAUAGAACUAAUGUUUGAAGAGUAAUGGCUAAAAAUUUCCCCAGACUGUCCAAAUACUGCAGGCACAGAUCCAAGAAACUUUAUGGUAAGUAGAGUAAGUUUGUCCCUGAUUUAAAUAAAAUCCUUGGUUAUAUAGUAAUAAAAAUUUGAAAACCAAAGGCAGAAAUCAAUCUUAAAAGAUUUUGAAACCACAGAAAAUCUUAAAAGCACGUUACGCCAGAGGAGAAGGGCACGCUGUGUUUGAAGACACAGGAACCACAGCUCACAGAAGCGGUGAGGGCCAGGAGACGGCAGAAGCGCCCCUGUGCUGGGUCGUGCUGGGUUGCACUGGGUCGCACUGGGUCGUGACACGUGACUGACCCAGUCAGGGUCACCCCAGGUGAACUGGGCUGCACCAAGUAAACACACAGAGGCAGAGAAAUACCUUUUUCUCUGGUUCUGUGACGGCUCCUCCAACCCAGCUCCCACAGGAGACAAGGCAGGCAAGAGAGAGUGUGCUCCUUGAACCCGGGUGUUGUUGGGGGAGGCUGUUCCAUGGACUGUUCUAUCCCCCAAAGGGCAAAGGGGUAGGACUACAAAGGAACAGGUGAGUGGACUCAACCCAGCAGGUGACAUCUACUCCUGGAGCCACACUGUGUUAUCCGAGCUGGGGUAACGCCCAAGUUACUGUGACCUGGCUCUGCCGUGCCAGAGGAAGACAGUGACUGUUCAGNGACAGGAGCAGGGUCGGCUCUGGGAGUGCAAGGCUGGUCAAUUCAGAAACAGUUGGUGUGAUUCACCUGCUAGAACACAUGGGCUGACGCCAGGGCUGUCCCAGCACACCCAGAAAAGCCCCACUCAGGGAUGCUGGGAAACGGGCAGAGUAGGAACUGGCAGGGUGACUUGGAUCUGUAAGAGGUGCCUGCAGAACCCGAAGCUCGUUGCACUCUGCUGGGCAAACGUCGUCUCCUGAGCUCGAGGAUAGGGCACCUACUUCUGUCCCCUCCAUUGGCAUUGUGUGGACCUGUGCAGUGUGGUGGGCAUGAAGAGACAGGUGGGAGACCCAGGCAGAGCGGGGCAGGCUGCUUCUAAGGACCCGGCGGGACUUGGAACUGGUGAGAGUUGAGAUGCUAGCUCGGCAUCUGGGAAGACAGAAAUUACAUUGAAGACGUGAUGUGACUCCAGUCAUUCUUCACAGUUAGUGCCCAUAGCCCCAGCUCGUGGAGGGGCUGAGGUGGGAAGGACCACUGAGCCCAGGAGCUCAGGAUGAGCCGGGCACAUGGCAGACACCAUCUCGAAGGAGAAGAGAAAGCAGCACCAACUCAUUAGCAUCGAGAGUGGGGAGAAGCCUGUGAAGAGCUGCCUGAGGCCGCUGUGGAAACUGCAUCGUUGCUGAGAGAGAUGGUGGAAGGGCCGAGACGGGACGGCAACACCAGGCGGACAGAGGUGCUGCUUUCAGUAGACGGUCUGCAGCUCCCCGUCCAGAGGGAGACUCCAUGGGCUUGAGAGCACAUGCUGUGUAUGUGGUCUUACAGACCCUGACGUGCACCUGGGAGCCAGUCCUGCCUAAGAACACAGCGCAGGAGCCCAUCAGCAGACAUGAGGACCUGGUGUGAAGCCUCUGCGGCAUGCGCAGGUGGACACAGACCCUCACACACAUGCUGGUCAGAGUUCGUGGUCUGCCUAGGUGGACUGCCUAUGGACACAUGGGUGUUUGAUCUAGAGAAAAGGACCCUUUGCAGACUUGAGCUCACCUGUGCACAGAGAUGUUUCUGGCAGGGCAAAGCCUCAUGCAAGAGCCAAGGCAGGAGCAUUCCUCCGACACCCGGAGCAGGCCCUUCACCCCACUUUGAGGGCAGGAUGUUCUUCCACAACUAUCUGAAGCACCAUCUGAAGAAUGAGAGUGGCAGACUUGACUUGGUUAAGAUGAAUAUGACAUUGAGAGAGAGAGUAUUUGCACAAUACAUCUGAGAGGACUUAUGUCCACGCUAUGUAAAGACCUCUUCCAAAUCAAGAAAAAGGCAGCCUUAGGUACAUCCCUAAAGAGGAUUUCCAAAUGACAGAUAAGCAUGUGAAUGUACACUCAACACACUACUCAGCAGAAAAAUGGAAAGCAAACCAUAACAGAGUAUUGUUACACACAAACUCUCAUCCACCAAAACAAGAGUGUAGUAAGCAUACCUGAGAGGGCCUGCUGUUGGCAGGCCCGUGGGGCAGCUGGAGGUCUGUGCUCUGCUGGUGACUGUGGAUUGUUUGUUCCUGCUCAGGAACAUAGAAUGUCUGUGAAGUCCAGCAUUUUCCUACCUGUGAUCUUGUAGUUCUACCCAAAGGAGGUGCAUAUAUGUGUUCCCUGAAAGGCACAUGUAAGAACACUCAUAGCAACACCCCUGCAGGACCCCGAACCUGGUGCCCAGAGGAGACAAGUGAUCUGUGCUGGGCUCACACAGGAGGAGACUCACGUGCUGUGGAGUUAAGGUCUGGCCAGAGGAAUGCCUGGCACCAAGCACCAGGGGCCUGGGUAGCCGUCAUGAGGAGGAUGCCUUGGUGCCGGCUGAGCCCUGGCUGGACAGUGUCUCCCUCAUGUGUUUCUGGACUGGACACUUGGCACGUGUGCCCUGGACUGCAGAUUCACUGCUUGAUGGCAAUUUCUGUUAAUGAGGAAGGAAUGGGCAGCAGCAUUUCUGAGAAAUUGUGGAGGCUUAGAUUAUUUCCAGGAAUUGUGCAAACCAUAAAUAGUGAGAUGACAUGUGACCCUGUUCAACCAGGGGCUUGUUGCCAGGUUGGUGCUGUAGACUUGGGGCACCUGAGCAGCGAGCUUCCUGUGAGGAGCCACUCAGCCUGACUGGAGUUGGCCACCUCAGCGUGGUCGGAUGUGGGCUCUAACUGGUCAGUUUCAGUGAGCAGAGCUGAGACUGUUGAGGGUGGGGGCAAGCCACAAUGGUGGGUCAUCUUUCUUGAGACCCUGGGCCUGCUCGGCCUUGCUGUCUGCCAGAACAUGGUCCCCAGGCCAGACGGUCAAAACGCUCUGUUUCCAUGCUUGCGGGAGUCCCUUGGCUUCCGUCUGAGGUCUGGGGCACCAGGCAGAGUUGCUGUGUCUUGCUGCCCUGGCCCCCCUUUUGUUUAAUAUGGGUUUGGGGGCAGGAUUGCUACAGUUUUGAUAGCCUCCAGAGACUUCCAUUUGGAGGAAUUGCUGACCAGUUGUGGGGGCCCUUCCCACAGGAGUGGACCUGGUGUGAAGGCCCUGCCGCGUGUGCAGGGUCUCCUGCCCUCCAUGACUGGAGGAUUGGAGGAUUGAGAAAGAGCCUCAUUUCCCAGAAACUAAGCCCUGGGUGCUGCCCUGGGUCUGCACCAUCAUGCUCCUUUUUCCCCAGGGGAGGGUGGGCAGGGCCCCUACAAGCAUCAUCGUCCCCAAACAAAUACCCCUUGAGCUUGGUCUCCUUCGUGAGAAAAUGUGCAGUCCCUUUUCCAGUGGCACUUUGUAGCACCUCCUUCUGCCCAGCAUGGGCUGGCCCUGGGCCUGAAGGCGAGUGGGGCCACCAUUGUUGGUCUCUGAGCUGGAGUCACCGCAGUAGCCUGUGUGCUCUAUACCCCCAGCACCUGCCCCCAAAUCCCUAAUCCAUUUUCGGCUGGCUUUGAGCUACAGACCCAAAUUGGGCCUCUGUGGGCAGCACAGAGGAGCUUUGCCAGACUUGCAGGGUGUGCUGAGGGGUCCAGCCAGCCCCCUCCCUGUCCUGUGUCGGGUCUUGCUGGGAGGCUUGGCGGCCUGCAGGGUCAGCUCUGCCCCACCACAGCCCUCCGCAUCUCCUAGCGCCACCUCCUUCACGCAGUGGGGCAGCCAGCCAAGGCACCAUUCCUGGUGGCCUGCAGGGGUGGCCCAUACAGCCACUCUGCUCUCAGCUUGUGGGGGCUUCCCCUGAAACCCAGACUUGGAAAACCAAACAUCCCGAGAGGCCCUGGGCACCCAGUGUGUCUGAGGCGGUCGUGUGGCCUGCUUCCUAGAGCUUUGCCAAGGAAGUGGGCGUUCUCCCUUCCAGCUCUUCCGGGCCAGGUCGCCGUGGAGUGCCGGAGGUGUGCUAGGUGCACCUCUGGAGUCCUCUGUGUGCUGGGAGCUUUUGGAAGUGUUGAGUGGGCCAGGCCUCCCUCAGCUGGGCUCUGCUUUAGGGCCUGUUGCUCCAGGGGUCUGAGUGGCUAACGUCCCUGACUCGGCACCAGGAAUGGCACGGGUCUUCCUUGUCUCCCAUGGAGAGUCAGAAGUGCCACCUCCUGGUCCUGGCCUUCCCCGUGCUCCGGCCCUUGCUCAUGGGUCUUUCCUCUCAAGGUGCUUCUGGGUGCAGUGCUGUCAGCUUUGUGUCCUAGAAGUGGAGACCAGGGCUCAGAGAAGUGAGGCCCUUGCCCAGGCUGGCAUAGCCAAGAGGCCUCCCGUGAGUCAGGAGACUCCGAUGUCUGUGGGUCCCUAUGGGCAUAGUCUUGUGCUCAGCAGGCAGAAUGGCCACGUGGCCAGUGCCUGGUGAGCGCAGAUUGUGGGCUGGGGGUGCGGGAGCGUGGUUGUUCCCACUGGACAAAUGGGAGCCCCAGGGCCCAGACAAUGUCUGUGACUUGCUGGACCUCACAACAGGUGCCAGUGCCACACAGGACUUGGGCCAGGGUUUUCCGAGAGCACCCUGAAAGCUCUGGAGGGGGCUGUGGCCGCAGGAGGAGGCGCGGUGCAGGCUCUGGCGCAGGGCCAACACCCCUCCCGCACCCGCUGCCAGGCACUGCUCACUUCCUCCCACCCACACGGGAAGGGGAGGUGAUAAUUAUUGCCCUGGACGAGUAGCGCUUGUCGACAGAUUUUUUAGAUCUUUUAUUUUAUAUUCAUCUAUCUGCAUAUUUAUUUAUUUAAAGGCCUCUGCUGACUCCCUCCUGUCGGUGUGGCGCAUGGGAAGGAGGACCGGCCAGGUGCUCCACCCCGCCCCACUCUUCAGGAGAGUCACCACACUCAACCUGUGGGUUGUGAGGAGGUGGGAGAAAGAGUGCCUUGGCCUUCUGAAGGCCUGGGGUGGCCAUUGUCCUUCCUGCAGCUCUGUCACUUCCAGAGGCCUUAGGCACUGGUGCAGGGGCCACCCUGAUGCCCAGCCCUGGACCGGCUGCACGAGUGCACAGCGGUCAGAGACCUGCCAGGGGCUCCUCCCCAGGGCGCGCUGGACCCAGCAUGGGCUACCCCGUCCCCCCAGAAGAGAGCCAGGAGAAGACACAAGGCAGGGUGGAACUCCCUUCACACUGGGUUCUGGGGCCUGUCUUCUAGCCCUGAGCCGUGGUCCUGUCCCCACCUGCUGACAGGGGCCCUCCUCCAUGGCUCAGCACACUGGGCAUCCCGCAGGUGGCCAUAGCAGACUCUGGGUCCUUCCUACUGUGUCUUCUAGACCUCAGACUGGGCUGCCCUCAGAGAAGUGUUGCUGGGGAGGCCAGAGGGGUACAGUGACUGCCACACAGGAGGUGCAGGUCACGAUGUAACUUCCAUGGAGUCCAAUAGCUACUCCCCCUGGCAUGAGUUGACCAGAACCUGCAUGUGACCACCUUGACCUUCAGCAUGGUGGUCUUUGUUUCAGACAGAUAUCAGAAUCCUACAGGGUCAUAGAACAUGAGUGAGCGUGGCUUUGCAGGUGACAGAGGGGAGGGUACUAGAGCCUGUCGCAGUGGAAGUGGGGGGGAGGGCAGGUUCCAGGCAUGGAUUCGCCAGCUGCCGACACUCCUGGAGAGCCCAGCAGGAGUUCUGGGCUGGGAUUGCAGCCCUGCCCUAUGUUGUCCCUGUGUCCUAUGCUGAUUGGUGUCUGAGGAGCUGCCUUGGCAGGACAGUGCGUGAUCUGAGUGGGUCCAUCCCAGGGGAAAUGGGGAGGAGGCAGAGGCCCACCUGGGAUGCCCACACCCAGUCAUUUCCACACUGGCUACCCUAUGUCCUGUCCCAGGACAACGGCCAGGGACAGGGACCAGCCAUUGUUCAGGGCCAGGUCCCAGAGAAGCUGGCCACACUCUGCCCACACUGUUGCCCUUGGGCCCUGCAGCAAAGGCAGAUGCACCAAGCUGGCUAGGCUUGUCAGAAGGGGUCCUUUCCCAGGGUGGGAGAGGACUUUGUGCCCUCCACAGAAGCUCAGAGAGACCAAGUCCAAGUCCUUGGGGACAGAGGGGCUGGACUCUGUAGCUGGGGAACUCUUUCUCAUCCUGAUCAGUGCAGAGGCUCAGAUGGAGGCCUGGUGACUGCCCUUCCCACCCCGCUCCCACGGAAAGCCCGGAAGUGUUCCUAGAUUGUUCCAGCAGAGAAAAUGUGGUUAGUUGAAGGGAAAGGCACCAUUUUCUUGAUUUCAAAAUUUGGUGGAUUAAAAAAAUCAAUAGAGAAUAAAGGCAAGUUGAGAAAACCCCUGAAGCCCUCCCCCUGGUCCCUCAGCUGGGGUCCCGGGGUGGGGUCUGUGCCCUGUUUGUGUGGUGUCCUGGCAGUUCCUCUCUGAGCAUCAGUCUUCAGUGGUCCUGUCCUGCAGCUGGACACUGGGUCUGCAUGGGCUCCACAGCCCCAGACAAGAGGGUGGACUUCGUGUUCAUGUGCACAGGGCUUAUUUUCUCUGGCCACAAUGGUGGCCCCGGAAGCUGGGAAGUCACAAUGUUUUGUGUCCAAGCUCUGCAUCUGGGCCUGGGAUGCAGCCCUCCUGGCUGUGGUGUGGCUGUGGAGUGGGGCCUCGCGGAGACUCCCUCAGUCCUGGCCCUGGCUCAGUCAGAGUCUGACUCCAGUGGCUCUGGAGUUGUCGAGCCGAGGCCUGCUGCCUGCAGUCCCUUCUGGUCUUGAGCUGAGGCAGCCUACAGGGGCCAGGGACUGUGGGGAGAAGCCCAGGUCCUGGGCACGGGGUAAGCAAGAGUCCGUGAGUGACAACAGGGCCUGUGUCUGUCAUCAGCAGAGUCCCCAGUCCCCCUUUGUGGAGCUGGCUGAUGAUGAGAAGAUCUUUAACGGCGGCGACAACACGUGGCAGGGCCAGGAGCAGGCUCUGCUUCCAGACGUCACCGAGGAGGACUUGGAGGCCAUCCGGCUGCGAGAGGAAGCCAUCCUGCAGGUGGAGGUGGGUCUCUGCGAGGGUAGUGUGGGUGUCCAGGCUCACCCCAGGCUCCCUGCCCACAGAGGUGGCUGGGGCUGCAGUCACUGGUAGCCUGGGUGGGAGGUGGGGCCAGAGUCCAGGCAGCCAAGCCCACUUCCUCCUCCUGGCCUUGGUGGGAGCCAGCCCUGCACUGGGGCUGUGAAGGCACCACCCACUGCUUGCUGUGCUGCCCAUUCAGGCUUCCAGGAGGUCCCUAGCACUGUGGAAGGAACCUUGCUGCCUGGGGCCCCCGAUGGCAGUUUUUGAGAGCUCUAGCCCUCUGUCCAGGAUAGCCUGUGGCUGAGGAUGCUGCCCCAGGUGGCAGGGGAGCCCAGGGCCCAUGCAGGGUGGGUCAGCUGCUGCGUGCCCUUGGUUUUUGAAGACCAAGGACUCUUGGCUGGCCUACCCGAUGCUGAAGUGUGUGCAGAAUGCAGCUUGGCAGGGUGUGGCUCCACUGGGCCUAGGUCUGUGCCCAGUGUGCUCUCCUCCCUCUCCUGGGACUUCCUUGUCUGCAGGGGCUCUGGGGCCUGCAGCUCCCAGGGGCUGGGCUUCUGAAGUUCAAGGCCCCUGAGAGCAGGUGGUAGAACAGGAACCUGGGCGAGUUAGUAAGCCAAGUCACUGGCCCAGGCCUGUCUCUGCCUCUGCUUCCCUGACGGUUAGCAGGGCUUUCUCUCUCCUUCCAGAGACACCCCAAGUGGCCCUGGCUUGUUCCCCUUUCUUCCUGGGCCCUCACUUCUGGGCUACUCCUCCCUGCCUCUGCUGCACCCCACUCCCCAGGCUGGUGGAGGAGAGCUUAUGUCCCAGGACCCCUGCUGAAUGUGUCCUUCCUGCAGAAGCCGUCCCCCACUCCAGCUUCUCAGAGAGGGUCGCUGCCUGCCCCAGCCUGGCCCUGGUGGGAGAUAGCUGGGCUUAUCUCUGGCUAGAUGGAGAUGUCCGGAGAACACUGAACACCCGCAGGGGAUUUUGUCUCUGCUGGAACCGCAAGGGCCUCUUACCCUGGAGGAGCUAAGAUAGGGAUGCGGGGUCCCAGAAAGUCUGGGAGGGUUGUGGGCCUGCCCCCGGCAGCUCUAAAACCCAACACCUAUCCGAGGACAGCCCUUGGGAACCACUGGCUUAGCUUGUCCCUUGAGCACAGAGUGGCUCUCAGAAGGCGGAGGGAGCAGGGAGACACCGCCAGCUGCUGAGUCCAGGGAGCAGAGCCGGAAGGAGCAGCAUGUGCUGCCACAGGUUCCACGGCCCCCACGGAGACCCCUGGGGUGUGGAGCCAUACCAGGCAGCCGAAGCUGAGCUCAGGGAAGGGUGGCCCUGGGCCAUGGGCCUCCUGGACCUGACAGCAGAGGCGAAGAGGCGGGUCGUGGGAGCUGCUGUUGCCCUUUCACUGGGAGGCCUCAUCCCGAGCCUGCAGGUCCUGCUCCCAGAGCCCGAGCAGAGGCCUAAGGGCCACCUGGGACCUGUGUGACCUUUUUUGAUUGCUCUGGGUGGACAGUGACAGUCAAGUGGCUCAUGCCACUGCAGUAACCCCAGGGUCAGGUUCAAAAUCAGAGGCCUUGGCGGCCCAUGUGCCAGGCCCUUCUCUGUGGGACGGGAUGUGUUUUCCGGUUUUGUAGGGUGUGUGCAGAAUGGGGCUUUCCCAGGGGUGACGGGCCCAGCUGAGAGAUGGAGGGACCCAGCCUGGGGCUCUGAGCUGGGGCUCUGGACUGUUCUAGAACAAUGGUUUUAAUGCAGGAUUAAUAGGAGGGUCUGGGCCUGUGUGCAGACCAGAGGCCCUCGCGGGUGGCUGGGGCUGGUAUGAUCCCAGUGCCUCUCUCAGCUCAACAGCAUGCUGGGGCUCAGCUGGGGAGCCUCUUGCACAGACCUCGCCUUUCAGCCUCAGUUUCCUCCGCAAUGCCUAGGAGCCUGGCCCAGCACACAGCUAGUCCCGAGUGCCGGGCAGAAGGGCAGUGGGUGGCAUGUGUCAUGCGGACCACGGUCACUCACAGAGAGCACAAUACCUGUUGUCAUUAGCCUUUGAAAACCUUCCCCCAGGUUGCAGUGGGUCCUGUGACCACAGCUUGCUGGGAUCAGGGAGGGUGGGAGCCAGCCAGCCAGCCUCUAGGGAGUAAUGUGACUGUAGCAGAUGGCCCACACCUUGGGGGCCCCAUGGGCCAGUUGCUCUGGAGUUAUGGCAAAGCAAGGCCUGUGUGCGCAGGGGGGUGCCUGGGAGCAGCCUCAGGAGGGCAGAGUGGUGCCUUCCUCUCCCUGCACAGCGUACUUCCACUGGAGUUGGGACUCCCCCCUUUCACAUCCCCUGGGGGUUUGGGAACAUUUUGGAAUCACUGACUGAGACUUGAGGUCCAGGAGCCCCUUUGUGGUCUUCCCUUCAGAACUGACCUUUUUGGGUAAACAUGGGGGUGUGGAUGGGGAGACUGAGGCUAGGGUGGAUGACUGAUGUCGCAACAGUGGGUUAUUGUGUCAGAUGCCCUCAUGCCACCACCUUGCUUUAAGGUAAGUCCUUGAGGGCAGGCCACAAAGGGAUGCCUGAACCCCAAGUCCCACCUCUAGAGAUCUGAAGGUAGUCAUGCAAAUUCCAGAGCCCCUCGGGGAUGUGGGAGGGUUCUGGGUGAGUGGUUGAUGAGAAGUCCUGGAUUGGGCCUGGCGCCGGGCACUGUGAGGGGGUGUGCAGAGCUGUCUGUGCUGGGAGCCCCCAUUCAGUCAAUUGGUGGCCCACCUUGUAUCCUUUCCCUCGUCCCCCUCCCCAGAAUCGUCCUGCAGGGCUUGGCGUGUAUGCCUGGCCUCAGGCUAGAUCCUCCCAGCAAGCCAGGGAGCCUCUUUGUUUUCAUUUGUUUGUUAAAUAUUAUUGUUAAAUAUUAUUAAACUUAAAAAAAUAAGUUUAUAUUUAAAGAAAAGCUGCAAAAUAGCGCAUUAAGGACCUGGACUUUCAUUCAGCUUUUCUUAGUGUUGUACUGUAGUAUAGCUAUCAAAACCAGCCGGUUAAUGUUGCCACCAUGGUCCAACUACUCCCCAGACUGUCUCCAGGUCCCCUGGUUCUCCCACUUAAGAGUUGUCUCCUGUUCCAGGACCCAGUCCAGAGUUCCUGUUACAUUGAUUCGUCCCGUCUCUGGUCUCCUCCAGUCUAUUACAGUUCCUGGGUCUGUCUUUCAUGACUGAAGCUCUUGAUGGUGCUGAUGAGUAGUUUUGUAGGCUGGCCCUCUUGGAGACGACACAUUCUUUGCAAGAGCCUUUCUCUCCUUCUUGUACAACAGUGGACUUAAGAAAAACAUUAAAACAGUGCUGGACUCAGGCAGAGUCCACCCAGUGCAGGAAGAGACUCGGACCCAGGCAAGAGCCCUGCCGUACCUGGGUGUUCACAACCUGCUCACCUGCUUGGCCUACGAGCUGUGCCUGGCCUUCUCCUUGUGACUGAGGCCUCUUCUAAACAGGCCCCUGUCCAGCUGGGUAAGCAGGAGUAGGCUAGGGCACCACUUAUCCACCCUGCAUGCAGCUCCUCGAGAGAGAAUGUCAUCCACUUCCCAUGACGGGGGCUACGAGGUGGAACCCAGUUUGACCCCUGACCUGGAGGCCUGUCUCUGGAGGACGCAGUACCCAGCAUUUGAACCUCUACCCCAGGCUGUCUGCCUUUUCCUAGGCAAGGCAUAGGCACCUGGGUGUUGGGCCAGGCAUGCCCCAGGGCCCUGUACUACACCCACUGCUUGCCUGUUCCUACCUUUAGACUCUUAUGAUCUGAGGCAGCCUAUCUCUGGUCUCCUACCCUAGGGUGCCUCUCUGGAUUUGGUCCCAGGAGGGAGCCCCACCCUCCCAGGACCUAGGGUAUUGGAUGCUGGCAGCUCCCGGCCUCCUGGCUAUCAGCCUGGCUGAACUGUGAAGAUGGAGAAGCUGUCCAUCUCAUUAUCAAGAGCAUGAACUUUAAUUGUGUUUGAGCAGCGCGAGGCCAGGUGUGGAAGAAGAGGAAGCAAGAUCGAUGGACCAUGGCGAGAGGUGUCUGAGUACCCAAUUAGGUCAUGUCCAGGAUUUGCUGUCCCUCUCCAGGGUGGGCAGCCUUGUCCCCAGGGUUGUCUUCUGCCCUGGCAUUCUGGAUUCUGUCUGUCUACUCAGGCCUGUCCAAGAGCUCCACAGCUGAGGGACUCUGUGCAUGCUGCUGACCAGCCCACCUCUUUUUGCUCAGCCAGAAGUGAGUUUGUGCCCAGGGUGGCCAUCUCCACCCUCUGAGGCCUGGCCUGAAGACCCCAAGAGGAGGUGGGGGGCCUGCAGCCACACAGUAAGGCCCCUGGCAAGUGGUGGCAAGUCAAGACUCCGACAUCCUCAUGCCACUCCUUCCUUAUCCCUCUCUGAGUCCUGGCUUCCUAGUUGUGCUGGAUGAGACCGUGGAUUCAACGGGCUGUGAGGCGUUCUGCAAAUGGACAUCCCUGUGGCAAGGGUGAAUGGCUUUGGGAACCUCUCUGUUGUCCCGGUUGCUAAUGCUGAACCUGGUUGGUCCUGAAGCACUGCCCUUCUCAGCCCUGCGGGGGCCCCCAACACCCCUGGCUCUUGUGUCUCCUUCCUGUAGGGCCUUGCCUCUUCUCUGCUCUCCCUCUGGCCAUCCCCUCAGUUCUCUGAGGACCCGUGUGGCUCUCGGUCCUGUCUGGUCCCUGGAGUCAUUCAGUCCUCCCUCCUAUCCCCUCCUGUGGCUCCUCUGGGUGGGUGGCCCACCCCUGUCCCCCAGGUGGGCCCUGAAUGACCUUUCCCUGUUUGGCCAAGAUGUGAUAGGGUGGCUGUCACUGCAAAGGAAACCCAGUGCCAGGACUCAGCCAACAUGCACGUUCCUUCUUGCCCUUUAGUCCAGCCUCCCACCUGCUGAGGAGCCCCAUGGAACUGAAUUGUGCUAAAACUCAGUGGCAUGAAAAAGCCACCAUGGAGUUCAACAUCAGGAUGUAGACACAGCUCAUUGGGGUUGGGUAGUAUCUACUCUGCUGUCUGGAGCCUCCAGUGGGAAGACUUGAGAGGCCAAGGGUGACUUGGACAGCUGGAGGCUGAAGACUCUUCCACUCUGCCUCUGAUAACGUGGGCUGGGAUGUCUCAGGCCAGGCUCAGCUGCACUGUUCAUUGGAUUGUCUCCAUCUGGCCACUUUGCACAGCUUGGGCUUUCCCACAACGUGGCCGCCCCACGUGCUCAGACUUCUCGUGUGGCCCUUCAGUUCUUCUUGUGUGUGUUGCAGUCAUGGAAGGUACACAGUGUCACUUCCCUUGGUGCUUUGUAGUUAAGUGAUCGAAACCUGCCUGGUUCAAGGGGAGGGACCUGGGUCCCACCACCAGUGACAGAAGCAUCCAGGGAUCCAAGGCCAUGGUUUAAGCCCCCCAAGGACCUUAGAAUAAUCUGGUCCCUGUGCUGGUUACAGUGGUCAAAAUUGCUUGCCUCAAAAUUUAGGGAUGAAAUCUGGUUACUGUGCUUGCAGGCUCAGUGAGUCAGGAUUGCAGCAGGGCCAAGCCACAGCUUCUCUGCACCUUGAAGCCUUGAGGUAAGGCUUGAACCCAUGGCGACUGGUUCUAGCCCCUCCAGCAUCCUGGCCCUGCUGCCUGUUGGUGGAGGUUGACCUGGGGUCUCGGCAGGACUCCAUACCAGUCUCUUCUAGUGUCGUGUUUCGGGAUCACGUCUUGACAAGGAGCCAGCCCUGUUUUGUUUUCUGGCCUUGCAGAUUGUGCAGCAUCUCUGCCAGGUUCUGUCUGUCCAGGACCAGGAGAUGGACCAUCAUCCCCAGUUGGCAAGCCAUGCCAGUGUCACUUUGCAGGACGAGUGAGUGGGUGGUUCGUAUCACUGUCUCUGGGAGAUGCAGCCCUCUGUGCUUGUCCCCCAGCAGCCUGGCCUCCUCCUGGCCCUGGGACCUGCUGGACCUGCUUCCACCCUUUGCACUUGACCCUUGGCCUGAAGCCUUGCUCCGUACACUGGAGCAGCUCCCUUCACCAGUGGGCUCAGACUAGAGUGCUGCCCGCCUCCGGAGCCCACCCUCCUGAGCUCUGUGGGACGUUCUUUGAUUGCCUGGGUACUAUUACUGCCUUUUGUUGGAGCAUAAGCCCCAUGGAGUCUGCAGUUUGGCAUUUCUGGUUAUUGUUUUCCUGGCACGGCAGAGGAUCCUGACACCAGGGGUGCCAGUGACCAUUUGUGUGGAAACAUGCAGGUGGGUGGAGGUCUGAGUGCCAGGUAGGUAGGUGAGGGUGUCUGUGGGAACUCUGGGAGUGGGUGCUGCUGCUGCUGUGGGCACAGCUUGGGCCCACACAAGACCCCUGGGGGUGGGUGUGCAGGGGCUGAGGUUAGCAAAGGAGGAGCAGAGGCUCAGGGGUCACAGCUCAUGUGUGGACGAGCUCACGGGACUCUCGGCCAGUUGGCCUGGCUUCAGAACAGGGCUGUGCCGCUGCGAUGCUCUCACAGCUGCCUCGUGGUUAGUCCCAUUUCAGAGGAGGAAAGAGCCAGCCCACGAGGCCAGCCACCCCUAUGGUGUGACUUGACCCCUGGCCACAGGUGCUGCACCAGUCUGCAGGAUAGCAGACUCUGACUUGUCCCUGGGCCAUGAGGUUGAAGAGAUGGACACGUGGCCCUGGGCCACUGCGCAUAUGUGACAGCCCUGUGGCACUGUCCAGCUCCCUGGCCUCUGCCCAGCCUACUCUGCCCACUGGCCAGAUGCUGCAUGUGCUGCGUCCCCUCACCUUGCCCGUCUCACCUGCUGGAGUGUCCUAGCUGUCCUGUCACCCAGCUCAGGUGCAGGCGCUGAGCAUAAUACCAGCAGCAUGUUGCCGUGGCUACCUGGCAGGCCCAGGAGGGCGGAGGACCAGAUGAGGAGGCUGCCUAGAGCCCCAGCCGCCCUCCCUGCACUGGGCGCACACAGCUGGUGGCAGGGGUGUGAUUGGUGUGGCUACUGUCAGCUAUGGGUAGGUGAAUAAAAUAAGUAAACAGAAUUUGACUAUUCCGUUAAGUGCAAUUGUGGGUCGAUGGUGCCAGGAUUCUAACUGAGGAGAGAGUAUGUGAUUGAGACAAGUGCAGUGGUGUUCUCUUGUCCGUAAAAGCAGAGGAAACAUACCACACGUGUGUGCAUGAGCACACACAACACACAUAUGCCGAGGUUUUAUUAUGUCCGUGUGAGGUGGCUCCGUGGUAGCAGUGAGGGGAGAUUCUAUGAGAGCACUCAGGAGUUCUGGGUUUAGAGGAAUCAUGAUUCCAGCCUUUACCAAGUGCUGGUGUUGGCCAGUUUCCCAUGGCCUCCUGCCUCCAGCUGCCUGUGUCAGCAUGUGCAGCUACAGCACCUGGCCGCUAAUCCUGCCCUGGGCCUGCUUGAUGCCCCAGAGGGCUCCCUCCUGGGCAGCCCCUGAUCCAGGUGGGAGGGUGUUAGGGCUUGUAGGUCCCUUGUCCUUAGGCCCAGUAUCGACCUGUGUCACUCCAGACCUCAAGGCAGACUUCUGCCUGGGAAUGGCUCCCACCCUGUCUCCAGGUGUAUGUGGGGGCUGGGCCUCACUGGGAUCUGCCCAAUGCCCAUGUGGUGAUGGCAAUCAGGGGGAUCCCUUCUGGACCAGCUGCCCACCUCAGAUCGCCCUGGCACCAUGGGCCCACUAGAGACGCACGGUCUAGGUCCCACCUGCCUGGUUCUGCUAUCACUGCAGGUCCAUUUGGGGCCCCUCAUCCCUCUGUUUCGCACAUGGCAUUGGGUGCUGGAGGGGGAGACGUAGCUGGGAAGCCAUGCCUUAUUCCUGGAGAAGGGGAUGAAAGCAAAUGUUCACCUUCCUGAGGGAGCUCCUGCAGAGGGCCUGGGGCCUCGGGGCACCCAGGGCCACAGGGGCUGUCUUCAGGGCACGGGUGCCCAUUCCUGUUCAUCCUGGAGGCCAGAUGGGGCUCCUCCGAGAGCUCGUGUGGCUGGGUUCACCUGUGCUCUGAGCAGCACCAGGAGAUCCCCACAGCCACGGUGGUGUCCUGGCCUCCUGGAGGUGGCCUGGGUUGCAGGCCUCACGUGGGGACAAGGGACAAGGAGGGGUCUGUGGCCUCAGGCUCACCAUGCCGUGCCUGCAGGCCUCUCUGUGUCAGUGGAGGUGGGACCUGAGGCGCCCCGGCUGCUCUGCUGGCCCCAGGGCAGAACCGAGGUUUCCUUUUGUCCAAGAUGGUUGGUGUGCAUUGAUCAGGGAGCCCCACGGAGGGUCUGAGCAGUGUGAGCAGGCCUUCUGUGUCCCAUAGAGAAGGCGGGGGACGUGGGACUGGCCUUGCUCCUGCACCCGCCGCUGCCCUGCCUGCUGAGCAGCAUGGUGAGGAGAAGGGAGCCCGGGAGGAAGGGGCUCUUCCUGUGAAAGCUCACGUGGGACUCCAGGCCGGCCAGUAGAACAUCUGGUGUGGCCCUGACGGCAGGGGUCAGAGCCCUUGCUGGGGCAGUCUUGGUCACUCUUCUGGAAGCCACUGCCUUCUCGCAGUCUGUGUCCCCCGCACCAGCCCUGGGUGUCUGUGUGUGUCCCCGCACUACUGUGGUACAAAUUAACUUCCCAUGUGUCCGAGCUCAUGCCAGUGGACAGUUGUCACUGUUCCCAUGCCCCUUUCUGCUGAGUUCAGCAGGAAUAGACUGAGUCCUUUGCUGUGCCUGUCCUCUGUCCUCUGUGACAGAGCUUGCUGGGGCCCUGACAGGUGCUGUGUGUGUGGUUAGUUGGGCCCGUGGGGACCUGGCUGGGGCACCCACAGCCCGUGAUAGACAGCGAUGGCCAGGCAGUGGCAGCCAACAUGCAGCCAGACCUAGCCACAGCUGAGGGCACCCCGGGCUGUGCAGAAGGCCCACAGCAGCCGCAGCACACCCACUGUGAACUGGAGAGCAGCCUCAGCCACCCCACCUCCAGUGAGCUCACGACCCACAGCGAAAGCCCUUGUGCCCUGUUGGUGCGUCAGGGGUUGGACCCGAGGACGCCCAAGCUCGUCCCCCCUGCUGAAGGAGUCGGUGCUCCCAGGCAGAGAACAGCUAGUGCAGUGAGCAUGUGGAGCUGUGGGGAGAAGCAGGCUGGGCUGCGGGAAGGACAGCUGCUCUGCUUCCACCUGCCAGUAGCCUGGGCCUCCUGGGCCGUGGGGUCCCUAGGCCUGUGGUCCUGCCCUUGAUUCUCCUCCCUGCCCCUGAUUUUCUCCAUGUCCCCUCACUAAGGCUGGGGCCUAUAGGCUGGGCAGGGGCUCUGAGCCCUACCUCCUGCAGGACAGCCCGGCACCCUGAUACCAGUGACCCUCUGCAGCUCCUGCUCGUGGAAAGAAGCGCUCGUGCGUGCACGUGAAGCCUGUCCCUUCUGGCCCCUGCACCAUGGGAAGUCCUGGGCACCGCCAGCUCCCUGUGGGUGACUGAUGUGUAGGUAGGGACUGGGCUUGGGUUGGCCUUGGGUUUGGGUGCUGGCUCUAGCAUUUCCUAGCUGUGUGUCCUAUGUAAGCUGCCCUCUGUGCGACAGCUUGCUCCCCUGCCCUCUCUGUGGAGUGAACUGCCUGGUGGGGAGAGGCGUGACUUGCAGCCUGUGGAGCCCAUAGGAAGGCCUCAGGAGUCUGCCACCCAGUGUAGCCAAGGCCGGGCUUGGGGCGCGGGCCUUGGCAUGGGCAGUGACCAGAGCCAGGCUUGGUGCUUGGCAGGGUCAGCGCCUGCUCUUUGAAAGAGCUGUGUCAGUAACCUGGAAAUCUGCGGAGGUGGGAUCAGUCUGCGGCCUGGCUGAACAAGGAGCCCUCAGCUUGACAUUGACGUCUCCAUCCUAGGCUGCACUCACAGCCAGGAACCCCAUUUCUAGAGCAUGUGGUUGUAAGGAGAAGCCUAGAAACUGUCUGGGUCUGGGGCUAGCCAGCACCAUCCUCCUGACUGGCACCCUCUGGGUGCCACAGACCCUAGCUGAGCCGAGAGCCCAGCCCCAUGCUCCUCAGCACCCUCCCGGCCAUGGCCAUUCCCACAGAGCAGCCACACACCCCUGCUCCAUAUUUAAGCCCAGUAAUUGAAUUGCAAUUGAUAGUACAUGUCGGUUUAAGAUCAUGCUAAUUGCUUCAUUUCCCAGAACACUCCUAAAAAGAAAAUGAAUUUCCCUGUAAUAUUUUCAGUGGGGUGAAAUGACCCUUGUGGAAAUCAAUCCUGGCUCUAGAAUGAGCUGCAGAGUGAGUGGGCGUGCUGGGGCGGGGCUGUGGCUCCCCUCCUGCAGCCUCAGCAGGCAUGAGGAGCUUUCCCGGCCUGAGAGUAAACCCAGCCUCGUGCCAGGCACCGUGUGAGGCUUAGCAGGGCUGUGCCUGUGUAGGCUCUGUGAGCUGGCCUGACUCGGAGGGGACUGGUCUCCCAGGGUCUCAGCACUGGCUAGAGGAGAAACUGUCCCUGUGUGAACGUCAUUCAGGAAUGGUGGGGUGUCCAGGAGUGGGCACAGGGGACAGAAUUCCUACCCGGAAAGGCCAGGGUGAUCCUGGGGCCUCUUGAGUCCCCCCUUCCUCCCUGUCCAUUGGGGCUAGGACUUCCCUUUUGGUUGGUGCCAGCUCAAAAGUGGCAGUGUGCACCCUUCUCUUGACACAGUCUGAUGUAAAAGGUCAUGGAGGUAUGGCCAUGUCCCUUACGAUCCUCAUGGCCACUUUGCUGGGCAGAAGUCAGGGUGAAGCCGGACAGUGUAAAGGAGGCAAAGGACCAGCGUAACAUGCAACAUGGAGGGACCAAGUCCUCUGGCCCUGGUGUCCACUCCCUUGCCCGGUUCUCCAGCUUCCCAGAGCCUCAGUGCUUGGAUGUCAAUGGGGCUGCCGCCCAUGGCCUACUCGACCUUCAUCCACCACCGGCCCACCUGCCCACCCAUCCUAUUCAUCUAUCCCACUCUGCCAAUUUGCUGAGCAGCACCUGUGUGUUGGCCCCUCCUUGAUACACAGAGGGGCAGGUGUGCUGUGUCCCAGGUGAGUGGGGAUGGGGUAUCCAUAGGAGUGCAGCCCUGCAGGUGGUGUGGCCAAAGUGCUCUGUGCUGGACACUUUCUGGCCUGCUUCUAUCAGGCUUCCACCAGUGUUGGGGAUAUGAUGUCCUGCACUAGACCACACGUGCCCAGGCAGACCCUGGUGCUCGUGCAUGCAUUGAGAAGCUUGUGGCACUGGGGUGCUUGGAGAGCUUGGGGCUUGGCCUGAGAGCAAGAUAGCGGAGCAUUCAGACUCUGCCCCACCUCUGACCUGGGGCAGCCUUGGCCUGAACUUACCUUUUCUGGGCCUGACUCUGCCCAUUCUGGGCCCAGAUUGCUCCUCUGACAGGAAGAGUACAGACCAACUGAUCACUAGUUCCCAUCUGGCCCAGGGCUCUCCAUAUACGGUGUCCUUAGUCUCUGUGCCUGUAGCACGCUGCCCCUAAUGCAGCUCCAUCCUGUUUCCUCAGAGCAAUUUGCUGGACGUGAACCAGAUCAUCAAGGACUUGGCCUCCAUGGCGUCGGAGCAAGGAGAUGCCGCUGGUGGGUACCCACUCUACCCUCAGGCCACGUAGCCCCAGCUGGCUCUUCCCCCAGGUGUGGGCACAGCUGCCUAAAGAUGACGGAGGCCCAGAAUGGCUUCUGCCUGGCUCUCCUCCUGCUCCACCUCUACCCUGGGCCUUGCACUGACUAGGGACUCUCUGGAGUGAAGGCCAGCUGCCUGGGACAGGUGACUGCAGCAUGGCCCUGAGGAUACGGAGGGUGGGGGCCUAGAGCCCCUUAGAGUCUGGUGCUGUCUCCAGUGACUGUCAGGAGCCAUGUGUGCCUCUGGGAAAUGGGUGUGCCUGAGCUGGGUGGAACAGGGGCAGUGGCUGGGCCUGCGGGCCUGGCCAGGGCAUGGUAUCCCCCAAACCCCUCACUCCAAAGGAACUGGGCCAGCUCUGCCAAUGGGUCAAAGGUCAAAGGCCCUUGUCCCUGGAGCUGCCCUGCUUCUCAGGAGGAAAUAAGAAGCAAGGCCAAGGCCGAGGCCCAGGCCUGUCCCUUGCUGGUGAGGGUUGCUGGGGUCGUGUGGAGCAGGGAGGCUUGAGGGUCAUGUCACAGUGUCCUCACCCACUGCGAGAGAGGGGCCUUCUCUAACAGAAGGGACACAGACCAGAGAGGCCUGGUGGCAUCCGCCCAGGCCCUCUGCUACCCCAGCCCUUCUGCUCUGCCUUGCUGUGGGGUCACCUUUGACCUCCCCAGAGAGGACCUCCCUGUCUUCCUCUGUGCUCCACAAGUUCUGGCCCCAGCAACUGGCCAUUUAUAUUUGGACAAUUUUUUUCGGGGUGGGGGGGGUACCACAGAUUGAAUUUAGGGCCCUCAACUACUGAGCCACGUCCCCAGCCCUAUUUUGUAUUUUAUUUAGAGACAGGGUCUCACUGAGUUGCUUAGCGCCUCGCCGUUGCUGAGGCUGACUUAGAACUUGCCAUCCUCCUGCUUCAGCCUCAUGAGCCGCUUGGAUUACAGGUGUGCACCACUGCACCUGGCACACUGGACAAUUUUAAGUGUUCAGACCUUCCUCUCCGCUGGGCUCUGUGCCUGCCUAGUUAGGUCUAGGGCAUUUUGAACAUGAAGUGGUUACUCUGAUCACUUUCCUUCUGGACUGAGCGAGGUGCUGGCUCCAUGGGUGGCCUCCUUGCUUGUGCAGAGCCCUGGGGGCACAGGGACACUGGUGUCAUUACCCAGUGUGGUAGAGGCCCUGUGCCCACCUGAUUUGGGGCUGGGGUGCACAGGUGGGGACUUUAAGGGCUUGCUCACAUGUGGGCCAUCCUGUUGCCCCAGGGGUGCCAGCCUUCUCCGUAGCUGCGGCCACCCAGAGUUCUGGCCCCAGCUGCAAGGUGGAGACGCCCUGGCCAGGGCAAUGGUCCCCUCGGCUUGGUUGCCCUCCAGGACCCAGACUCCUGCACUUACUCAUCUGCUUCUUCCAUCCCUGACAGCCAUCCCCUCACCCGGGCCUGUGCCUCUAACGAGGAGCAAGCGCCCCGAGCUGGGUGGGCCCUGGCACCCUUCUGGAGCUCUGCUGCUCCCAGGUCGGUGGAGGCCUGAGCCAGGAGCCUAAGCCUGGCAGCUGCCCUCCCUGUUGCUCCUGGACUCACCCUGUACCCCUUCAGAGCCUGGGCUCCCAGCAGGGCCUGCUCUGGGCAUGGCACUUGCUGAGCUGCCUCGUCACUGCUCCCAGGACCCGCCCUAUCCCUCUUCCCGUCUCCUUGCCUUCUGUCUGCCUCUAAAGUGGCCACCGCCCACUGCCCCCUGGGGCUGGCUGGCUGGGCUGGAAUGUCAGAGUGUGUACAAUGGCUUGUCCACCCUAAGGCCACCCAGUCCCCGUAAUGGACCCAUGGGAGAGCUGUGGGGAGCGGAACAAGCCAGGGCUGACCUGCACAUGGGCAGGGGAGUCACCUAGAUAGCUGGCAGGCAGGAGCUUCAAGAGUCGCCAGAUCCCCAACUGGUGGGUGUGGGUCACCUGUAUGUAGGACACUGAUGUGGGGACCUGUGAGGACCAGGACCACAGGCCUGGUGGCACGCUGUCCACAGUCUCUGCCUAGUGCUCAGCCUCUGGUGCCUUUCCAGGGUCCAGCAGCAGGAAGGCCACCAGCCGGCAGACCUCCAGCCCCGAGCCAGCAGAGGCAGCCCUGCUACCAGGGGUGGGGCUGGGCACCACACCCCUGCGGCCCAGCAGCCACUCCCGCACCAAGACACGCAAACCCAACUUCAGUCCCCAGGAGACAGAGGUGCUGGUGCGGAGGGUGGCACGCCACUACCCACUGCUGUUCGGGGCACUGCGGAGCACACCUGCUCGGAAGCACCACGUGUGGAGCAGGAUCCUACAGGCUGUGAAUGCGCUGGGCUACUGCCGCCGUGACCUGGGUGACCUCAAGCACAAAUGGAGGGACCUACGAGGGGCCGUGCGCAAGAAACUGGCAGAGAGUCCGGCUCCUGGAUUCAUCCUCACACCUGUGGAACGCAUGGUGGCUGAGACCUUCUCGACCCCAGCCUCCCAGGGCAAGAGCCAGGCAACAAGUAAGUGGGCCCCUCCCCACAGCCCACCCCUGGCCUAGCCUGGCCUGGCCUGGCCUGGGCAGUGAGCUGGCUGGCUUCCGGUGCACAGCCCCCAAAGAACGAGACUCCAGGGGAGUGCUGGGGGCCUGAGGAGACGGCUCAUCCCCCUCCCGGCCCCUCGGCUCCUGGGUAGGAAACCCAAGGCCCAGGCCCAGGCAGAGGCCUGCUCAUUUGGGGAGGAGGGGUCAGGUUCAUGCUGGCCCUGAGCUCACGGUCCACUGGGACUUUCCCCAGCCUUGGCAUAGUACAGCAAGGGGACCCUCAAAUCCAUCUCAAAAACUGAAGUCACUCAAAGCCCCUGGGUCUCAUGUGGCCUGGGGGGUCAGUGCCUUUGCCACCACCACUGGCGGCAGCAGCUUGGGGAGCUUAGACCUGCUGCUGGGCUCAGGGCUCCACGGCAGCUGCCACCUUGAGCCAUGGCCACAGCAGGGAGCUGAGUGCCUCCGUCCCUUCCCUGGUAUCUAGAGAGGACACUGGGGCCCCAUGGCCCCGUUUCCCCGUCACUCUAGAGAGACAAGUUCCAGGAUGGUGAAGGCAUCCCUUAGAUAUACAGGGCCCUACUCUGUGUAUCUAAGGGAGGUGCAAAGACUGAGGUCCAGGGGCCUGGCUGAGCAGCCCAGGCCCAAAGCCCAGGCACAGUCUCCGAGGCCCCGCUCCUCUCUGCCAUGUCUGCUGCGUCUGGUGUGGUGCGGCUGGGAGGCCUCUUUGGCCCCAGGCCAUUGUCCACUCUGUCUUCUCAGGAGUGCUCAUGACAAAGGUCAGGGCAGUGACUGUCCUUAGGCCACCAAGUGUUAAUAGCAGAGGAACCAAGCAAGGCAGCAAGCUUGGGUGGCCACAGGCUUGAAGAUGUGGCUGUGGCUGGGAGGAAGGAGGCUGCCCUGCAUAGCUCCCUCCUCCUCCAAGCUGGACCAGGCCUGGAGUGAGAGUGCCCAGGGUUGAUGCCAUCAGAUGGCAAGCCACCAGCAGGUGGAGGCUGCCUGGCCGGAGCCACGUCCAGCCACUAACCUUUGCUGUGCCUUUUGGUGUCAGAGGUGGCCUCUGUGUUGGUGAAUGCUGCUGGAGAAUUUGGCCAGAGCCAGGAGGAGCCCAGGCCAGUGCCUUCCCGCCUCAGCCUGCCUUGUCCGGGCCUGGGGAGCAGGACUGCGUGCCCUCCUCAGCAGGCCCUUCAGAAUCGCUCUGGUGCUCUUGGCCUCUCAGAGCGCUUCUUCUGCUGGGCUGCUCCAGGAACCACCUUUUCCAGAAGUCUCUGUUCUUGGCUGGGCCUGUCCUGCAGCCCACACUGCCUCUGAGCCCUCCCAUGAUGCGGGCUCGGGUGCUGUCUCCACUCUGCCUCCUCUGCUGCCCUCCUCCUCACCACCCUGCCUCACAGCCAGGCCUGCUGGACUCUCCUCCUGGGAAGCUCUGGAAGGACGUGGGGAUGGAGCCAGGAGUAAGAUGAGCCUUCUCAGGGUGGGGCAGCCAGCAGGACCCCACCUCAGACGGACCAGCAGGAGGUCCUGGGGGGACUCGGAGCCGUACCUGCUCUGAUCCUUCUCUUCUGUGGUGCCUGCAGCUGGGACACGUGGGCAAGGCCAGGCCUGGCUGGGAGACGUGUAGGUCCAGGACAGGUCUCGUGCUGGGCCUCAGGAUGCACAGGUCCUGAUAGGCCUGGGGAGGCCAGGGGUAUGGGACUAUUACCAUCCCCAGGGAGGCCUCGUGCCUUCUCCUUUAAGGCAGAGGCCUGCCGCUGUGUUCCUGAGGCAGGCUUGGGUGAUUCAGGCAAGGGUGUGCCCUGUGGGGCCUGGGUGUUCAGGUACUUUCUGCAAGUCCCCGACCUGGAGGGCAGCAGGAACGCUGGAGUAUACCCUGCAUCCCCUGCCCUGGGUGAGGCCCAGCCCAGCUUCCUUCAUCCCUGAUCGAUCAGCCGCAGCCCCUAUGGCCUUGUAGCCCUGGUUCUCCUAACGGAGGAGAAGCUUCUGUGGUGCCCAGGAACCUCUUGUGAGAUGGUCUGCAUGCCUCUGAUGUUUGUUGAAUGAAAUGACUGUGUGGGAGGAGCAGACUUGCCCUGAUAGGCACUGAGGCCAGAAGCAGGGAAGUAGCUGCAGGGCCGGCAGUGGGGUGGGAGUGCCCCCCGAUCAGUGCCAGCCUGGGGAAGCAGGACUCGUCCUCUCUUCAGCAGGCCCUGUCCAAGGGUAGCCUCUGGGGCUUAGACAGGGCCGGGCCUGGGGGCCUGGGGAAGUGAGCUGCCGAGCUCAUGGAUUUCCAGUUUCUGUGCUCCGAGGCUGCUGACAGGUGCACUUGCCCAGGGGCGCCUCCGGCUCUCUGCAUUUGUCCUGAGGGGUGGUUGGUGACCAGUGCCAUCUUCUUUAGCCCCUGGAGGCCUGCACAGCCCUUGGGCUUUUCAGAGGCUGUCUGAGGUAGAGCAAGUCCCACAUGCAGCGCCCUGUGCCAGGAGACAGGAGGGUGCCCUGUGGACCUGGAGCCUUCAAGGCAAGGCUUCUGAGCUGUCAGAGAGCCACCUGGCCAUGCCCCAUACAGCCUGGGGCUUAGGCAGGGCCGGGCCUGGGGGCCUGGGGAAGUGAGCCGCAGUUUCUGUGCUCCGGGGCUGUUGACAGGUGCUCUUGCCCAGGGGCGCCUCCAGCUGUCCUUCCUGCUUCCUUCUCUGGCUGCCCUCUGAUGUGACAGGACACUUUGAGUUUGGGGCAGCUGCAGCCUGCCCAGAAGAGGAAGAGGUGUGCUGCAGCCUUGUUGCCCCUUCCCUCCCCGUGCUGGGCUGUGUCCUGGAGACCUGUCGCCCUGUAGCCUGGCCUUGACUGGGUUGGAGGGUGGAGCAAAAGUAGAGACUGGGGGCUCAGGUCUGCCUGAGGCCUAGGGGUUUCUCAAAGGUAGGGCUCCAGGGAUGAGGCCGCCUUCUCUCAUAGAGCAGCCGCCCCCGCUGGAAGGCUGGGAGUCGCCGCUCCCUCUGCAGGCCCCAUGGGGCUGGGGGCACACGCUGCAGCGGCUCAAUGGCCCUCGGCCUCCUGGGCCAUAGGUGGGCCCUUUGCAGUGGGUGUCCGCUGCCUGAUUCCCGAGGCAGGCCUUCCGACCGCUGCCCCUCCCACAAGGACUUCACGUGUCUCAGGCGAGUGCCUGCCUCUGCUGGCCUCUGGGGCCUGCCGCACUGGGUGUUGACUGCCCUCUGCCCCUGUGUGGCCUGAGUUUGCCCAGUGGAGUCAGGACAACUGGACGUGCCUUCUGCCAUGUGGUGCUACUUCUUGGCCACUGCCUGGUGUAAAAUUUGUCCCCAGGACUGGGCCCAGGCCGUGCCUUCCCAAAGCCACUGGUCCCCAGCCAGCCCCAUGCUCUUUGAAUGGCCUUGUUGGAACCCAGCCACCGUAGAGUCCCACGUUCACAGCCCUGUCCUCUCAGCGGCACUGCAGGACCUGUCCCUGAGGGGGGCCAUGGCCAGAUGGGAGGCCGCCCGAGGCAGCCGCAGGCGGCUCUGGCUUUCCUCUUCACUCUUUCCUGAGGGGCUUUCCCCUGCCGCCUCCAAAGUCUGCUUCCCCAAGGACACUUCCAGGCCCUGGUCCUUCUCUCAAGGCCGAACACUGUCCACACCAGGGUGAUCCUUGAGUGGGCCCUGAGCCGCAUCCCUGCAGCCUCUGACCCUUUAGAGGCUGGACCUCGUUUCUUGAGUGUGCAGCCCACAUGGGAAGGAGCUCAGGGGCGGAUGCACGUCCAGCCAACCUGGGCUCGGGCUCCCCUGGGGCUCGGGCUCCCCGGGGCUAGCUCAGGUGAUGUAGGCUGGUCAAAACGUGGGCCUCCACCUGGUGACCGCCUUCUGCUGUGGUGACUUGCAGAUAGUACUGCAGCAGCACGUGUGGAGGCGGCCGGGGAGCCCCGGGCUGGGCUGGGCUGCCAUACCAAGUAAGUGGGUCUGAGGGUAGGAGCGCUGGCUGGCCCAGCCUCGGUCCCUUUGUCCCUCACCCAUCUGUCUGGGAAGCCAGGCCCUGCCUGUGCCUAGAAGGGACAAGCCCAUGGUCUUCUUUGAGUCAGGCCACUGGCUUACGUGUGGGCACUGGGAGGGGGGAAGAAGGGACAGAGCCAUGGUCUGAGUGGCUCCCGCAGUGGUCAGCACCAUCUCCUCUCAUUUGGACUCCCCACCACCUUACCCCUCAGCUUCCUCACCCGCCUGGCCUACAAGGUGGUGGUUAGGUCUGUAACUGGCACAGUGGGAGCUGGCCAGUGGGGUGUGGGCAUAGCGUGGCUGUGCUUCCGGGGAGGCCGGUGCACUGUGGUCCUCACUGGCAGGCUGCCCUAGGUAGCCCUGACCCCCUUGUCCCAGGAAGGCUGGCCGGCUCUGCCUGUCUGCCCUUCCUGAGCGCUCUCCAGGCCUCACUGUGGGGUGCUAGCCUGGGGCUCUGCAGCUGCCUGGGGCUGCUGCUUGGAGGUGUGGGUGGGUUUUAGGGAGGGAGACAAACCUCCACUGUUGCACACGAGCAGGACCCAGAGCAGACUUGAGGGCCACCAUCGCCUUGUGCCCACCACCAUGAGGAGGGCCUGACCGCGCCAGGCAGGCUGGAGACCUUAGUCCAGCAGGAAGGAGGGCCAGCAGCCUUGUCCCCUGGCUCACUUGCUCACUGUGUUCCUUUGGUCCCUGCUGGCUCCUACAAGCAGAUCCUGUCCCUUGAGUUUGUGUCCCAAGGACCAGACAGGUGGGCAUUCAGUCUGGACAUGGGGGUGGUGGGGUACCCUGGGAGUUCAGAGGCCCCCCAGGUUGGCUGGGGUGGGAGGGCUCCCCGGAGAGCACACACCUGCUGCGGCUGAGCCGAGGGAAGGUCUGCUGAGUCCUGAGGACAGGCCACUGCAGCCCGCUCCAGUGAGGAUGGUCGUGUGAGGGCUGUGACGAGGGAGGGGCAGCCACAGUGCCUUGCUUUCCUGGGGGUCUGGGGAAUGCACUGUGCUUGGCAAAAGCCCUCGGUGGCCUUGGAGAGCAGGAAACGAAGAGCCUUGGUGGGGAGAAGGUAGAGGCGAGGUGGGGCUUGCUGCCCCCAGGCUGAGGCUGACCUCCACGCUGGGGUGGGUGGCUGCAGGCCUCGGCUGGCAUUCAGCAGGAAUGUGUGACGGAAUGAUGGUCAGGGCCUGGUCACAGCUGCCUUCCCCCAUUUUCCAUCAUGGCCAUCAGAUUCAAGGUCAGUGUGGCCAGCGGUGGCCCUUUGUGAUGGCUGGUGAGUGGGACUGGGGCACCUUGGGAUGGCCACUCAGGCUCCUGUCCAACCCUCAGUCCCAGCCAUCUUGUGGCAUGGACAGGUCUCCACUCAGGGCCCUUCCAGAAGCUUCCUGGGGUGGGACUUGCAGGCCAGUGCAUCAGGAGGCACACACACAGAGGACCUUGUCCUGAAUGACAAGAGGACUUGAGUGCCCAGGACCAGCUGGUCAGGAAGGAUGCACAGAUGCCUGGGGCAGCAGAGGGAGAUGUGACCAUGGGGAGGAGGAGGAGGAAGCAGGAGGGGAGGUAGCCACACCGACCAGCUCCUCCCGGUGGGUGUGGGGCCCAGAACUUCCCCCACUGUAGAUGAGGUGAGUGGACACAGCAGGUGGUCUGCCAGAAGCCACCAGCACAAUGCCCUGCCCCCAUUGGCAUGGCCCUCCCACAAGCACAUCAGGAAGGGAUGUCUGCUGGCCUGUCCAUGCCCAGAGGCCCCAGGCCUUCCCCUUUCAGGUUAGGAAUUGGCAGCCUAGAGAAGCAGGGGAGGUCCUAGUGCCCCCCAGCCGUGGAGACCAGGCCCAGCUGGUCUGGGAGCUCAAGUCCUUUGGACCCUGGGAAGCGCAGCCCCCCUUCCUUCUGAGAUGGCACUGUGGGAACUCAAGGCAGGCGGGGGGCGGGGCUGGAUAGAAAGCUCAGUGGGAAGACGGAUGGAUGGGUCAAUGAAGUGACAAAAAGUGGAUGACAGACAGUGGGUAAGUGAGGGCUGAGUGGCUGGUGAGCAGGUGGGUGGAUGGAUCCAGGCGAGGAGAAGGGUAGUGGGACUGCCUGGGUGACAGAGCAAGAUGAACAGGUGGGUGGGCAGGAGGAUGACUGUGGAGAGACAGAGGAACGGCCAGGGUGCCAGUAGAUAGAGGGACCCCUGGGUGGGCAGACGGGAAAGGCGGCGGGGGACGGGGGGGGGGGCCCGCCCGGCUGCUGCAGCAGGUGCCUUUGCCUCGCGCACCUGGCCUUCUGCAUCUCUAAAGGGCGCCGUGCUAGCUGCCGAGGGGACUGGCCCUGAACGGCUGCAGGCAGGGGGCCUCGUGUGUCUGCUGCCUCCCACCUGCUCCCCUGUCGUGCCUGGUACUGCCCACUGGUGGCCAGCCCAGACUGACCCUCCCCUGUCUCCCUCUGUUAGCCGACGAGGAAGACGAGGAUGAAACUGCCAACUGCCUGUGGCGACCCCUGAGGACCCCGGAAGGGCCCAGUCCACCUGAACCUGACCCCCUGGACUUCCGAGGAGCUCUCCGUGCAUCCACCUCCUCACCCUCCCUGCCUGCCUCCCUGGCAUCUGUGCCCCCAGGGGCCGCGGGCAUGGGUUCCUUUGGGCCCUCCCCACCUUCCUCAGCACCAGCAUCUACGCUGCCCCUGCCCUCCGGGAGGACCCUGUGCACAGCGUCUGAGGCCUCCGUGUUUGAGCAGCAGCUGCUGGACUCCCACCUGCGGCAGGGUGCCCUGCUGGCCUCCUGGUCGCAGCAGCAGGGUGCGCUGAUGGCCCAGCAGAACCUGCUGCUGCAGCGGCUGGCGGAGCAGAGCCAGCGGCUGGCUGAUGGUGUCGAGGCCCUCAGCCGGACCCUGGAGCGGCUGGUGGCAGUGCGCCCAGCCCAGGAGGGCUCACCCUCCAUCCUAGAAGGUAGCCCUGCUGCUGGAGGGGCCUGUGGACCCACCAGAGGCCCCCAGGACAGUCCCCAGGGUGCCCACCCAGGCCCAGAGGUCUUCUCGGGGCUGAUCCUGAAGGUGGAGGAAGAGCUGUAGGACUGGCCCAGGGUCCCCUUUGGCACCAGGCCAGGGAGAGGACAAGGACUGAGGAAGCCUGGAGAGGGUGUGGGGCGUCUCCCCACGGUGCCUUUCUGUCCCUGGCCUUGGGUGGGUGUGGCGACCUGCCAGUCUGGCCUCAGCACCAACCUGCUGGUCCAGGCCAGGGUCUACUCAGGACAGUGGCAGUGAGUCUGACCUCCCCCUGCCUGGAGCCCCCUGGGCCCGUGGCUGCCGUUGGCUGCGGGUCACCUCUGCAGGCCGGCACCAGUGGGGGGAGGUGGGGAAAAGACGCUCAGCCCGGGGCCUCGGAGCCCUGGGGAGUGGGGACUUGGCAGCUGCGCGGGCUCAGAGGGCCCGGGCUCGGCUCCUUGAUUCUGGUUCAGGGGAGCCCCGUCCGUGAGCCUGGAGUUAAUUCUCUUCAAUUUUAUAUCAAUGUCAUAAAUACAUAAAUGCAGACAUGA